AGGAAUUGCAUGAGGCUGGAGAAACUAUGUUUCAGUUUCCAGGAGCAACUAUUCCAGAGUGGUUCAAUCACCAAAGCAGGGAACCUUCAAUUUCUUUCUGGUUUCGUAAUGAAUUCCCUGACAAUGUUCUUUGUCUUCUUCUAGCACGUGUGGAAUACACAUAUAAAUGUAUUUCCAAGCUCACGGUGUUCAUCAAUGGCAAACGUCAUAAAAUUGCCUCUGGGUGGGAGGAUUGGAUGACCACUGAAGUAAGAAAGGCGAAAUUGAAUACAUAUCUAUUUGACCUAAAAUCAUCUUUUAGGCUUGGUGAUCUAUCUGAAGUGGGUUUAGAAAAGGAAUGGAACCAUGUGGAAAUUACAUACGCAGGUCUGAUAGAGACCUCACUGGUUAAAGCAACCGGAAUCCAUGUAUUCAGACAGGAUGAUAUUCGAUAUGAUGAUCCCUAUGGCAAGAGAAAAUUAGAGCAUGAUCUCAACAGUUUUGAAUCACAACCACUAAUUAAAAACCCUAGGUAUGUGGACAAGCAAGUUUCAUUAUUAUCUUAUAUAUGAAAAUUAUAGUGUUAAAUUGUAAUAAAGUAAAAAAUAGCAAUCUUAUAAAUAUAAAGUCAGCGAAUGAGAGGGUUGCUAGAAGUGGUGUGACUGAACAGAAGAUAUAGUAGGUUGUUUUGCAGGUUAUCGAGGUGGGUUGGCCCUGAAAGAAUUAUAAAUCUUCUGGGGAAUGCUGCAGAUGGAGCUUUACUUACCAAUGCCGAGAGGAGAUAUAGCCAUAUUUCUAUGGACUCCUUUUGUCAGCGAUGCCGCCUUGAGGAGGAGACAUGCCUGCAUGCUCUUCGUGAUUGUCGAAAGGUGGCUGCAUUUUGGAGAAGUGUGUUACCUAAGAAAUUAGCACCAAAGUUUUUUAAAGGUGAUGUGACAGUGUGGCUGGAAACAAAUUUAUCUUUUUCAGAGGCAGCUUUUUUUUGGCCAACUUUUUUUGGGAUUGCAGUGGAACUGUUGUGGGAAUACCGCAACCACCUUAAGUUCUUUCAACGUGCCUUUCGGCAUGGGGUUUAUUCAAUAGAUCCUAGUAAAAGCAUGGAUAUUGUCUUUAAGCGUUAUAAAGAUUAUAUGAGAGCCCAUGCUUCUCACAAUUUGAUGACGAGGAAUCUCUUGAAGUGGAAUCAGAGCCCAUGGUUGUUGAGGCUAAAUGUGAGUGGUGCCUAUGAUCCCUCUUCAGGUACUGCUGCAUGCGGAGGUAUAUUCAGAGACAAAGAUGAUGAUAGAUUCGUGCUUGGGUUUUCGGUUAAGCUUGAGGAAUGUUGGUCAAUUGAUGAGGCUGAAAUAUGGGGUAUUUAUCAUGGUAUGAAGAUUGCAAGGAAGUAUGAUAUUUGGGGUUUAUAUCGUGAUAUUCUAAGGCAGAAUAACAUUCGAAUAAGUCUUGGGAUUGCAAGGCAGCAUGAUUUUGGUAAAAUUAGAGUGGAAUCGGGCUCUAAGAAAGCUAUUGAGUUUGUGUUAGAUGGAUGCCCUACAGCUACAUCUACAAGGCAGCAUUGUUUCCCACUCUCUCAAGAGUUGAAAGCUCUAACCUCUGCUACAAAUCAUUCAUACUUCUUUUACACAGGGCACAAUGGUGCUGCUGAUUCCUUUGCCAAAUUCGGUUUAUCCAUGAGACAGCAGGCCGCGUCAAUUUUUUCUGCAUGUCCCUCCUUUUGCCAAAAUUUUAUUUUAAAAGAGAGAUACAUGUUACAUGUUACGUAAAGAGUGAAUAGGCAAUUUAGUCCCUGAGAUUGUAACCACUUUGCAUAUUAGUCCCUGACUUAAAUUUUAAUUCAUAAUAGUCCAUAACUUUACCUCCGUUAUGCAAAUAAGUCCUUGCUGUUAAAAUCUAAUUUCCUCCGUUAGUCAAAUGUCUAUUUGGCAAAUGUAAGCAUCCAAUGUGGCAGGUUUGAGUCCAAGUCAGCAAUAUUAUGUGGCAAGGCAAGGACUGAAUUGAAAAAUUAGGUUUAAAAGAAAUCAAAAAUGAAGUAAACCCAUUUUCCCUUUCACUGUUGCUCUUCCCUCCCCUGCAUUCUCGUGAUUGAGGGUUCGCGCUUUUUGUCAGGUUGGUGGUUUCAUUCAAUUCGUUUGCAUUGUUUUGGUGGUUUGAUUUGGGGUUUUACAUGUUCGAGGGGUUUCAUCUGCGGCAUUGUCUUCGCGCUUCGUAGGGAGGUUUAUGAUCGUUUAUUAUUUUCGUUUAUGAUGCUCUGUUUUUAUAGAUGACAAUGUUUUUGGUUUUUGAUUGUGUCUUCGCGGUUUUUGACAAUGUCAAUGUCUUCGCGCUUUUUGAGGUAGGUUUUUUUAUUUCCUAAUAUCUGACCAUGUUUGCGGUUUCUGAUUGUGUAGAAUGAAUGACAAUAUAACUUUAGUAUUGCACCAUGGAGGAAGAUUCACUCCACGUGCCAGUGAUGGAAAGGUUGAAUAUAUAGGCGGAGAAUUUGACGUUUGGGAGGAUAUAUCUGCAGAUUGCCUGAAUGCAUUUAUCUUAUAUGAUUUGGUGAAAGCUUGUAAGAAGUAUAGUAAUAUAGGAGAAUGUUUUUGGUUGAUUGAUAAGGACUUAGAUUUUAAUCAUGGGUUAAGGAGUUGUACAACUGAUGGAGAUAUAUUACACUUAGUUAGGGAUGCUUUUGAAAAUGAGAAUGAGAUAAAUGUUUAUUUUCAUCAUGAAGUAGAUCCAAUUUUAGAAGAAGUCCCACAAAUGUUGUACUUGGAAUGUGAUCCAAUUCGAAAAGCUGUUGAGAAUGAGGAUGAUUUAGAUGAUGUACCUGUUGCUGGCCAUGAGGAAGGUAAGUUUUAAUUCAUCUGUACUUGGUCCGACAUGGUUACCAUAAUUAAUUAAUAUGAUUAAUUUUUACUUUAUGACCAUUGAUGCAGAUGUUGGUGCUGGAGAGCAGACAGAUGCUGGUGAGCAGAUGGAUGCUGGUAAGCAGAGGGAUGGUGGUGAGCAGAGGGAUACUGAUGCUGGUGAGCAAAGAGAUGGUAGUGAGCAGAGGGAUACUGAUGCUGGUGAGCAAAGAGAUGGUAGUGAGCAGAGGGAUGCUGAAGCUGGUGAGGAGAGAGAUGCUGAUGGUGAAGAGAGAGAUGUUGCUGAUAGUGAGGAGGAAAAGGAAGUUGACAGUGAUGAGACAGAUGCUGAGUGGUUUAUAAAUUUCUCUUGUAUGUUGAAUGAAGUUGAAGCUGAAGUUGAGACAGACGGUUAUCAUUCAGAGGAGCUUAAUAUCCCCAUUAGUAGUGAUGAUGAAGAUGAGGAUGUUGAAGUUUAUCCUCAAUAUAGUCAAAGUAGUGGAGUUGGUGAACAGAAGUUGGAAUUAGGGAUGGAGUUUGGUACUCUAGAUGAAUUUAAAUCUGCCUUGAGGGAGUAUAGCAUAUUGAUGGGCAGGGAGUUCAAGUGGAAGAAGAAUGAUAAACAGAGGGCUAGAGCAAAAUGCAAGAAGGCAUUUUGUGAUUGGGAAAUCUAUUGUGCAAAGAAUGAAGUUAGAAACUCUUUUCAGAUAAAGACAUUUAAGCAUAACCAUAAUUGCUGCAGAGAAGUGAACAACAAACAAGCAAAUAGACAGUGGGUGGUCAGUAAACUUGAGGGCAAACUCAGAAUGCAGCCAACCCUUAAAUGUGUUGAAGCUUUGGAAUAUUUCAAGCAAGAGUUUGGAGUGCACAUUGAAGUUACAAAGAUGUGGAGAGCCAUGAAAGAAGCAAAGCAAUUAGUGGAAGGGAAUGAGAGGAAAUAAUAUGCCAAAGUAUUUGAUUAUGCACAUGAAUUGUUGAGGAGCAAUCCUGGAUCAACAGUUAAGAUCAACACAGUGCCAAGUCCAGAAGGUCCACCACAAUUUCAGAGGCUAUAUAUUUGUCUUGCUGGCUGUAAGAAGGGGUUUGUUGCUGGAUGUAGACCAUUCAUAGGUCUAGAUGGAUGUUUCCUAAAGAGUGCAUUUGGAGGAAACUUGCUCUCUGCUGUUGGGCUUGAUGGCAAUAACCACAUCUAUGUUAUUGCUUAUGCUGUUGUGGACAUUGAGAACAAAGACAAUUGGAAAUGGUUUUUAACUUUGUUGCAUGAAGAUCUUGGGGAUUACAUACAGAAUGGGUGGAAUUUCAUGUCAGACAUGCAAAAGGUAUGACAUGGUGUGAUUUGCAAUUGUUAUCAUAAGUUAGGUAUUUAAUUGAAGUUAAUGACAUAAGUUAGGGACUAGUCCAGAAGUAUUUACUACUUUGCUGUAAUUUUUCAGGGACUUAUUCCAGCUUUACAGGAAGUCAUGCCUGGUGCACCUCAUAGAUUUUGUGUCUUGCAUCUUUGGAAAAAUUUUACAAAGCAAUGGAAAAGCAAGGAACUUAAAGGAAUUGUGUGGCAAUGUGCAAAAUCCACUACUGUUGCUGAGUUUGAAGGCCAUAUGGCCCAUUUGAAGACAAUCAACUGCCAGGCUUGGGAGUAUUUGAAUAAAUGGCCCAAACAAGCAUGGACAAAAGCCCACUUCAGUACAAUACCCAAGGUGGACAAUAUAUGCAACAACACUUGUGAGGUAUUCAAUUCCAGAAUUCUGCAGUAUAGAUGCAAGCCUAUUAUCACAAUGCUUGAAGAAAUUAGAAGUUAUAUCAUGAGAACCAUGGCUGCCCGCAAGGUUAAACUUUCUGGAAAACCUGGACCAUUAUGUCUAGUGCAGUAUAAAAGACUAGAAAAAGAAUUCCAUUUUGCUAAUCAAUGGACUCCCAUUUGGUGUGGUGAUAACAUGGGCCUGAGAUAUGAGGUCCACAUGUGGGGGAAUAAGGUUGAGGUCAAUUUAGGUGAAUGGACAUGCACUUGUGGAGUAUGGCAACUAACAGGUUGUGUUUUUUAUAGUUUUUUUUUCAUUCCUAACCUACAUGUGUGCUGAUUUUACAACUUUGAUGUAGGGAUGCCAUGCCGACAUGCCAUUGCAACAAUAACUCACAAAGGAGGGAAGCCUGAGGACAUGUGUCAUGAGUGGCUGUCAAUAGAAGCUUAUAAUAAGACAUACCAGCAUUUUAUUGAACCAGUCCAAGGACCACAAUAUUGGGCCCAGACACAGUAUACACACCCUGUUCCACCACAUAAAAAGGUCCAAAGAGGAAGGCCAAAGAAAAAUAGAAGGAGAUCUGUAGAUGAGGACAAUGUCACAGGACAUAAGCUAAAGAGGAAAUUGGCUGAGUUUACAUGUGGAAGGUGUGGCCAAACCAAUCAUAACAUUAGAAGCUGUAAAAAUAUUGGAGUUCCUGUUAGGCCAAAGAAAUAUGUUGCACCAUCAACUUCAAAUGAGGAUGACCACCUAUUAUCUCAAGAUGAACAAGCUUUGAAUGAGGCUGAAGAAGCUGCUGCUCAUGUUCAACAAGAUCCGAUGGAGAUUAAUUUAUCUCGCCUCAUUUGUCACAAGAUAGUGACAUGGAGUUUAUGGUAAAUAUUUGUCACAACAAAGUAGUUUUAUCUCAACCUAAUUUGUUGCAGCACUCCAUUUUUAUAUAUUACAAUUAUUCAUGUUUGGCAUUUACAUGUAGGUCCCUGCAACUAUUGUUCCACCAAUAGCAAGGAAUAAGCUAGCCAUAACAAGAGCCAAAAAAAGGAAGGUUGCUGAUAAAGAUGAUGCAGAAAACUGAAGAAGCAUUUUUUGUUGCAUUUUGAAGGUUGCUGAAGGUUGCUGAAGACCCAUUUUUUGUUGCGCAUUUUGAAGGUUGUUGAGUUUGAAGGUUGCUGAUGAAGAAAACUGAAGAAGCAUUUUUUGUUGCAUUUUGAUAUUAGGAUGUGUAGUUGUAUAUUUUGAAAGCUUCACUGGCAUGUGAAAUGAUGUAAACAUUAUGGCCUACUGAACAAUUGCUUCUAACUACCAUGCUUUGGGAUGUCAAAUAUUAUGUGAAAUUGAUCUAAAGUCAUGUUUCUUCUCUUUCUUUUAUAAAUUAUACACUGUGUUGGAUUUGGAGUUGGAGUAGUACAAUCCAUCCCAACAUACAUUAUGAGUUGCUUCUUAUUACCUAAUUCUCUUUCUUUUAUUAAAUUAUAUUUAAUAAACUGCAAAUUUCAGCAACAAAUUUCACCAACAAAUUAUAUUUAAUUGAAAUGGAUAAUUGACAGUACCAACAAAAGCUGCUAUUACACUACAAAAGCUACUUCCUAUUACAAAUUCUUCAGCAAAACAACAAUUGACAGUAGCAACAAAAGCUGCUAUUACACUACAAAAGCUACUUCCUACUACAAAUUCUUCAGCAAAACAACAAUUACAAUAUCAAAAGCUGCUAUUACACAUUUUACCUAAAGUACAUUCCCCUUAAAACUAACAUUACAAUUAAAAAUGAAAAACCUAACAACACAAUGUUUGUUAAAUUUCUCAUUUUCUUCUGCAAAGCUUCAAUUUGUAGCCUCAAAUCAGCCACUACCAUUGUUUCUCUUGAGACAGAAGACGAAUUAGAAAGUUGGUUUUCUUCUUCAACCCAUUGAAAAAAUUGACAGUUAUCUGGGUCUGUUUGGGGUAAUGCACAAGUAUAGAAUAACCUUCCUGGGUUUCUCCUUGUUCUUGCAGUUCGAAUAGCUGCACGUCUUCCAUGGUGGCAUUGCCGAAUGAAACUACCAGAAAAUGCACAACAACUGCCACUUGCAGACAUGUACAAAUCAAGUGAACAAGCAGCAGGGACUGAGCCUCAGAGUAGAAGAAGAAGAAGCAACUCAGCGUGGGAAGAAGAAGCAACCAGCAGCUUCAUAAACCCUAAUUUUUUUGGGGAAGAAGAAGCAACCUUGCAUGUGAGAGAGAUUUUAUAGAUGCAGACCUCAGUGCCACGUUGGACAAUCUACGUGGUACUGAAUUGCCACCUAUACACCUCACUAACGCCGUCACCUGAGAAAUUAACGACAGAGACUAUUUUGCAAAACUUAUGUAAAGUUAGGGACUAUUAUGAAUUAAAAUUUAAGUCAGGGACUAAUAUGCAAAGUGGUUACAAUCUCAGGGACUAAAUUGCCUAUUCACUCGUUAAAUAAAUAAGUACCUCAAUAUAAUAUUUAUUUCUUACUUUUUUGUUUAGUUUUAGAUUUGUCCUUACAAUUUCCACUAUAUAAACAAUUGAAUGAUAUUUAUGUAAUAAAAUAUAUUAAUGAUUAUUGAAGUAGUAUCAAAUGAAGUACCAUGCUGUUUGCCCAUUACAAAUGAGAGUUCAACUGGACGGGAAUUGCGCAUGAAUGGACAUUUAAUCAGAUCAACGCUGGAUUAUUUCUUUAUCAAUAUCUGAUGGAUCCGUUAGAGAGGUAAUAUAGUAAUUAUAUGAUCAAUUAAAAGAGUGAAUUAAAUUACAAUAUUAUACUUUAAAUUCUAUUCAAACUUGAUGUCUAAUAUAGUAAUUAUAUCAUCAACCUAGUUUUACAAUAAAACAUCUAAACAUAAAAAAGGUUACAUUUAAAUUACUUAAGUUAAAAAGUUACAUUACGUUAAACUUUACAAAUUAUAAUGAUAAUGAACCUAUUACCAACUACAUCGGUUAUAAUCCAUCCUUAUUUGAUCAGGCAAAUUUUUAAGUAAAUAUGAACAAUCAAUUUGGUCAAAAAUCAAAUUAUAAAAUAUAGGAUUUGAUAUUUUUAAAUAAAUUUUAAUUUUAUUUUAUUGAUUAUAUAUAUUAUUCCAAAGUGGUAAUGUAUUUUUGGAUAUUUAUAAUUUUAGUUUUUUCACUAAUUUUAAAAUCAUUCGAUUUUUCAAUUACAGAUCAAUUAUUUUAAUUAUAUUUUUUAGUUUUCAUUAUUAUAUUUUUUUCAUAUUACGCAUUCUACUGUUAAUGCUAUAUUAUAUAUUAAAAUAUUCUCAAUUAUGUUUAAAAUAAUAUUAUACCAUUGUUACGUCAAUGAACGUACAUAAUAAUUAAAAUAUCUUAAAGUGUAAUGUUAAAAUAAUAUAAUAAUAAUAUUGGACGACUCAAUAAAUCUGUCAAAAAUGAUGAAAACAAAUAUAAAUAAUGUUAGGAAAAAAAAACAUCUUAUCUAAAAAAAGUAAUAAGAAGAUUUAUUAAAUAUUUUAAGGCUAAGAAGGAAAUAAAUAUAAAAAGAUAAAAAAUUGUCAUUUUCAAAAAUUGUCAUGAGGUAGCGUUUCAAAUUAUUUUUUUCAAACUAUUAAAAAGACAUGUUUGUCAAAUGUUGUUUAUAAAGUCAAAAGCAAAUUUUUCAGUUUGUGAAAAACAAAUUAGAAACUAACUACAACUAUUUGUCCAACAUACACUAAAUUAAUAUUUUAGGAACAAAUUUGAUGCGGAUGAGUGUUUUAAAAUUGUAAGUAACUGGUUAAAUAAGAAGCAGAUCUCACAAAAUUUUAUAAUCUUUAAUAAAUUUAAAUGGAUUCAUCUUCAUUUAUGUGAUUGUUGAUGAAUACUUUGUGUUUACGAUUGCCUCUUGGUACUUUGUUAUUAUUUUAUGAUGUUAAAAUAUUAAUUUGUAACCAAUUGUAAACAUUUUUUUUACUCUCUUAAAUAAUUGGUUUUGAGUGAAUUUUAAUCAUAAAAAACCUAAAAUAAAAAGGAACAGAAGUAAGAAAAAAGUCCAAUCAAAUUCUAUUUUUAAAUUGAGUUUAAAUAACCUUUUAUCCUUUUGUUAUUUUAAAGAAACUUUUGGUCCUUAUAAAAUGUGAUUUUUUAUUUUAGCAACCGGUGGUUUGAGAUUCCAAACUUUCUAGAUCAUCGUCUGAUUUUCUCUUGCUAUAAAAGGAUCAGUAAAUCGAACAUCCUCCAUGGCAUAUUCCUGUUUAAAUAUAUGGAUUCCCAUUUUAACAGGGUGGAUAUAGGUAUCUAUACAACGUGGACAUGUAACAUUCACAUGGUUCCAUCCAUUUUCGAAAGGCAUCUCAUAUGGACUAUUUCUGGAUUUUAUCUCUUGUAGAUCACAAAGAUAUGCAUGGUGCAUUCCUGUCCUGAAAUGGCAACUAUAAGGGGAACAUUGGUUGCCAUUGAUGAACACCAUGGGACGAAAAAAUUUGUCUUGAAUAGGUGCAACAAUAAGACAAAGAACCAUGUCAGGGAACUUAUUACGAAACCAGAAAGAAAUUGAAGGUCCACUGCUUUGCUGAUCGAACCACUCAGGAAUCCUAUCUCUUGGCAAACAAAACACAGUGUUUCCAGCUUCAUGCAGUUCCUGUUAGCCAUAAAGAAUUCAUGAGUUUACCAAAGUUAAGUACACUAUAUAUUAUCAAAUAAAAUACAUUUCAAACAAGAUAAAACCUGAUUUAGGAACUUGCUUAUACUUGAGGAAGUCAAUGAUUUACAGUUUAUUGCAAAGAAAUGCUUUAAGUUUGGUGGAAUCCCUCUAAUUUCCCGAAGAUGCUUGCAGUAACAUACAUCAAGUAUCCUUAAAAAUUGACAUUCUUUGAUGCAUUCUGGAAGGAUUGUGAAAUUAUUCUCGGAUAGACAUAAUUUCUUCAUAUGUGCAAACCAAGUAAAAUCUAUUGAAAAAAAUUCAUCACAGAGGUUGCAACUUGAGACAGUAAGCCUUUCUACCUUUGAAGAUACUGUUGACCCCGUUGUUUUUUCACCCUCUUCCUGUUUUAGCCAUUGCCACCCUUUCAAUCCCACGGCGAAGAUUUCAGUCAGUUCUGGCAUCAGGACAAUGCUACUUGGCACCUUAAAAAUUGCAUGAGGACUUAAAAAGCUCAGAUCUAAUCCUUGAAGCCCAGCAUGAUUUUGAAAUGAAAAUGGCAAUUCUGUUAUGGAAGAGUGUGACAAACAAAGUUCUCUUAUGUUUUCCAUCUUUCCUAAUAUUUUUGGAAAACUCUCAAGACCUUAACAAAAUGAAAGGUUAAGUUUUUCAAGAGAAGUCAACUUGAUAGGUGGAAAACUUCUUAGCCUUUUGCAUCUAAAAGCAUUCAAUAUUUUAAGCUUAUCCAGAAAACCAAUUGAAGUGUGAACCGUAAUUAAAUUAUGGCAGCAUUCAAAUGAAAAUUCCUCCAAGUUUGGGAGACCAGAUACGUCAGGAAUCUGUGUUAAACAUUUGCACCUGUCAAAAUUCAAUAUUCUUAGAUUUACAAACAUCUGCAAAAAAAAAAACAGAAACAAUAAGAACAGAAUGAAUAAUCUUAAAAGUGAAUUUAUUAAAUAACAAGAUGUGGAAAAUGUACUCUUUAAGCUUACCUUCCAUAAGCCAUCCAAGUCAAAUGAGGAAAUACAACUAUAGGGUAACUUGCAUAUGGAAAGUUUUUUCGGAUGAAAAUCAGAUGGUAAACAAUGUGAAGGAUAUCUCCACCAUUCCAGUACUCUCAAAUUAUUUGGAAGAUAUUUGGGACCUUUGGAAAAUUUACCAUUUUUAAUAAUAACUGUUUUGAGGUUUUUCUUCUUCUUGAAAGCCUUUGUAUUUAAUUCUACUAUUUCUUCUUUGUCAAAGCUGGGGAAGUCUAGACAUAUGAUUUCAAUUUGACUAGUUCCCUGUUAAUCCAAAAGCCACGAAUCAACCACAACCACAAUGCAAGUGAACGCAUAUUUACAGAAAUUUACAUAUUAUGAAGAAAAACAACAAAUAUGAUUUGAACAUAUGAUAGUCAGGAAACAUAAACCAAGAUAUGAAAUCAAAUCAUUCAUUAGUGCCACUCACCUUGUUGUAUUCCAAAACUUGAAUUAUAUCUUCCAGUAACCACAGUCUACUGCGCUUCUCUGGCUCUUUCGGUGAUACUUGCCUGACAAUUUCUUUACCCAUGUCCUCAAUCAAGUCAUGCAUUGUAACUCUAGGUAAUCUACCAUACCAACUAAACUUUUUUAUAAGAGAUUUUUCAACCAACACUCCAAUAUGAUAUUUCAUGCAAUCACCAUAAUGAGCGCGAAGUAUAUCUAUAACCUCUGUCAAAGCAUAUCUAUUGAAGCAACAGGCAAUGUCAAGGAAAACAUUCUUUUGUUCUUCCUCCAAAGCAUCAAAGCUUACUUUAAGUAUCUCUAGGAUUUGAAUGCUAGGAAUUCUUUUAUAUUGUUUGAUAGCAGAUUUCCAUUCUUCUAUACUUUUCCCAAACAAGUUGGAACCUAUCACUUCCAAGGCUAAUGGAAGGCCAGAAGCAUAAAUUACUACAUCAUUCAAGUCCUCCUUAUAACUUGGAUCAACCUUUUCUGUUUUAAAAGAUUUCCAUGUAAGCAAUUGAAGAGCAUUGCUCUCAUUCAAUAGUUUCACUUCAUAUGUUCUUUUAACCCCAUGAGAUGCUAGCAGUUGUUUGUCCCGAGUGGUGAUGAUGACUCUACUGCCUGGACCAAACCAACAAGGUCUUCCAACAAUAGCCUGUAAUUGUUCAUGCUUGUCAACAUCAUCUAGAAUCAAGAGAACCUUCUUCCGCUGAAGCCUAUGUUGUAUAAUUGAAGCUCCUUGUUCAACACUUGCUAGGUUGAUUUCCUUCUCUCCAAGUAUUUCCCAAAGAAGGAUGAUCUGGAGGUAUUGUAACUCCUGUUUGUUUGAUUUUUCUCUCAAAUCUUUAAGAAAACAUGAACCAUCAAAAUGACAAGCAAUCAAAUUAUAAACGGCUAUAGCAAGUGUUGUUUUUCCUAUCCCGCCAAUUCCAUGGAUCCCUAUCAUGUAGACACCAUCAUCAGAUUCAACAUCCAAAAGCUUUGUUACUUCUAGUAAUCUUGACUCUAGUCCAACCGGGUAAUCCGCAACAGGCAAAGGAGCAUGAUUAAUCUUGCUGGAGACCAACUCAACAAUCCUCCCAAUAAACUCGUAUUCAUACCCUUCUCGGUUUCAAACAUAAAAGUCUUACAUUAUGUUUGGAUGGGUACUUUUAACAAAAUAAUUUAUUUUAAAUGGGACAUUGAAUAUCUCAUUUUAAAUUUAGUGUUUGGAUAAUAAGUUAAAGAGAAAUUGAAUAUAUGACAUUUUAACAAGAAAUUUUAAUCAACAAAAAAUGAAUAAUUUCAAAUUCUCUUAAAAAUGAAAGAAUUUCAAUUCCUCCACAAGAGAGACAUUCCUCCCACUCUCAGUCUUUCUUCUUUACAAACACUGUUCACUCCUCUUGAGUCACACGCUCUCGCUCUCUUGGGAUUUCGAGAACCUUGCUCUCUCCGGGUGGUGAAAAUUCUCACAUGGGGUCUUUUUACCUAGAGUUUUUCACAAAACUCACAGAAACAGAUAAGAAUCGUGCAAACAAGUAAUUGAAAAAUGAAUGAAUAAGGAGAGGAACGGACUCGUCUUGGAAGUUUCGGCCAUGGAGGUGUGAGAAGAGAAGGAAGUAGUGAGAGAGAGAGAGGAGUAUGAAGUAUUGUUCUUUGAGAAGAGGAGAAGGAAGGACGUGAAGGAGAGUAAGGCAGAGUCAAAGAAGAGGUGAGGUUCCUUUUAAACAAGUGUUGGCUCAGAGUAACACCAUCUAGGAGGACUGCGCCAUUUGUUCCUUUAUUAAUUACUUAUCCCCCGAUUCAUCUGUUUAACAUAUACAUUUAUUUUAUAUGUAAUUAAUCAAAUCAAAGGUGAAAUAUUUUGCAUUAAAAUAUUUUGUAUUAAAUUAUUGUGAUAUUAGAUAAUUGAAUUUUUUUUAACAAAAAAUUAGAUUGAACAAGAAAUUAUAUAUCAUUCAUAUUUAAUUUUACAGUAUUGUUUAAUCCAAGUUUUUGUGUGUGUUAAUACAAAAAUAUUAUGUAAGACUCAAAAUUGUUUAACAUUAAAAUUAUUUUGAUUAUAUAAUUAUUAAAUAUUGUUUAGUAUUAAAUUUAUUUUGAAUAUUUUACUAAUUAAAAAUGAUUAAUAUUUAUUUUUAUUCAAUAUUAAAAUUUUAAUUUUUAAAUAAAUAUUUAAAAAUUUAAAUUUAAAUUUAUCCGAACAAGAAAAUUAAAAUACAAGAAAUUAAAUUGCUACAUCUAAACAAAAUAUUUAUAAAAUAAAAAGUAUUUAAAUCAAAACAGUUAAAAUGUUGUGUAUUUAAAUUUUCUAAAAAAAAUUAAAUCCUCCAUCUAAACUAAAAAAUUUUACAUCCUCCAUCCAAACAUGGGUUAAAGAAGUCAAAAUAGCCCUAUCCAGGUUUGAUACCAAAGUUGUAACAAGCAUUUCUUUUCUCUUUAAAUUUUACAAUCAAAUCAUUAGACAAUCGACACCUAACCCAACAAAAAUUAUGAAGUAAAAGAUUGGUAAGGUGUGGUACCCGUGUUUGAAAUGAAAGCCAGACAAGUUAGCUACUUGAUGCAGAGCCUUCUUCCAAUACUCCAACUUCUCCAUGUUGUGGUUGAACCUUUCCUCAUGCUUAGCCAAUGCUUCUCCAUAACUACCUUCCUGGUGUCUGACAUCAGAAGGAUCCACCUUAUAAAAAACUGGCACAACCAACAGAUUUUUGCUCUUAAAGCACUCAAGAAUGUGAGCAAGUUCAUCUAAGCAAAACCAGGAAGAAGCUUAAUUUAUAGAGAGCACAGUGAUGGCAAUCCUGGAAUCUUGAAUUGCCUUCAGAAGUGCUGGUGUUAUUUCCUCUCCACUCUGAAGCUCCUCAUCAUCAAUGAAAGUGUAGAUUCCCCUGUCAUCAAGAGCUUUGUAAAGAUUUCCGGUAAAACCAUGACGUGUGUCUGCACCUCUGAAGCUGAGGAAAACAUCAUAGUUGAAGGAAGAGGAACAUGAUCCCAAAGCCAUGUGAACUGAGAAGAAAGUCUACUAUGAUUGUGGAUGGAAUGUUGCGUCUCCAAAACUUGGAUGAAGGUUCAUAUGUUUAUUUUUUCUGGCCUGCAUAAAAUAAAACAAUUAAAAAAUUAAGACUAUGAUCAUUAGUGUUAGAAGAUGAAGUGUGAGUUAAUAUGCAUUAAGAGACUUUAUUUUUGUGUAACCACUAAGUAUUUGAAGGGUUAUUGACAUUAAGCACGUUUUUUGUGUUAAUUGAAGAGUCAUUUAAUGGCUAUAGAUUGCUCUCAAGUCUCCUCUCUAUUUUUCUAACACCCUCCAAGUGGAAUGUAUUUGCGUUUUGGAUCCACUGACAAUUUUGUUAAGUAAAUUACAUUGCAACAGUGGAUGAUAUGCUGUGUAUCUUCUUCAGUUUAAUAUAUAUAAAGCAAAGCACUUUCAUUUUUGAGUUUUUGAAAUUAAACGAAUUAGAUUUGUUGUUUUUAUCACUAGCAUAUCCAGAAAACCUUCCACGAAGUUUCAUAAAAUAAUUAAUCUCCUUGAUAUUAGUUGUGCUUCUAACAUGAUUUUUUUUAUCAUGAUUUUAUAAUUUUGAAUAAACUUUAAUCAAUGAUAAAAUGUGUCUAAAAAGUAUGUUAUUUGCACUUUUCAUAUCCAUUUUUAUACUAUAAAAUAAAAUUAUCAAUUUAGAAAACACUCCUUUCUUUCCAUCGGUUAGACAUUUUCAACACUCUUUUUCUUUUCUAUCUGAAAGAUGCAUUUCACAUUCUAUUUUUGUAAUGAGCAAAAAAAAAAAACGUAUCUCUCAACCAUUUCAAAUUAAAUUUCUUUGUUUUUCAAAUGUAUAUUUUGAUUAUCUUAAUUAACUAAUUAUUUAUUUUUUAUUUAAAUUAUUUAUUCAAUUUAUUUAUGUAUUAAAAAAUAUUAUUAUUAUCAAUUUUAAUUAUAUAAAAAUAAAUAUUUAUUACGUGUUAUGCAAGAAUAUAAAAUAUUAGUUUAUUUUAUUAAACUAGUAUCAGCAAGUUUAAUAAUAAUACUUUUUGAAUUAAACCAAUGGGUUUAUUGUAUUCGCAUCAGCAUACAUACAGCUAACAACUCAAGCUUGGCAUAGCACAAAUGUGACGAGAGAUUGUUGCCUUCAAUCAUUAAUUAUGCCAAUUUUUCUGAAGGAAUAGAGUGAAUUGCUCGGUAUCUAGAAAUCGAUGGGCACAGCUACAACGUCAGAUUCUUUAGCAUAUAUAUGAGACUUUUUAUAUAUAGUUGAGCGAAUACAAAAAAUAGCAUAGCAUAUUAUUAUUAGCAUAAUCAAUAUUGUCCUUUAAAAGAUGCAACUCUCACCAAUGUUCAAUGAUAACUUGGCAAAGUAGUUUCUAUAUUCUCCCGGCCAUUGAUUUCUUCAAUAACUUUCUCUUUUUUACAAAAAAAAAAAACCCAUGAAGGCGCAGGAAUUAUCUUGGCAUGUGGAUAACACAUCUCUGACACUUUCCUUCCUUCAUGAGAUUGAAAGCUUUGUUAAUGUCAUCAAAUGGCAAAUUGUGUGUUAUGUAGUCAUCAAUCUGGAUUUCCUGCAUAUUAAUCAUAAUAUUAGUACAUAUUUUUUUGCUAAAAUAGCUGCUUGAAAGAAAAAAAGCAUAUCAAGCAAGAAAAUAGCUCUGAUAAGCAUUUGAAGUUGCAUUCUCAAUUCCUCCCUCCCUCCCCCCUUCAAAAAUAUCUCUUUCACAGACAUUUGGUACACUUUAUAAUGAAAAACAAGAUUAGGUCACAAAUACCAGCUAUAUAUAGACAAGUAGUACAUCACAAAUAAACGAUAAUGAUAACAUGAAAUUGUCCUCCGCUUCAUCAUAAAUAAACGAUACAAGUGCAGCAGAUGGAAGUAAGAAAAAAAGGGCAUACAGCAGGUAAAUCAACAUACACUUUGACAUUCAUAGUCAAAAACAUAUACAAGUAGAAUGAGAGAGAGAGACAGAGAGAAUUUUUUCAGGGUAAUGCUGCUAUAAGAACUUUACCUUUGCAAAAACUCAUUUUUGAACCAUAGAUUUACCUUUGUAUCUCUGGUGUCAGUUCAAAUUUCAAAACAUUAAGCAUAUUUUCUGCACAAAUCAACAUGAAAUCUAAUGGUUCUUCACAUUUGUUGUCUUCUCUCCUUAAGAGUUUGUUCAUGUAACAUUACUAAAUUUCUAUCUUCUCUGUAGAGUUAUUCUAAUCACUGGUCAAUGAACUUAAUUAUCUAUGCAAGAAAAUUACCUUUUUCAAAUAGUCAUAGAGAACCAUUUAUGCAGAAGGUAGACAUUGCCGUGUUUCAGCUUAGAGUGAAAACGUAUAAAGUAGUCAGGUUCAGAUGAGAGGAAUCCGGGUAUACUGUUUCAGUUACCUUGUUGAGGUACUUCUUUACUAAUGAAGGCAGAUCAGAUUUUGGUUUCCAUCCCCAAAAUAGAGAUCCUUUCAAUGUUCUUCCCAUUAGGAGUAGUCCAUAACGAGCUGACAUCUCAAGCUUCACCUUUGGCACACCAAGUGUUACAGUCAAACCCCAUCCCUAUGCAACCAAGGAAAGAUAGAAUGAAUUCAAGUAUAAUGAAUAAAAGCUUUUAAAUGUCAAUUGCCAAAACAAAAAUUUUGGGUUUAUAGAGUAUUACAUCACAGCAUGACUACAAUGCAGUGGUUAUCAUAUCAGUGUCACCUACACAUUCGAACGAGAAAUCUGCCCUUCCAUCAGUAAUGCACUUAAUAACCUGGAAAUUUUCAACACAUAAAUGGUUGUUAUGACUUCCAAACUUUGUGUGCAUACUUAUAGUUUUUGUGUGCAUACUUAUAGUUUUUGUGCCGAAGUAAAAUUAUAUUCAACCAAAAUCAAAUUCACAAUAAAUAAAUUUGUAUGGAUCAAACAUAUGUAAUAUUUGAUCUAGCGGGAUACUUUUGAUAGCCAUCAAUUACAGUUACAUACAAUUUUCUCCACAAAAUAAAGUAUGAAAAGUUAAAUCAGAUGUUUUGUAAUGAGAAGAUCAAGCCGCCUGAGCAAUAGGUUCUUUAUAGGAAUUCGGGAAACAACUUCAGUAACCCCAAAAGCUUUAGUUGUGGCAACAAACAACAAUAAGUAAAUAAAGGGAAAUAUUAAAUAUAAAUUUCAGAGUAACUUGAGGAAUUGAAUAUAGUACCAUUUUCACACUUCUGUGGAUUAUUGUCCACACCAAUUAUUCGAGAUGCACCUCUUAGUUUGGAAGCUUGAGCAACCUAAUUGAUCAAAGGAAAAUUAAUUACAAUUUGGAAAAUAUUGUUGCUUAUCUGUUGAGAAGUUAAGAUCGAUACAAUUGAAUUAUCAAUGUACUUACAGAUAGGCCAACAGUUCCAAGACCAAAAAUCACCACAGUUGAUCCUUUUGACACGUCAGCAACAUUCCAUGCUGCGCCCAGACCUAAUGUUUUAAAAAAAUGAGUCCCAUAAUCAACAAAAAAAUAAUAAUUUAUCAAUGACAUUAACAACACUUAUUGGGAUCUAUGGCUCUGACAGUGUCUAGUAGCAAAAGUUCAUAGUAUAUUAUUUGUGAGGUAUAAGAAAGAGGAGGAAAAUAAGUCCAGCAUUUGUAUUUUGCCUACAAAUUCAUCCAAUGCCACUUGGAACUAACAAUUCCUUCAAUUUCAUCCAAUCUUUACCUAUGCCAGUUACAAUGCCUCUGGCAUCAUCAAAUCCAAUAAUAAGACGUUUUACACUAUCUUGUGUUUCCUUACCAAUCAUUUGUGGAGCUGCUUUGGUUAAUAAUCCGAAAAUCCAGUACUGCGUUUUGGAUCAUUACACAUUGAGUUAUAAUCAAAUUAGUUUCAAGUUUUUCUGGAAGUCCAGAAGCAGUAACAAGUCAUCAAUAGACAAUGCUAAACAUGCAAUUAAAAAUAAUUUUUUCGACACUUAUAUGCCCAAUGUGGCAAGCAAAUAAUGUGUUUAGGGCAUAUAAGUCAUUCAUUAACAAACUACAAGAUAUUAAAGCAAAUAAUGCAAAACAAAAAUAUAUGAGGACAUUUUGCAGGGUAAACCUAUGUGGCAAGCAUCUAUGAGGCAGGUGAUGGAACUCUUAUAUGCCCUAAAAUCAAUUUAAACUGUAAAAAACAGUGACCUUUGACAAUCAAUCAGUCUCAAAUACGCAACAGGUUUUGUCAAAAUGCAAAACAACAAAAAAGAAAGUCAUUAUCUUUCUAAGUUUUAACUAAUUUAAGAGAAAAUCAGACCAAUUCACUUGAUGACCUCCAGCUGAGAGGAUCACCUGUGAUGAUUUUACAAUUAUAUAUAUUGCCUUUGUUUAUUUUCCAAGGCCAUACUGUUCCUUUGACAUUCAAACUGAUGAACACACAGACAGAAGUCAUGCCUCCUCUAACCAUUUAUAGGAAAUAACAAGAAAAAAGAAUCAGACAGCUUAAUGGCUAUUAACCUGUUACUAUUUCAAGUAAUUUAAGUACACGGUUUUAAGUUUACAAUGUUGAUUACUGAAACUCCAUUAAUCUAUUCCCUAAUUUUAGAACUAAUAAUAAACAGCUGAAACAUUUACCUGCAGCAACCCCACAGCUCAGAAGACAUAUUUUCUCAAGAGGUGCAAGGGGACUGAGUUUCACUGCACAUCCAGAAUGGACUACUGUGUAUUCACUGAAACUUGAAACAGCACAAUAAUCAUAAACAGGUUCCCCUUUUACUGAGAAGCGCGUCUUCUGGUCACUAUGCAUUAAACCCAUCCUUUCCAAUCCCAAAACGACAAGUGUUGCUUUUUCCAGAUGUGCACUGCCUGCAUGAUAUGCAUUCUCCAAUGAAUACUGUUAGCACAUGGUCCCCCUCUUUGAAUUCAGUCACUCCUUGUCCCACACUCUCAACAAUGCUGCAAAAAUAUACCAAAUAUUAAAUAUCUACUGAGAAGACUACACCUUUUUGCAAUGAUUUAGCUAAAGUAAUGUCCUUGAUGCAACAAUGUAUCACAUUCCCAUGCAUAGUGUAAUACUUCACUCUCAGCUGAUCGUUGUCACUCUAACUCAACUUGGCAUAUCAGUAUUUGAUCAAAUUCUCAUACUACCCAAUUGGGUAACUCUUAAAAAUACAAAAUUUCUUCUUAUGAAAUUCAACAAAAAUAACCUAAGGAACACUAGUGACUCAAUGUUGUCUUAAUCCAAACGUAGAAAUAAGAGUAGAUUACCCUGAUGCUUCAUGGCCAAAUAUUCGAGGAAAUAUGGCCUGCAAAAAAGCACCUGGCGUUAAACGCUUAACUACAUCCAUUCAUAAAUUUUUAACAGAAAUCAUGACAAAGAAAUAUUCAUUAGUAGACUAAUCGAUCACACCACCAGCCAUCGGUAGCUUUUAAAAAAGAACAGGAGGCAUACUCUUGAGAACGCAACAUUUAAUUCAAGAUUUAUCAGUAAAACAAUAAUCAAUCACAUUAAACAUCAAAUGUUGAUAGGCAUGCAUUGGCUAAUAUGUUAUUGAAUUACAUCUCAUGAGUUGAAUUUUAAUAAAUUCUGUCAAAUCAAAAAUUACUUCAAGUAUGACUUUUAAAUACACGAUUCAAUGAUGAUGUAAAAGAUCCUUACAAUGUCAAUUUAUUCCAAUUCAAUUUGAAGUUUCACACUCCAAAAGAACCAUGCGAAGUUUUAUGAAACAAAUUUUCCAUUAAAGGCAAGAUAACAACCAGACUUACAUGAGAUUCCCAAGCGGAGAGAUCACUGCGACAGAGAGAAGUGGAGACAACCUUAAUCCUAAUCUCCAUUGGUUGAGGAGGACUCACUUCCACUUCCUCUAUCACCAAUGCUUCCCCAGCUCCCCAUGCCACUGCAGCUGUUCCAUGUUCCACAUACCAUUAACAAAAGCCACACGAAUUAAUAUCCCAUGUUGAUCAUAAAACAAUGCACAGACAGAGAUAUCAAAACAAGAAAAUGAAAAAGGAAAAGGGUGGCUGACUUUACCUUUGCAGGUAAUGACUUGAGGUGUUGACAUGUUGGUGAGUGAAGAACUAUUACAAAGUGGGAAAGAAAAAGGGUGGAAGAGAACUUGAAAUAGCAGUUGGUGGUGGUAGGUAGUCUGUCUAAGACACGGAGUUAGUUGGUAUAUUGUAGUAGGAUUUAGAAUGUUGUAGUAAUUAUGUGGCUACUGUCAAUUUUCAAGUUUUAUUCAAACUAAUGAAAUUUAAGAAAAUAUUUAAUAAUUUUAUUUAAAAACAAGAACAAAUUAUAAAAAUGUUCGUUUUUGAAAAAGUUGGUAUUUCAAAAUUGUUUGGAUGUAUGUGAGAGUCUAAUUAUGACCAAGGAAAGGCGGAAACUUUCUUUUACUGUGCCUUCAAGACAUCUAUUAAAAAAUAUACUAGUUGCCUAACAAUUAAUAGUAUAAUUGUUAAUAAUUCUUCAAAAUAAAAUAAAGAUAUUGUCAGGAAAAUUUAGCAAUAAUAAAUAAAUAAAAAGUUUGCGAAAUUUAUUCAACUUCAAUGAAGUUUUACCAUAUUAUGGCAUAUGAGCAUAUCCCUUGGUGUUAACAUUUUUCUAUUAUCAAAUACAAAAAAAGAGGCAGUAAGUGCAUUAUUUAAAUAUUGGUUUUAACACAGCUUAGCUAAGUCUUGGUGUACAGAGUUCCAAUUCGCAGCUAAAUCUUCAGCAUUCCGUCCCAUUAAAAUGUCACAAUAUGGCAUUGUUUGGAACUCAUCAAACCAAACCAAACUCACAAGGACAGAAAAUAACAAAAUACUUGAGGGCUAACAAAGAAAAUAUGGUUAAAUUCUUGAUUCACAAUAUGGACAUCAUGUUCCUAGCGUUGAAGACAACUAAACAUCAUAUUCUCAACAAUCAUUUCUUCACUAGAACAUAAAUAACAACACGAUUGCUGCAAUAAUCAGGGUGCCAGAGCGUUUGUUCCACGCGGCCAAUAGUGAAAUUAUCCAUUGCAGCUUCUAAGAAGUACUCAAGAAUGGCAUCUGAAAUCAGAAAACACUACUGAGCAGUAUGCUAUAAAUUGUGCUCCCAAAAGAAAAGAAAAAGGAAUGGUAUUCUUUACCAUUUCGGAGUUCUCCAGCCAAAAAUAUUGUUGUAUUAGGUCCAGAGAGCUGCAUAAGUGUUUCUAGCAGAUCCACAACUGCCCCCUCACUGUACACUACAUCAGAUCCUAUCACUGAAAACAAGAAGUCAAGUAUUGAAUCGAUAAGGAAUGCUAGCAAAAUAUCACAUGAGAUGCAGGUAAUUCAAAUAUUUGACAAGGCAUGCAAGUCAAAGGAAGAAAAAGAUAAAAUUAACUACAAAGCUAUGAUUAGAAUGAUGACAAUAAUCACAAUUCACAGCAAAACGUCAAAAGUUUCUGAUGCCAGUAAUUGAAUGUUGUUUGCUCCUUGUCACUUGAAGGAGUUGAGGGAGAAUUAUCAUACCAAAAUCGGGUUUGGGGUCAAUGAGUUCUGGGUCAGGAUCUUCUCCCCAUGUGAGCUCAGUUGCUGUUACAGAACCCCGUAGAGAAACAUGUUUCAUGUUGGUCUCAAUAUUCUUUCUCAGUAGCCUCAGCCUAUCUGGCAGAUCAGUGACAAUGACCUCACUACCCAAAAGGGUUGCAAUGCAACUAAGGAAGAAAAAAAUAAGAAAGGUGUAUCAUAGAAUGAGUAAGAACAAACUUAAAAAUAAUUCCUCGUCAUUUUUUAGAAAACUUAGAGAUAGUUUGGAUAAAAUUUUGAACAACCAAAAAGAAAAUAAGAAGAAUUAAGGAGGUAAAAUGAAUCAAACUUCUCCCAUAAGAUAAAAUCAACUUAUACACAACUAAUGGAGUAGAAAGAUGAGAGUUCAUAGCAAAAUUUAGGUGGAAAAGUAGAUUUUAACCUGUGGGAGGAGAAAUUUGAUUGUUAUUAACUUCUUAAUUCAUUAUAUUUUCUUCUCCAAAAAGGACCUAUUGAGAAGCUUAUUCAAACGGUCUCUUGUUCGUAAAAAAAGACAAUGCAAAAGCUCAAAGCUCUAUUUUCCUAGUUCAGUAAAUCCUUGUGGAAAAAGACAAGCUAAUCAAGAAACUAUGGACAAACUGUAGCCAUUUAGCAUGAACAGGUCAAAUAGGAUGAGAUUGCAAUUGAACUUACCCAACCAAUCCACAACCAGAACCCAAUUCAACAAUCUUCUUUCCCUGAAGGACAAGCAUCCCUGAGUCAACAGCAUGCUCUAGAAACUUUCCCAGUACAACUCCACUGUCCCACAUCACUGCUCCAGUUACUCCAGGCGUUCCCUUGAAACAAAAGUCCAAAAUCUCAAAACUGUUUAAAACUAAAAACCAAUCAUUAGAAAAGGCACAAGCCAAAGCAGAAGCCAUCUGAGCACUAAUGUGAAUUAUCCAUGUCAACAGAACCAUUACACAUAAGUAAUAAAAAAAAACAAGCACGAAUCACAUGCCUCUAUCCCUCAACCACCAAAACAUGCCCAAACAAAUUAGUCACUAAUUUAAGUUAGUUUAUUCUGUUAGUUAAGUUCCGCUCCUAAAAAACAAGUGUACAGCAUCCAAGACACUCCAGACACUAUAUAUAUAUUAAUGAUUACUCAAAAAUAAGUUAAAUGGUUCAUUUUCUCAAAUUCAGAUCUUCGAUAACACAUGUCAUCAACAGGGGCUAUAGCAAGCUAAUAACUUUAAGCAAAAACAAUCAGCAUCAUGGUAUUUUAUGAAAUGGGUAAUCACGUUCGGGCAAAAAACAAAACCGGGUGAUCAAGUUAGAACCCAAAACAAGAUCAAAAUCAAAGCUUUAAUCAAUAACCUUUAACCAGAGCAUUGAGAGAGAGAUACCAAUGAGGAAGGGGAUUGAAGAAUGGAGAGAGAGUGGCCACAAGAGUCGAGGGAGAGUUGCAAGGAAGCUUGAGAGACGAAGGCAUUGGGUUUGGAAAGUGUGGGCUGCUGAAUACCCCAAAGCAGCAUGGUCUCCUCCGCAGCGGAUUCCUCCCCACCAACCACCAACCGAACCUCACCACCGUAAGAACCCAACUUCACCAUUGGCGCCACUGCUUCCUCUUCCUCUUCGUUGUUGUUGGCCAUGGUGUCCUCGCUCUCUCUGUUUCGGAUUGAAUUGGGUUUUAAUUUGUGGCCUUUUUAGGUAUGGGCGUUGAAAGGAGGAGGGCUUUUGCUUCCUGCACCCCAUAAAAAAGUGAAAAAUCAUGUACCCCAUCGAAAGUAGGCCAACCGAGCUCCAAGGCACCUCAUGCAUCCCCUCUGUCAGAGAUAAAGGCAAGUUUUGGGAAACGUCAGCUUUGCUUUGCAGAGCUUUCUAUGUUGCUUGCCAUUUGUUUAUUUAGUAUGUUUUAUCUGUUCUUGGUUAAUGUAUGUUUCAUCUUAGAUAAAUGGUAACUUCUGUGUAACCACCUACGAUACACAUCCAGAGAUUUCAGGAUAACCAUUACAGCAGUUAAUUGUACAUAAAUUAGCGCUUGACCUAAGGAGACGGAGAUUACACUUUCACAUUUGAGUCAGAACCUUAGACGUGAUCUAAUUAUAGGGACACACCCAAAUGGACAAGAUUAGCCUAAUCUCAUUAGACACCCAAUCACUUGUCGACCCUAGCUAUUUUUUCUAAGAAUAAUAUAUAUAUAUAUAUAUAUAUAUAUAUAUAUAUAUAUAUAUAUAUAUAUAUAUAUAUAUGAGUCCCAAAUUUAAAGAGAUCAAUUUCUCCGUACCAUAUUUUGUUUCAUUACUAGUGGUAUUUAUGCAAUUUUGUUGAAACUAUAUGCUUUAAUUUGGGAUAUAUAGAUAAACCUAUGUCUAUUAUAGUAUGUGAUAAGAGUUAGAGACUAUAUGUUGUUAUAUCCUUAUAAUUAUAUUGUAAAUAUAUCGAGUAUUAUUCUCUAUAUUGGUGCUUGUUAUCAUAGUAUUCCUAUCGAUUACAAUUUUGCGUCAUUGAGAUACUUAUAAAUUUUAUGUUUGGAACAAUAAUCUAAGUUUGUGCUCAUUAUUAACAUUUUGUGGUCGUACUAAUUUAGAGUAUCGUUUUAUUUAAUCUAGGUGUCUAUGUCACCCAAGUAGGAAGCUAAUGGAUUUCACGUUUGCAUAGUUAGUUAUUUUGUGAAACUCAAAUUAAUUGAGUGUCAAUUAUUGUAAGGACAUUUAUUGCUUCAGCCCAUAUUUGAUCAUUUUUGUUAUUGGACUAUCAUGAACACUUAGAUGCUUGUGAAUUAUGUUCCGGCCUUUAUAACCUUUUUAGACUUAAAAUGAUAUGAUGUUGAAAGAAAACAUUUGAAGAUUCAAUGACCAAAGAAUUAACUAUUGAGCUUUGAGAAUUUUGUUAAUCAUUUUGUGUUUGGUUAAGUCUUUUGGUGUUUUGGGUUAGUGGGAGUCGAAAAACUUUUUCAUGAUAUAUAUAUAUAUAUAUUGUCUUGGUAACAUAUCUUGUAGCAUUUUAGAUGCUUGGAUCAUUGUUAUAUAGCGUAUUUUGACUAUUAGACUAUAUUAUUCCAUACAUUAUUUUCGUGUGAGAGAUAUGUAUAUAUGAUGCACUAAAUAUGUAUCCUUAUCAAAUAUUAUUUUCUAGCGUUAAAUAUUUUAGAUUUCUUAUAUUAUUGACAUAUGAUUAAGAUUGUCCUUCUAGCUUUGAUGAUUAUUUUCAUUGGUUAAUACUAUCUAGGAGAGAGAAUGUUAAAAUAUUUAUUAUGGAUUAAUAUUAAUCAAUAAUUAUUAUAUUAUCUUUUAUCAUCAAUCAACAAUUUGAGAUAAGAUAAAUAUCAUAUGUAAUUAUAGAUAUUUUAGAUGAGAUUAUAGAUAAAAGUGACCUUGUGAUGGGUUGAGUUAAUUAUUGAGUAAAUAACUCAUUGAGAGGUCCCUUAUCAUCAGGGAGAGGAUUAUAAAUUUAUUAUUUCAUUAAACAAAUUGACAUUUUGAUUGUCUUUCUCUUAGUUAGAUUCUCUUAAACAAUUUCCUACAACGUGACAAAAAUCCUCUCAAGAAUAAUUAAAGAUUUCAUCGUCAUGCAACUCAUGGUAUAAUUUAGGUAUGUUUUUGACACCCUUUUAGAUUUUAUUGUUAUACUUAUAUAUUAUAAUUUGUAUUUAUGAGAUCAUUUGUGUUAUCUACCAUUAGAGAAUAAUAUAAACAUAUGUUAUUUAUAAUUGAUUAUAUACUUUUUUGAUUAGUUGAUUGAUUGAUUAUUUACUUAUCUAUAAUUGAUUGUAUAUUUUGAUUAAACUCAUUAAAGUAAAGGUGAAAAUACUUUGGCGAGUUCAAGGUGAAAUUAGUUUUGUGGAGGUUAAAUUAAAACUUUUUUUGGAUAAUUGAGAAAAAACAUUUUAAAAGUAGUUAUAAUUCUUUAAUUUUUAAAAAUAAUUUUACAAAUAUAUUAGAUAUCCAUUUAUAUAAAAAAAUAUUAAUAGAUGGAUUGGAUUGAUUUUAUAAAAUAAAUUAUGAAUGAAUUGAAUAGUUUUAAUAAAUAUAAAUAAAUUAGUAGAUAAUUUCCAUUCUAAUCCAAAUCAAAAUAUAUUAAAUUUAUCAAUUUCUCCCCAAGUUGGAUUGACCUAAUUAGAGCGAACAAAUUUAACAUGAUGCAACCCAAAUAUUUUUUAUUGGGUAGGGUGUAAAUUUUUCUCAACCCUGAUCCAUCUCUAACAGUGUUUACUUUUAUAGUAAGUAAGUAUUAAAUAACUUAUAGUUUUUUUUUUUGCUGACUUUUAAUUUAGAAUUAUUUAAUACCUACUAAUGCUUAUUAAAAAACUUAAAUAUUAAAUACUUUUAUAGUAAAUAAAUAUUAAAUAAUUUGGAGUAGUACUUUUUUUUUUCGGUGAGCUAUUUAAUGCUUAUUAAAAAAAACAUAAAUAUUUCAAAAUUCUUAUUAAAGGACCCAAGUGUAAUACAAAAGGAAUAAAGGACUAUUGCUAAUUUAAAAAAAAUAAAAAUUGUAAAGACUGGAAACGAAGCGUCUAGAUUUAGAAGAACAGAAGAUGCAGCUUCGUCGAUCUUGCUUCUUCUUUCAUCAUUUUGCAUCGCGUUAGGGUUUGCAGAUUUUCAAUUUCCCUUCUUUUCGCUACCUUUCUCGCAUAGAAUCUCGCAAUUCCUCCGUUGUUCCGUUUCCGCAACUCAUCAAUUCGAAAGUUAUUGCUUCACAAGGUAAAAAAAAAUUCGUUCCCUGAGCUACAAUUUGAUGGUGUUCCUUGUCUUACAUCCUCGAUUCCUCUUCAUCAGUUUCAUCGAAAUUCGAAUAAAACAAUUUCCAUGCAUUAUUUAAAUGUUUUCGAAUAUUAUCUGUGUGGAAAACUAAUUGGAGUGUGAAUUAAUUUUUCUGUGCCUGUAACCUACAUUGUGCGUUGUAGCAUGUACCUGUAUUAAACAAUUGUGAUCCCUGUUCUUCAUAACUUAUGAUCCUGUGUUGCAGCUGAGGCAUGAUUUUUAGUACUCUAAUAAUUGUAAUUCUCAAUGAAACUGAACCUUAGGUGAAUUUGAAUUUAGGAGGUAGAGCAUGUAAUAAAGGAAAAAAAUGGAGGUCGAGGUGCCAAUCUCGCUUGAUUUGAAUAAUCAACUUCAGCCAGAGACCGUAGUUUCAGUUCAAAAUGGGGAUCCUGGUGUUUCCUCUUCUGUUGCAAAUGCUGUUAACCCGCAGCAGCCAGGUCAGUUUUCGAGCUUCAUUCCUAAUUUUUAUUUGGUGUACAGUUAGGCUUUGACACGUGCCAUCGUUGGGAUGAGAAGUCAAAGGUUUAAUUGCUUGAUGUCGUAUAUAGCUACAAAAAAACCGACCAGGCAGUGGGCUGCAUGGACUCGACAAGAGGAGGAAAGUUUCUUCACCGCGUUACGACAAGUUGGGAAGGUACAUUUAUCUUUGGUGUUGUUACCUUUCUGUGUUUGUUUCUUAUGGUAUCAUAAUGAUUUCUGAUCGAAAUAUUCUUGAAUGUAGAAUUUUGAGAAAAUCACUUCCCGUGUACAAAGUAAAAACAAGGAUCAGGUAUCCACUAAAACUUCACGUGGCUUUUUAACCCUUUGCAUUUUCCCAUUCAUCCACACCCCCCCCCCCCCCCAAAAAAAAAUGAUUAUGUUUUAGUUUUAUUGCAAAUAAUAUCAUGUCUUGUUUUAGUUUUCUUACGCACUUUUUUGUGUGGGGGCUGACUUGCAGGUCAGGCAUUAUUACUACCGACUUGUGAGACGGAUGAACAAACUUCUUGGUCCAGGAUUAUGUUUGGAUGCCAAAAACUCUAAAGAUACUAAUGCUGCAAUGCUUCGCUGGUAACAAUUUAUUCAGAGUGGUUGUUAAAAUGGGUUUAUAUACAUGUAGAUGCGCACUUGACUGCAUGUGUGUAAGAUGUAGACUAUCUUUUUGUUCACCAAGUUAAAAGAUGUUAUUUCUAUGAUGGUGCAUUGGUUAACUGAAAUUUAGUCUAUUUUAUUGUAUACGCGUAAGGAAAAUCAUGGAAAGAACAGGUUGAUGAUGGGAGGAAAACAUGUCCUUGUAUAGAAAUGGAUGGAUGCUUCAGAUGUCUAGCCUAGACCAUAAGCGUAAUCAUCUUUGGUAGUAAGAAAACAUUAAGGGCUGAAAUUCCUAACUAAUAUUCUUGAAGUACACAACAUCCCCUGUUUAAAUACCCUUUUUUAAUUUGAGGAUAGACUGGACUGUUUAGUGACUUGGUAAAUGACAUUCGAUUUUGAGACUGAGAUUGACAGUGCAUUUUAUAAUUUUAUCAUAUUAUAGUAAUUUCUUGAAUAAGAAUAGGGGUAUAUUAUGGGAGUUUUUUGCAUUGAAAGUUUCUCACUAGUUUCUCACUUUUACCUGAGACACAGGUGGUCUUUAUUAGAAAAGUAUAGCUGCAAAGCCUCAAAGCUUCACCUGAAGCCCCGGAGAUUUAAAAUUUUUUUAGAAGCCUUGGUUAGUAAAGGCUAUUUACAGUUAUUUGGGAUUUUUUUUAAUAUCUUCUGUAUGUGCUGGAGCUGAUCUACAUUUUUUGUCGCAAAGGAGCACCAAUUAUUGAAGGAUCGGAAGAAGAAUGUGAGGAAGCGACCCUUACAGGGGGGGAAUUGUCUUCCUGCUGCACCUACCGCAGUCUCAAAUCAAAGUAGAGCAUCAGGAAAUGAUGCCCGUGCAGUUAAACUGGUACUUGUUGACAAUCAAAAUAUUUUAAAAUUGGGACCUUCUAAACCAUCAACGAAGCGCACUGUAAACAUGGGUGUUAACCAUAGUAACACCAAGGGAGAUUCAAAUACCAUGAAACCAACAAGGCAACGAAAGAAAUCUGGUGAUCUUUUUCAAUUCCCUUCAAGAUCUCAUUUACCAGUUUUCUGCUUUGAACUAGUUUUUCCUUCAUGAUAAUUGGAUAAUAUAUAUUUAAAAUUUAAAGUAAAUUUGCAUUAGUCAAUUUUUUUUUCUUACUUUACAGUAAUAACUAGGUUCUCUUUAUUUCUCAGGUACGAUUUCAACGGCUGCUUAUAAAAAAUGGGAGAAGGCUGCAAUUGCUGGUGUUUCUUUAGUUGCAGAUGCUGCUGAGCAUUUGGAGCGAGCUGCAACUGUUAAAGAAAUUGAACAAGACCAGGAGAAUCCAGGUAGCUACCACACUUGGAGUUUUAUCCUAUCCUUGCUUCCACGAGGGCUUUCUUGGAUCUUCUGUAACUUCAAUCAAUUUUUCUAUGUUCGUUCCAGGAGAAAGAUGUUCUGAUCCCGCUGAUUAUGUCCUGCCCUCUUUAGCCAAAUGUCCACAAAAGCAAUUUGUUGAUAACAAUGUGAACAAUAUUAUGAAACUUAAGCUCCAGUUAUUUCCAAUUGAUGAACCUACUCGAAGAGCAUUGGAAAUGGUGAGUAUAAAAGAAAACCAACAAGAAUCUUACUUUAGCAAUGUAAAAGUGCUUUUGGAAACUAUCAUAUCUUUUUCUUUUUUUCCCCUCUUAGGAUAAGCAUAAUCCACACCUGGAGCUUACACUUAGUACUCGAAAGAAGAUAUCAUCAAUUUUAGAACAUCUAAACCGUAAAUGGGGUAAUUCAAGCAUAGCAGCUGGAGAAGUAAUGCUUUUUCCUUAUGGUAUUCAAAGGGAAAAUUUAGUUAAUUAUCCGAGAUGGACCCAGGAAUCUACUCUUAGUGCAGCUGAUAUAUAUGCAAUGAUUGGAAGUCCACCCAUCUUCCGUUUAAGGUACCUCUUUUAUCUUGCCAUCUUGGUUUAUUGUUAUAUUUGAAGUAACUAGACAGUGGCAUGUAAGAAAACUAUUCAAUUGUGAUGCUCUUAAUAAUUGCUUAGAUAAAAGAACCUGUGAAAAUUCAUUCACUUCAUCGCUGAUUAAUUGGUUAAUUUAUAAUCAUGCUUUCUGUGAAAUGUUGAAUUGAUGAAUGAUGAGGGAAAAGUAAACAAAAUGAUUUUGAUACUGAGUUAUAAAAAACAGCAAAAUGUUUCAGGGAUUCUAUACACACAAGAAAUGCUUUAAAUGGAAAGCCAUCUGGGCUACUUUACCUUCUUUAUUGUUAUAUUUGAAGUAAUUAGACAGUGACAUGUAAGAAAACUAUUUAAUUGCGAUGUUCUUAAUAAUUGCUUAUAUAAAAGAACAUGAGAAAAUUAAUUCACUUCGUCACUGGUUAAUUUGUUAAUUCAUAAACAUGCUUUCUGUGAAAUGUUGAAUUGAUUAGGGAAAAGUAAACAAAAUGGUUUUGGGAUACUGAGUUAUAUAAACCAGCAAAAUGUUUCAGGGAUUCUAUACAUACAAGAAAUGCUUUAAAUGGAAAGCCAUGUGGGCCGCUUUACCUUCUUUAUUGAAGAUAUUUUUAAGUAUGAGUGUUUGUCCUUAAUUGCCGGUUAUACGAAGUAGUAAAUUAACUCUGAUGGAAUUUGGAGAGCAUACUCAAGAAAAGUAAACAGCAUGAGGGCUUGUGUAUGUAGAGUGAGGUGGUCUAUUUAAUUAAGAGACAAGGGAUAGAUUAGGAAUAAUAAAUAUGGAGUAGAAUUUCAUUUUUACUAUAUGUACUUUGUAAUGAUCAUAUUUGCUGAUCUUUGUGAAGGUAUGGUUGGUUCUCCAAUACUGAGCUUGGGUUAUUAAAUAUGCAAGUGCCUGAAGCAUCUGGCUCCAUGCUCAGACAAUACAAAAGUAGUGUGGACAAUGCUAAGGAUCCGAUUGUGAAUUCAGUUUCAUUUCCUACACCAUUGACUAAUACUCUUUCCAUGGAGCUCUCUGAAGAUUGCAGAACAUCCAUGAACAGAAACCAUACUCUUAUGACUGCUUCAACUGAUUUGUCUAAUGCUAGAGGAAACAAUGUUUACCUGAAUACAAGCACUGUGGAAUCUCGUGAUCCUACAGCCAAUACACCAUGGCAUGGAAAAGAUGUUAGGGAUGGAGCUGUGACUACACAGUUGGAAGACAUGGUAAUUGCCAUCCUCUCUAUUUUUGUUGCUUUUAUUAGCCCUAUAGUGUUACUUUAGGCUUUCAUCUAGUGUCAUAGGAUCUUUAAGUGUUACCUUAUUGUACUUUGUUAGUUCAUGAUAUAAAUUUUCUCGUUCUUGGGAUCUUGAGCAUAUCUUCCCUCCUUUUUUAGAUUGUUAUGUUCCAAAUUCCAAUUACGUACUACAUGGUUUGAGUGGUAUACAUUAACCAGACUUUUUUAUUUGGAUAGUUAAGUUGCAUCUUGUAUCAUUAUCAGCAUCCAUAACUUUUAAGUUCUAUGUAUGUAUUCAGGAUGAGUUGAAAUUAAGCAGUGGAGCAGGACUGUCAGCUGGAGAGUGGGCUGACAGCCUUACCAACAUUAGUGUGGGGGACCUACUUUCAGGAGUGUCCCAGGAUCUUGAUAACUGCAUCAAUCCUCCUAUUGCAGAGAGUUGUUAUGAUGUUCAGCAAAUUCCUUUUAGUAGUGAUUCUUUUGAUGCUGCUAUUGCUGCUCACAUAUCUAGACACCAAGACAGGAUGGGACGAUCCUCUCUGGCAUCCCAUAUGUCUUCCAUCUGGGAUGCUGAAGAAACUUGUGAUGCCUUUUUAUUUAAAAAGGAUCCUAUUCUUCAAGAAUAUCGUCCUUGUUUAUCUCCAGUUGCUUCUUUAGAGUCUGAGAAAAAGGUUACUAAAAGAAGCUUUGACAAAUUGGAUGAGGUAGUAUAUCUUAAUUGUAAUCACUAGGCAUUGCUUGUGAAGUGAAGCAAGGUUUAAUUUUCAGAGUAUUUAUUGCAGCUGUCACCUGAAAGAGAGAGGCUUGUGGAUGAUUGUGCUCAAACAGACCCUAUGCCUAUGGACAGUUCCGAGUCUGAUGCAGAUGUCCAGGAGCAUUUAGGAAAGGAUUUUAGUGCGCUGGCAGAUAUGUAUUGGGUAUUUUUUUUUUCUAUACUCCAAUUUUUCCCAUCAGAGUCCAUGGCUUCUUUAUAGCUGUUUAGGUUCACUUACGGCGAACACAAUUAGUAGGAUGCUUAUUACAAGAAGCCAUUACAAACAUGUUUACAUUCUGUCACUCUGAACUAUCCAACAAAAUAAUAAAUCCGAGCUUCAAAAACAUUUUGAACUGUUGAAUUCAUAAGAUUGAUCUAUUAUUUUUUAUUAUGUAAUAUAUAUACACACACAAUGCAUCUGACUUGAUUUCCUACUGUCUUUCAAUUCUAUCAUGUUGCAGCCUGAUUCCUUGGGACCUUUGGAUUUGGAAAUACCAUCAUCAACUAAAUACCAUAGCGAAGAUCUAAUUUUUAGUGAUAGUCUUAGUGGACUGAAUCGCUUGAUAGCCAGCAGCCUGGAUGCAUUCCAGAAUUGCUCCUUUUUUGGGUUUGACAAGAAGGAAGCACCAUCAACAGUUGAGGCUCGAGAAUCUGCCACUCUUUCAGAUUUUAAAAUUGGAAGUGGCAUCUGAGACUCGUCAUGAUUGGAUCUUGGUAAUGGUUUUCCAUUUCUGGCACGAACACAAUUGGAGUUUGUUAAGAUUUAACAUUUUUUCUUAUACUGACUGGAGGUGUGCAUGCUAAAGAAUUGGAUUGAGCCACUUCCAACUCUUCCUGUAUAUGUUUCUCUAAUCUGCGUCUCUUUCCUUUUGUACAAAAAAAAAUGAUCAUGGAAGGAUCAGUCUCCUGUAGAAAUAUUCCUUUUUUAGGUGAACAUAUAUCUUUUUUAUUCUCUGCUUCUGGAUGUUGUAUUUUAAGAAGACCGUCUUGCAACUCCGUGGCAUGGACUUGUUUUCUAAGCUAAUGGACUCCUCCCCUCUCUUUCUAUUAUGCAAGCUAAAUAUCUAAUGGACAAAAACGCAGUUAUAUGAUUAUCUUUUAUCAUAUUCUUUCUUUUAAAGUGAUAACUUAUAGGAGAGAUAACUUGGUCCAGAUAACCAAUGUUUUUAUCGGAAGCUGAAUCAUUUAGAUAAUACUCGAGUUUGAUUCUUGAUGAAAACAAUUUUUUGUGAGAUUUUCCUUAUUUUCCGGUUAAAUUAUGGAUUAGUGAGGAUCUUUUUCCUUUGAUGAAUGAGGUUUAAGAAAAAAAAAAAAGUAAUACAAAAGCAGUCAAUUCUCUUUUGGAUGAAAUGACCUAACGGGAUGCUGCAUGUUAGGUUCAUAUAAAAGCAGUCAAUUCCCUAUUGGAACACAAAUAUUUUUAUACAUAUGCUAUUUUAGUGCAGUAUUUUGACUUUUACCACUAAUAUGCAAAUGUUUUACUAGGAUUUAUGGAGUCUUAACCUUUUUUUCAGAGGAAUGAAGUGUAACCUGACCAAACACAUUUCUAAUCCUAAUUGCUAGUUAGAAAUUAACACGCUUCAAUGUAAAUUUUCUAUUCACAUGUCAUAUAUUUAUCCAUAUAUAAUUACAUUUUAACAUGAUAUUGCCCGAUUGUAUAAAUAUUAAUAUAUAUUUUUAUGUAAAGAAUGAAAUAGAAAAGAAAAAAGAAGAGGGAUAUUAAAAGGAAAUAAAUUGGAAAGGAUGUUAUUUUGAUGAAUAAAACUAGGAAGAAAAAUACAAAAAAAAAACUUCAUUUGCUUGGAUGAAUGAAAAGAAUAGUAAAAGUAUUAAAAUAAUUUCAAAAAAUCAAAAGAAUAGUAAAGGUAUUUUUAUUUUUUAUAUUACUAAAAUUAUUUUAUUUUUAGAAAAAUAUUUUUAAUAGAAGUCGAAUUAAUUAUGAUAAUAAUUUGUCAUAAUUAAUUUGAUUACAAUUAAAAAGGAUAAAUUGUCAUUAAUUUAAAUUUUAAUUAAAAGUAAUUUAAUAGCAAUUAAUUCGUCAUUAAGAUAAUUUAUAUCAUAAUUAAUUCUAUUACUAUUAAAAAGUUAAUUUGUAUUGAAAUCAGAUGAUUUAAAGUAGAAAAAAAAAGUAUAAUAAAAAAGUGAUUCAUCUGAGUUUUAUUUACAAAUCACUUGUCAAUCUAAAAGUAAAAACAAAAAAUGUUUAUAUGACUUUUUUUUUAUAUGGAAAUCAGGAAAAAAAACCAGUUAUAAAUCAAUGAAGACCCACAUGGGAACUGUACGCUAAUUACAUCCACCAAAAGCGGCAAGGAAAUAAAAUCUGGAACACUAUAAAAAAACCCUAACGCUAUUAUUCAGUUAAACCAAACUUCGACAAAACAUCCGCCACUUGAUUGGCUUCGCGGAGCAUGUGCUUCCAAGCAUAUGUACCACCUUUGAGGGUAAAGGAUAUUAUCCGUUGGAUCGGCGGGGAACAAAUAUGCGUUGCAGGACAUCCUUUGGUAACUAGCAGGUCGAUAGUUGUUGGGAAUCAUAUUAGAGUUAGUUAAAGUAGUUGUAAAAGUAGUUAUUUCAGUUAGUUUGUUAAAAGUGAGUUAAUUUCAAGCUAGAUAGUGGUAUGAUUAUGUUUACUCUAGAAGUCAAUUCUAUUCCUAAUGAUCUAUUUUGCUCUAGAAGUUAAUUCUAUUUCUAAUGGUCUAUUUAUAUCUACUCUACUAAGUUGUAGUUGGAUCAUUGACUCUCAUAUUAGAUGAGAGAAUAGAAAAUGAAUUCAUUAAAAAAUUAGUAAAUGAUUACACAAUGAUUGCUAUAUAUAUAUAUAUCAACUUGGAACUAACUAACUUCUAUCAAACUCUAACUUAACUACUUUUACCAUUACUUUAACUUAGUCUAAUAAAUCAGACUCAAACGGAAGUUAGUAAAGCCUUUUUCCAAGGCUGUCUGAGUGUAUACCAAGGAAAAUGGCCAACAGUUCAGACAUAGUAAUUGAGCAUCUACCAAGAUUAAACCCAUUAGGUGAAGCAUAUCUUUAGGUGCCUCCCUACAUCUUGGGCACGCAUUGUCAACAGACAUACGUCUUUGGCAUCUUUGGACAUUUGUUAGCAAGGCAUUCUUUGCAACUUUCCACAAGUGAACUCCAUUUUCUUCUGGACCUUGCCACUUCCAAAUGUUGGCGAACAAAAUAUUCUUCGACACAAAUCUGUCCAGAGACACACAACAAAGCUAAAUCAUCAUCAUCUGAAAUAUCUGGCGGGACUAAGGCCUUGAUCACAAAACAAACAUCUAGAGGCAAAACCUGAACUAGUUUAGCAUAAUUCCAAUCGCCAUUUGUCCCCAUAAACUCCCGACUUUAGUAUUCAUUGUCAUCCGGAGUUAUUAGUGCUUUGUCAAUAAGCUUCCCUUGAGAGGGACAUCAAACAUCCAAUUCCAACCAGAACUAGGUUGAUUUACCAUUCGCCACACCUUCCAAAAAAGGUGUUGAUCCACCUUAUCCCAACUAUUACAUAUUACCUUCCAAAAGCCUCUUCUUUAGAACCGGAACUGUACUUAGCUCGAACAGUAGAUGCCCAUAACAUGUUUUUCCUAGUGCAAAGUCGUCAACCCAUUUUCAUCAUGAAAGCCCUGUGGCCAAUCCAUUUUCAUCGGUGAUCAAGUGUAAAUUGUGAAGAUUCUUCUUAGAUGCAUGUAAGGAGUGAUCAACCUAGUUUUUAGGGGUUUGGAUUGUGUGGAAGCAUGUUCAUAUCCUACAUCUGAAUUGAAAUUGUGCAAAGAUUUGGUUUUGGCAAGGAAAUCACAUUCUUGCAUUGUAGAGAUUCAUUGUUUAAGUUCUGAGUUUUAGGUUAAAUCACCUAAGGAAUUAGGGAUUGGACUUAGAACUCAAAGAUUAAUCACCUAAGGAAUUACGAAUAAUCAUUUAAGUUGAAUCUCAGUUGCAUUGAACUGAGAGAUUGAUUAAGAUCGAGUUACAUAUGUAGAAUCCUAUAGAUUUCAUCUCAUCAACGUUUUUCCACUUUUGAAUUUGAUUUCGCUCCAAAAAUUCUUUCAAAAAAUUAGAAACAGUUUAUUUUCGCUAUAGCGAAUAUCCUUGUUUUGCUACAGUGAAAUCUUUUCUUAAAAAAAUAAAAUUUUGAGACAUUCGCCACAAUGAAUUGAUGCCUAGCUCGUUGCAUUGAAUGCUUCUAUAAACCUUUCUGUUUUAGAUAACUUUACUGUUGAUUUCCUAGAUGUUGCAUUAAGUCUCUAUGGAUAUGAUAACUCAAUACUCAUUGUUUCUUACAACAAGUAGACUAUGUUCACAUGCUUAUCUCGAGAGUACAACAAACAUAUUGUUAAAGAAAUAUAUUCUUGACUUCUAAAAGUUAAUUUUCUAGUCGGAACUAUCACAAAACAACCUAAGCAUUGAGUUAAUUAUCUCCACUUGUUGAUUGUUGGCUUCUGCAAACAAUAGUAGAUCAUCAGGAAACGCUAAGUAUUUGUCGCAACCUACCCUCAGGUGGGGGUGCGAAAAGGCCUCUCGAAUGGACCAAGGGUGCGUCUUCCAAUGAAGGAAAACGUGUGAAGUCGCCACCAAUGUUUAUUUGAAGAAAACACUAGAAAAACCAAAAAAAGACGAUGGUCUACAUAUUUUGAAAAUGAGGGUUCGAGAGUUGUUUGUGCACGGGAAAGGUAUUAGCACCUCACGCGCUUGUCACAAGGGACGACAGCCUCUAAUCGAGUGUGCAAGACAUGACUUCAAAAUUAUGUAUUUUUCCUUCUUAUGUUUUUUAUGUAUUUCAUCUUUUUAUAUUUUUUUUAUCUUUUUGGGGUCAACACGUAUCCUCGGGUGCGAUGAGGAAAUCAGAUAUAUGUAGUUUUUAAAGUCUGAAAUUUUGUUGGUUAAAUUGUUUUUAUCUUUUUUGAAAGAUUGAUUUUAAUCGAACAAAAGUCGUUUAAGGCAUUGGACCUCGAAACGAUCUUUUAAUUUUUGAAAAGAGAAGAGAGUCAUUAAGGUGUUGGACCUUUGAACGAUCUCUUGAUUUUUUUGAAAGGAGAGAACCGUUAAGGCGUUGGACCUUUGAACGAUCUCUUGAUUUUUUUGAUGAAAUGAAGAAGUUUAUGAGUUGGUUUUAUUUGGUUUUGGCUAAUUAAUCUUCAAUCCUUUUUUAGAGAUAACUUGCGGCGUUAAUGAUCGGUUAAAACUUAUUUUACAUUGAUGAAAAGAGUUUACGACACAAACGAUCGGUUGAAACUUAUUUAAAAAGUGAUUAAGUGAGAUUACAACACAAACGAUCGGUUAAAAUUCAUUUAAACAGUGAUUAAGUGAGAUUGCAACACAAGCGAUCGGUUGAAUUUUAUUUUAACGGUGAUUAAACGAGAUUACGGUAUGAACGACCGGUCGAAACUCGCUUUAAACAAAGAAAAAGAUCACUGAUGAUCGAAGAAGGAGAUGAAGAUGCACAAACAAUAAAGGGGACCCCUAUGGGUCCAUAAAUCAAAUUUAAAUUCUUAAAGCAAGCACUAACCGUAUGAAGAACGAAGAACAAACGAUGAACGAACGAAGAACGACCAAGGAACGAAUGACAAACGAUGUAGGAAUUGACCACGAAUGCAAUUCGAAAGCGUUUCAACCUUGUUUUCUCUUCUUUCUUCUUCUUUCUAGACCUCUGGACUUCAGGGAACUCAGGGACCUUUUCCUCUAGCCUUCCCACACUUAUUUAUAGCAAAACAAGCCACUUGGGAUGAAGGUAGCUUGCCUAGGCAAGUUGAUAACUUCAUCCUGAAGUAACUUGCUCGCCCAGGCCAGCUGAGCUCUCCCAGGCAAGUUGGUUACUUCAUCAUGAAGUUAUCUAGGUGGCUCAGGGGCUGAAAAUUUCCCCAAAAGUGACCCUUUUGCCUUCCUUUUGAUUUUAUUUUGCACAUUUCCUUCCAAAACGUCGAAAAACCUUACAGAAUACGUGACAAUUGGUGUUAACCAGCUCAAUUCGUCUGACAAGAAUCCAAAUGUUUGCAAAUGAUCGUCCUCAGACAAAAUUAGGGUAUGAUAGUAUCAAAUGGGGGUGUUAUCUCUUGAAAUGUUGAUGAGCUUCCAUAACUUUUGAUUGACCGACUCAUUUAUCAUAUAGAAGAGCCUUUCAAUGCAUAAGACAAAUAGUAGCGGCGGGAUGAGAUCCCUUUGCCGAAUCCCUUUUUGAGGUAAGAAACUUUCCAAGGUCUCUCAAUUCCACAACAUCUACAUUUUCGAGGUUGAGAUACAAUACUAGAUAAGUUCCACAAAUAUGUCCGAAUAGCCUACAUCUUGGAGAGUUUCUUUAACAAAUUCCCAUUGGAGGCGAUCAUAAGUAUUUUCUAAGUCAAUCUUUGUUGCCAUCCAAUCCUUAGCUCAUUUUUCACCUCUCAUAGAGUGAAAAAUCUCUUGAUCUAUGACAAUGUUAUUUACGUCACGCCUGUUCGAAAUAAAGUUGCACAGACACGGAUGAAUCGACUUCUUCAUUACCAAUUGAAGUUUAUCAACCAAUAUUUUGGUAACAAUCUUGUAAGAAACAUUGCAUAAACUUAUUAGGUGAAAAUUCUUAAGCUAAACAACAUUAUCUAAUUUGGGGAUAAGUGUAAUUAGCAUAGCAUUUAAUUCAUCCACACAACUUGGCUGCUCAAAAAUAGAGAAAAUAAGAUUGCAUAUAUUUUGUUGCACAAACUCUCACUAUGUUUGAUAGCAAAUGGCUUGUAGGCCAUCUAGGCCUGGAACCCACCCAUAUGCUUAAUGAUGCCGUGUAUCUCCUCUGUUGAAAUCAUCUUCCUUAAGGUGUCCACUUUAAAAGUUUCCAACUUAAAGAAAGCACUAGAAAGGCAUAGAGGGACAUAUGGGGUAUCCAUUAAGAAUAACUUUUUGUAAUAUCCUCUGACAAUGUUCUAGCUUAUCAUAUUGUGAGAUCCACAUGCCAUCCUCAUCUUGCAACAUAUCAACCCUAUUUCUCUUUCAUCGAAAAGCUACAAUGCCAUGGAAGUAACAUUAAUUCCUAUCACCAAAGGUGAUUCAUUUAUAUUGGGACUUUUAGUAGAGAAGGACUUCCUCAUCAACUAAAACCUGUUGGUAUUCAAUCCAUAAAUCCUUAUGAUUUUAAGCCAACAAAGGGGUGUAAUGUGCAACCAAUUAAGCCUUCAUUUGUUGUAACUUCUUCAACAAAUAUUUCUUCAUAUGGAAGAUGUUUCCAAAGACGUGCUUAUUCCAAUACCUCAAAUAAGAAGUAAAGCGUUGGAUACCUUGAGACCACAACAUACUCUUACCCCAAAGAUUGACUCAUAAGAUUAUCAAAAUCACGGAAGGAGAGGCAUGAGGAAAUAAAUCAGAAGUUAUUAUAUUUCUUUUUCGCUGCAAAGGCUUACUAAAGUGAACCAAGAGAGGCCUAUGAUCUGAUUUAAAAGCAAGAAGAUGAGAAGAAAAAUAGUAGCAUUAGGGUAAAAGGUAUGCCAAUGCAUAUUCAUGAGGAGCAUAUCUAACUACUUAACAAUUCCAUCUCGAUUCUAAGUAUUAGGACUACCUAGGGACCCUGCAUCCACCAAUUCACAAGCAUCAACAACAUCCCAAAAGCCCUUAAUACUUUUGCAAGCCCCAUAAGACAAUUCCUUAUCACAUUAAUAGCAUUAAGAUCCUCCAUUAUUGGCUUAUCACAUAUCUUUUUUGUCUUAAUCUUUUAUUUUUGUUAUCUUUUAUUUUUCUUAUCUUAUCUUUUUUAUCUUUAUCAUCUUUUAAUUUAAAUCUUUUAUUUUUAUCUUUAUAUCUUUAUCUUAUCUAAUAUAUUUCUUUAUAUGUUAUUUUAAAAAAAAGUUUAAAGUGAAAAAUAGAAAAUCAAACCUAAUAUAAUUGGAUCAGGAUCACACAAAUUAAACCUAAUGUGGGCUACAGGCAAUCUGCGGGCCAAACUCGCAUAGUCCGCAGGUUAAGCGGGACGGGCCCAAAAAUAUGACAUAACCAUGAACCAUUUAAAAAAAUUGGUCCGUAACCCGCGCGGACCGCGGGCCCCGCGGGUCAGUCCAUGGACCUGGGCCCGUUUACCCACCCCUAAUUAUUGCCCAUGACUCAUGAAUAUCACUUGCUAGCUCCACGAACUCCACAAUUCUUGGCAACGAGCAUAGUGUGGGCUUCUAUAGAUAGUAGUAAGCAUCCAAGGAGGAUUAUUCUUCCUCUGCACACUAAUAAGAAUGAAUUAGUGAUCAUGAGCCCUGGCAUUGACUCUCCAUUCAUCAUCCAUCCAAUCCAGAUUGUCCAACUACGUAUUGAAUAAAGACAUUAUCAAAAUCACAUUGGUUACUAAUUCGGCGAGCCACAUCCUACUAGUAUGAGUCUCCAUGAGAUAGAGAAAAAAGGACUUAAUAGUCAUGCUACAGAUCUUUAAUGAGUUUAGUAAAACCCCUUCUAGUAGUCCCCCUACAAUUCUAACACAAUAAAGUCAUUGGAAAAUAUUUAGAAGGGUGGACCCAUCAUGACCCUUACCAUCCUGAGGCACAACAGAAACUGCCUCUGCUUCCAUGGCGCUAACGUCCAUUGGCUCUACAUGUCCUCCACCAUCGUUGAAACAUGCAUGUCAUCAUUUUUGGCAGGUUCAACGAGUGCACCUUGUAGGCUCAUCGUCCUCAGGAUCUCUUCCUUCGAAAUGGUGAUUGUAGUUCUCUUGACAUUAGCCAAAGGCUAUUCUUGAAGAGUGAUACCCUCUAUAGCAGCAAUGGCCUUACCAAUUUCACCUCCAAAUGGGUCCUAGAUCAUUGGUAUUUCCUAUAUUUAGGGGGGACAAAAGUGAGUUUCCCUUUGGCACUUUGAUUCUUCAUAGGAAACUUAUGAUUGGAAUUUGUUGCAUAAUUUUUUUUGUUAGCCCAUGUUUUUAUGGCUUUUAGGGGAUUUUUUUCUGCUUCUCACGCUACAAGCCUUGAUCCCCGAUGACCUACUAACCUCAGAGCUACUUUUAUUACCCGUACAGAUGACCCUAUCUUUAAAGACACCUUUCUCUUUCCUAAAUAGGAUACGAUCACAUUUUUCUAGAGAACUUUAAAUCUAGACCCCAUACAGGCCCCACUUGUGUCCUUGAUUUUAGGGUCAUUCCCUUUUUGGAAGCGUUAGACCCUUUCUUAGUACCCUUUCUUAAUCCCUUUCCUCUAUGAUUACAUGGAUGAUUCCCUUUUCUAACAAGCAUCUAGGGACUAAACUGAGAAAUGGUCUUUUUAUCCAUUUUGUUUCCUCCCAUAUUGGAUUGCUGGCCCACUAAUGUCACCCUCGUGUUAACCCUAUUCUGUAGAGGGAUGAGAUUGGUUAUGUCAUCAUUGAUUUUUGUUUCCUGAUGAACACAAUCAUUGUCCUCAAAUUAUCCAUUCUCCCCCUGCACCGUUGGGGGUUCCACCCUCUUUUCUGAGCAAAGCACCUCUUGAUGGCCACAUUUCCCACAACACAAGCAAAUUGCAAGAAGCCCAUGGUAUUCCAAAGGGAGCUCUCUACCUCUAGCAAUGAUCUUGGGCACAAAGAGUUUAUCCAGAUCCAAUUCAACAAAAAAAUAUGCGGACUGUCCCCGAGAGUGAAUGGAAGUCACCUUAUCGAUCUUCAACAUAGUGCCUAGAGUGUUCCCAACCCAACGCAAAAACUUUGUUGUAUAGUUCCCUGGUUAAGUGCAACAUCUUGAUCCAUGCUGCAACCUUUCUUUUGAUAUCAAGAUUCGAAUAGAACCCAAUUCUCCACCUCUGAACUAAGCGUUAAUGGUCCACUAUCAUCUAAAGAUCCAAAAAAAGUGUAUGUUUAUAGUCAUCAACAUGUUUAAUUGGAUUAUAAAAAAGUCAUUUGGGAGAUUAAUGAUUUUGAUCCUUCCUUUCACAACCCACUCACGAUUUAGGAGAUUUUCAAUGAUCUUAAAGUUAACCUUCUUUCCUAUCACCUUGACCAAAAACACCCAUUUCCAUGGCAUACACUACUUAACAAACUCCUCAACUAUGACUUGGAUCUUUGGAAACUUCCCCUUAUCCUCUUCUGUAAUGAUAAAUCCAACAACAUUUGCCCCAUUUGCUAGGUCCCUCAACCACCUAGCAUCUUCUUCCACCCCUAAACAAUUAAAACCCCUAUUUUUCACCCUCUGAGGUCAAUAGUUUCUCUUUAUAGGGAGGUUUUGACAAAUAAUCUCCUUCGACAGAUUUCCAAAAAGAGUCACCCAUUUGACAAUCUCCAUUAGCUUUGUGUUUCCCUUUUUUGUGUUUCAGUGCAACAAAUCUGCCUCUUGCUUUGAAACCUCCUCCAAAAUCCUAGGAGAGCUUUCUAGAGACAUACAUACAACUCUUUAGAGUUAUAGGUGCAUCAAAAUUUUCUAUGGCAUUUAGGAAAAUAGAAAAAUAAGUAGAGGACAAGAGUUUCUUUUUGUUUGUAUUUGAAAAAGGAAUGGGAAGAGUAUUGAUGGUAGUAAAAAUACCAAUCCCCUUAUCAAAGUUUGUAAAUGUAGGAUUUUGUAUUGGCAUUAAUAUUUUGAAAAUACAAACCUCACUCAGUGAUCAAAUUUUUUGGUAUAACCUGGAGGUGUAAUCCUCCCCCCACCAGAUCAGUCUAUUUUUGGGGUAAAGUGAUACAUCCAAUUGUUACUCCGUACCCAAAUCGAAGAUCAAACUUCAAACCUUGGUUAAGAAAUAGGCUUAACUAUUUUUGUUAAUUAAUUUAUAUGUUUUAUCUUUUAAAAGUUGUGUAUGUGUGGGUGCACACAAUUUUACCCAAUAAUCCUUGAUUUUUAACCAGUAAACAAGAUUGGGAUUAACCAAAUAAAAAAAAAAAAAAGCCCAAUCCUAUCAUAAAAUCAUGCUAAAGACCGAGUAAAUAUCAUUGGCAGCAACAAAAACUAAAAUUAAACCAACAUAAAAGGUAGUGUGUGGCACAGUAAUAAUGUGACUAUUUUCUUCAUAUGUGGCAUUUACCACCUAUGUCACUUCAUAUGGCUAUUUUCACCUUAAGGUAUUUAAGCUCUUAGCCAAAGAAAAUAUGGGGACAAGGGAACUUAAGUUCACCCUAAGCACAACCCUGAUGGAACACAUCUCAAACCAAACAUAAGGCAGGGACAUGAUGUUAUCCAAUUCGUGAGUCUACCCUUUAAUUAUUCUCCUCUAUGGAGAAACAUGUCUACUAUUUUACGUACAAAAAUGUUAACAACACACUUUUUAACAAAAUUUUCUACUUUCUACUAUUGGUCAAAAUUUGUUAAAAAAACAUAAAAUUAUGUAGAUUCAAUUUAUUUAAUAAACCUCACUCGUGAUUUUAUAGUUCUCGUUCAAUUUUGAUCAAUAAAAGAGUGUGUUGCUAGCACUCUUCUUUUACAUAUGAUAACAGCUGAUUGCGCCAAACUAAAAAUUCACAAUUGUAGCAGGAAGCUACAAGGAUUAUUUGAUAAAAAGGUGGACAGACAAGGGAAUUGGUAAUGCAAAACUGGUAUUUCAGCUCCAUAUUGUUAUUAUGAAAGAAACUUGGAUGAGAACGACAAAUGAAUCAUUCUUUGAUUAUAACAUCAUUCUCCCAUUAUUUAUUCUUGGACUUUGAAGAAGCCCAUUUAAAGUAACCGCAGUUUGCUUCAAGAUUAGAUGCAGGGCCCUGAAAGUGGAAAAACACGUUAAUCUUCUGGAUAGGGAGGUGAUGCACAAAUUUUGAAAUGACAAAGGAAGACAAGAUGUAAAACAGAAUACGAUCCAACCUAUCAGAACUGGUGGCUAUAACCAUAAUAUAACUCAAGCAGACGCAUGACAAGCUCUAGGAUAGCUUGUUAAAACCCAAGAAGAGUGCUAUCAAUACACUCCUUUAAACAUGUUUUUUCUAAUUGGUUAGAAUUGAUUGAUAAAACCAUAAAAUCAGGAAUGAGAAUCAUUAAAUAUAAUGUGAGAUCCACAAAAUUAUCAUUUUAAAUAAAUUUUUGUCAAUCAAAAGAGUGUGUCAGAGAAUGUUUCUAGUAUUUCUCAAAAUGCAAUCCCUCCCUUAAAACAUGUUGCUUAUUACUUUUCUUCUGCGUUAUAAUAGAUGGUGCAAGUUUGCUAGUUCUUACAAGACAAUCCUUAUUUUAGUCCUCAAAAGAAAGACUAUCAAUUUAGCACCUACAACUAAAUUGCCAUAUAGUGGUAGUUUACAAAUCCGAUUUACCAACCCUCAAUGAACAUUCAUAAACUUCCGAGUUUGACAACCUUACAAAACUAGAGAUCAACAUUACUCUAGUUUUAAUAAGCGAUUGAAUUUCUUUGAUGGACAGAUGGAUCGAGUCCUCACAAAACUAUAGUGUGUGUUUGAUUUAAAGCAAAUAAAUAGGGUAAAUAGAAAUAAAAGAGAUAAUUUGAAAAAAAAAAAGUAGAAAUAAAAUGAUAUGUUGUGUUGUUUGGUUUAAGAGAAAUAUGUGGCAAAUAAUUUUUUCUUUCUUUCUAAAAACCAAAGAAAAUCGAUUUUACUGCAAUUGGGAAGAGAGAAAUUUGUAAUUUUACUCUCUCCAAAAGCGCACGAACCAAACGCACCCACCCCAUUUCCGGUAACUUCCUCUCUUUGGAACCAAACACAGCCAUGGUGUAGUGCAGAAGAAUAAUUUUAAAAAGUUACCUAGAAGCACAAGGCCUUUAAAAAGGUAGAACCACAAUGCCCAAAACCACUCAAUGGAAACAGAUUACCUCAGCGUGGGCACAAACAUAGAAUCUGCGGCCAAAAUUAGGUCCUUGUUUCUUCACCACCCGAGCAAUACAAGGUUCCUUAUAGCCCUUGCAAAUAGGUAUACUGUUCUGCAUCAACUGUUGUAUUCGUUGCCACUCUAGUGAAGCCACAUUACUCAUUUCUUCUUUUGUGGAACUACCAUUUGGUCCAGCUAAAUCCUGAUCACAUGUAUCAGUAUCCAACCCAUAUUUCUUGGGACUGCUACUAUGAGCAAAUACUGUUGGAGUUUCCUGUAAACGAGGGCUUGGUUGAGAGGGUUCUGCCUGAUUAUUUGAGUAAUCAGUACAUGAGUCAUUGACUACUUUUACAGAACUACCAUUGUCAAGAUUUGCACUUUUCUGGAAAAAUGACCGAAGUGAGAGCUGGGACCAUUGACUACUUUUAGCUUUUUGUUGGAUUUGUUACAUUGCCUGGUUGUUGAUGUUUCAUUUUCACUUCCUGAUUUAGAAACAGACUCCUGAGAGGAACCUCCAGAAAGUUUGUUGGUUUCAAAAUGCUACUACCUUCAAUCCUGGCUUGGAGGAAAAUGGCAUUCAUUUGGACUUGUGGAUGAACCAGCUCUGUUCACUGGUUCUUUUCUCUCACAAGUACUAUCCAUUGCAAUGUCUUCUUGUGCCAUCUCAAAUGAUUUCAUUUUUUUAGAAACUUGUCUUUUCAUCAACACUGACACUGCAAGAAAAGGUUUAGAAACAAAUACACAUUAACAAUGACAUCAUAUGAACAGAGAAUCUCAUCCAAAGAAGAAACAAUGUUUUGUAGCUAGAGUUUGCUGUAUGCCAUGAACCAUGGGAACAUAUCUAGCAGAUAAGGGAGGAGUACUGUGCAGAGAGACAUCAGGAAUUUCAUGUAAAGACAUAAAAACUGGAGCAUGAUCAGAUCCUUCCAGUUUAACGCUACGCCCUCCCUUCCACCUAUGGGCACUGAGCUGAUCAGGAAUUCAGUUAGAACUUAUAUACUUAACCUCAAGGAAGACAUGCAGCAUUUAACCAUUAGACACAGUAGUGGUGAAGAACCACACUAGGAGUGGAAAAGCAACAAUUUCUGAAAGUAGGGAGACAAUUUUUGCCAAUUUCCUGUGCAAUGCAAAAUGAUAUAAUCCAAAACAUAGAGCAUGUUACAGUAUCACCGAGUAUCUAAAAUUUACAUCUAAAAAUAAAAAAUUAACCGUUUAGUUUCAAAGACAAAAUGGCUUAGGAUUUCACAUGUUUGUAUCUUACCUCAGUGUGCUUUCUGGUUUACACCGUUUAUACUGUGUCAGAAUAUCACAUUCCUUGACAAGGCAUCUUAUAAAACUAUGGCAUUGCAGGUCCAAUUCAUGUUAGCAUGAACCAGAAAACAGAAUAUGAUCAAUUCUACUUCCGAAGUUAAAUACUUCAGCACCUGUAUUUUGUGACCAACUGGUGUAGGCUUCCCUUCUGCAUACAAUCUCAAAAGAGACAAAUACGAUUUAUCAAGAUUAAUACUGAUCAUAUUGAAGGUGUGACCACAAAAUAUGGAAAACACAACGUAAAAUUAGAAGAGACAGGAAGAAGGGAAAAUAUGGAUGAUGCAUAUAUUACUAGCCAGUAGUCACAUGCACAGAGAAAUGUGUCUGGCAUACAAAGAAUAAGAUUUAAAAUUAAAUAUAAAGUUCAUUAUAUUCAAACAAAACAUUUUUAUAAUCUGAAUUUCGAAAAUUGAAAAGGUGACUUCAAUUUGAAAGCAACAUAAUCCUAUAUAAACAAUAAAGAUAAAAGAUAUAUUAUACAUGAAAAAAAAAACAUAAAACAGAUGACAAGAUAAAAAAGAUAAAAAGAUUUAUAAAGAAGAUAGAAUAAAAACAUUCUCCAAUCUCCAUUUUCAGACAUGGCAAUGUUCAUCAGGUAUCAAAAUCAGGAAUUAAAUCUCCAAUUGGAAACUACACAUCAAUAUCUGAUAUUUAACAAAACUGGUAACUCCAAGAUCCAUACCUAUCAGGAUGUUUUGCUCUGAAGACAUCAGAAAAUUGGCCCCAAUUUUCAAUUAACAUUGAUUUGAACCAUUAAACCUACACAUAAAUUCAGGAAAAAAGUUAGGAUAAUUAUCAGCAUAUCAGAUUAGACAUUAAAAAUACCUCAUAGAAUUCUGGCAGUAAGCUCACUCGUUUUUUUCAAAAUCAGGUCCUAUAUCACAUCGAUCAAUUGCAAAUGGCGCAAUAUUGAGAUCAACAACAACAAAUAUUCUCCUUCCUUGAUGCAAGAGGGACCCCCAUCUUUUCUAUUAAAGAGACUAUCAACAUCAAUCAAACAGAAAACAAAAGAAAAACGAAAAAUUUGAGUUCUAUACAAAAACAGUCAGAAAAAAACAAGCACUGCACAUAGACUACGAUAUUCAUGUCCCAUUUUUAAAAAGUAUAGUUUCCUUUUUAGACAGGGUAAUGUUCAUUGAAUCAUACUAAUUUACAGGUAACACAAAAGAAAUAGUAACAAAUACUAAUUUUGAAAACUAGCUCUAGAGUUUCUUAAACUCUACGUAUUCAGAUGGGCAAGCAGUAUUCAGGUCCCAUUUUCUUAGCAAUGAUACAAUUGGAUGAACCAAUUGAAACAUAAUCAACAUUAACAAGUUUGGAGAAUCUCAAACUGUAGCUCCAAAUUAUCAACUCGUCUUAUAAUUAGUAUAAUUAUCCAAUAACACAUAAUUGAAGCAUAAAAUACUACCAAAGUCCACAUAAAAACAAAAUCCACCGUUUGAAAUAUGGAAAAAAUUCUGCAAAGCAAUGACUUUUCGAUUUAGUCAUAUCAUUCACUGAUUCCAUUGACAUAUAAACAUUUCAAAUACCUGUAAUAUCCUGUAAAAAAUUUGCUUAAACUGAAUCCUUUCUGUGUCAUCACCUCCAGCUUGGGACCCAUACACAUUGAAAAGAAUUGAACAAAUUCAAACACAAGUACACAACUACAAAUUUCUUCUUUUUCAAAAAGGAAAAAAAAAAAAACCUAAGGAAGAUGGUUAGAUUAAUGCCUAAAAGAUAAGUACGCCCCUUCACACAACACCUGAAAAAUGGAACUUGGUAAACAAAGGAGCCAACUUUCAAAUUUUUUCCCCUCUUAUACUAUCUACAGAGGAUACUCACCAAAGUGAGUGUGAUCUGUGAUUAUGCAUCGCCCCUCACUAUCAAGACUUAGAAGCUCAUCUUUUGUAAAUUCCUAAAGAUCUCCCAUCAAGAAUGGCAAUUUAUUGUUGCUAGUUUGAAAGUUUCCCAAAAGACCAGUAAACCCUUCCUUUUCUGCCAGCUGCAACACCACUUCAUUACUCAAAAAUGCAGACUUCACACGACAAAAUGUAAUAACACCUGGACACUCAACAGAAUUUAUUGCCUAAGAAGUAUAGUUGAGACACUCUCUAACACAUUUUGUAAACACUUUUUUUAUUAUUGACUAAAUUUAUUAGAAAAGUUUAUAAAGUUUCACUUUUGUGCCUUAAAGUGAUUCUGUUUAGACCAAGUUGAUUCUUCCAUUAGUUUAUCAAACUAAUUUAAUCAGUGACACGUUACGUGCAGCGGCUUGCUGCUGACUUCGAGGGUCAGCACCUCCAGAAACAAAGAGGAAGAAGGAGAAGAUAAACUGGAUUCGAGGCCAGUACCUCCAGAAACAAAGAAAGGCAGGAAACAGAAGCUUUGAUAUUUCACACCUUUGCUUGAAUUACAAUUGCUUUAUUUAUACUAGUUUUCCUACUAACAGCUUUUGUCAUCUUGUGCCAAGGAAUAUCCUGAGGCAAUCAUUGGUGCUCAAAUAUGGUUAUGCUGUCUCCUCAUUACCAACAAUUCCUCCCUAGCAAUACCAGUAUCCAAGCCACGUCAGCUUUCCUCUCAACAAAGCUUCUCUAUACGUGGUCACUAAGGUAAGAGGGCCUUGUGAUGGUCCUCUUUGCCUUUGCUGCUAUCUGCACCCCUUUGUCCUGUGUCUGCACCUUUGUUUCUUUCUCCUUGAAUAUGUCUUCUGCUGCUAUCUUUCAUUCCCUAUCACACGUGGUAAACUUCCGGGGAUGCCUGAAGGAAGAACCAAUUUGGUCUAACAAGUGAAACUUUUUAAACUCAGAGACCAAAGUUAAACUAAAAAUUAAAAUGAGGAAACAAUUUUUUUAAAAACUUUUCCAAAGGUCAGUUAAUUUGUUAAUGGGAAAGAUUCGAAUCCCCCACUUCUCUUUCUCAUCUUUUUCUCUUCGCCAUCAAGGCAACCUUAUGACUCCGAGAAGACAAAAAAAAUAUGUUUGGCUUUUAGCCUAUGAUAUUGAUAAACAACAUUUGACAUCUAAAACACAAACAAUACCGUGUAUUUGUUUACAUUUCCAUUUAGAUGAUGAAAGAGAGGGGUUACCGGAAUAGCCAGUUCGACCCUUCUGGGAGGUGCGGGUGCAGGAAAAGAACGAUUCGUAUCCGCCGGCCAUGACCAAAUCCGCUGUGACUUCCUGCCUCCGCAGUUCCGUCUCCUGAAGGAAGCAGCAUUUGUGAAUAGAAUGAGAGAAAUUUGAGAAUUAAAAAAACGAUGAAUUGGGAAGCACCUGAAAACAAACGAUGUCGGCGUCGAAUGAAUUUAGCAGAUUCCGGAGAGACCCGAACUGCGCUAUGCGCUGCCUCAGACCGUUCACGUUGUAACUCACUAUCUUCAUUCUCUCACGCAUUCUUCGCUCCUUGUAACUUGGAACCCUCCUCUCGUCUCCUUCAAGUUCAACGUGUUCUUGUCAUAGCUUAUAAUUAAGUAUUCCCGCUCCAGUUGAAACAAAUUGCAGAAGCAGUUUAAUUACAAAUAGGCUAAAAGAAAUUUUGGUCCAGUAAAAUUUACAAAGUUUUGCCGGGGUAAUAAAAUCAUAAUUGUAGGUUCGGAAACAACUAAUCUUUUAAAAUUGUGGAGAAUGAAAUUUAAACUUUGUCAAUUUCACGAAAAAAAAAUAUAUUUUAAUCUUUAUAUUUCCUUUUUUAGGAUAGAUAGUUGGAUACUAUGUUCUCUUUGGUAGUCCAUAAGUAAAAGGGAAUUUUUAUAAAUUAAAGUGAUUUUAAUAUAAAUAUAAAUAAUAAUCUUAUUUCUUGAUCUGUAGUAUUUAAAAAGGAUGGAGUGAGUAUUAAUUUUUUUAUAAUGACUGAGGAAAGAAAAUAAAUUAUAAUUAGUUAGUAUAAUAAUUCCAUAAUUUAAAUUAAAAUAAUUGAAGAAAUUAAAACAAGGAUUAUGUUUAAUUGUAAAUAUUUUUUUAAUCUUUGUUAUCAUGUUUUAGUCAAGAAAUAUAUUUUUUAAAAAUGGCUAUAUAUUAACUACAUUAUUAGCAAAGUAAAGCUUGUAAAAUAAAUAUCAAUAAAACCAUACAAAAUAUGUCGUUUGUGAAAAUUUAUGGAACUCUAGAAAUGGUUUAUAAAAAAACGACCAAAAAAAAACAUUUAAAAACAUCUUAAAAAAUCAAACACAACAAUUCUGAAAUUAUUAAGCCACCGCUUACAUUUCCGUUGGGUUUCAUUUUUGGAGAAGAAAAGGAGAAGGAAAUAGAGCAAAAUCACUAUCGAGUAGUUAUCCUCAUUUACAACAUUUUUUAGUGUCUUCCUGAAACAAAGAAAUUUCAAAGGAAUCGAUACAGUAUUUUCAACUCUACAUAUUGUGUUGCAGCACAGGUACGGGGAAGCUCAUUUGCUUGUUUGGAUACUUCUAUUUUGGGCUAAAAAUUGGCUGUGUUGGGAUCGUUAUUGUGUGGAAAAUUAAGAGUUUGAUUCAUUCUUAAGCAACAAAUAUUGUAUGGGAUGUUGCUUGUUUUUUUAUAAAAUGCCUCUAUCAUGCAAACAAUUAUACGUGUGGAAAUAAAUUACGAGAAAUGCUGUUUGUAAGAUAAAAUGUAUAAUAAAUUAUGGCUUCAGAUUCUCUUUGGUGACAUUUUUAUUUCAUGAUAUCUUAGCUAUUAAAAUUAUUUUUAAAAAAUAAAAAUACUAUAAAUUCACUUGCAAACGACUCAAUUGGUCAACUGGAAUCUACACUCACGACACUCAAACCAUAAUCUUCUUCAGGCUCCUUUUAUUUUAUUUUUAAUAUUUCUAGUUAAAAUCAAAUUUUGGUACAUGAAGAGAACAAAAGGAAAAAGAAAAAGAAGCACAGGACUACGAAUGAGUAUCAUUUCACAAUAUGUUGCAAUUUCUAAAGCAAAAUUAUCAAUGUUACAGAUGCUCUCCUGACAACAUAAAAUAAUCGGCCUUUAAUAAUAAAGGCAUCAUAUAAACUCUUGUAGUGCUAGUGCAGUCACAUUAUCUUGACUAGUUAAAAAUAAACACAAGCAGUGGCGGACCCAAAAUCCUAGAUCAGUGAGGCCAAAUUAUAAAAAAUAAAAUCAAUGGAUUCAACUAUAUGUAUAUGAUAUAAAAUAUAAAAAUAUAAGAUUUUAUUUACAAUUUUUAAUUUAAAAGAAAAUUUAUUAGUGAAUUUUAAAAAAUGAAGGGGUGCAAGUACACACCCUCACCAUAGUGUAGGUCCGCCACUGAACACAAGUAUGCAAAGACUCGUCAUGCUGGUUUAUGGGAUCUAUUAAUUAUACUAAAAAACUAAUAAUGUCUUUAUCUUUCUAAUAUGACGAUCCUGUUAUUCAAUUUCGUGAGAAAAUUCAAGUUCGUGACUAACAUAGUUACCUUAAUGCAUAUACUUUUCAGAAAUCAAUUUCCCAUAAUAAGAAAGCCUUGAUGUACUGUAUACGAGGCUAGAACAGAAUAUGAUUCAACAAACGAUGCAUGAAAAAUGCAUCAUUCGUCCUAGCCACUUCUCGCUUCAAUUGCUAUUACAAAUAAAAACCUGUCAUAUCAUUCAUAAUAAUAGAAACACAGCAAGAGCACAUACCCACAAGUGACCUCCAAUGCAAGUCAUCAGAGACAUCAACCACUCCCUUAAGUCAUCAAUCCACAAUCACAUUGUUGCCCCCCCACUAAUUCUUCAGAGAAGAGAACUAUAUAUAAAUAAAUAUAAACAUAAAUACAUUUCAGACUCAAACUAGUACACCAAAUUUAUGCAAUCAUUUCAUUAGUAUCUACUAAGAACAGCAGGAUGUAAUCGCUUUUUCUGCAGAGGAAUAAAAUAAGAAUGAGAUGGAAAAAUAGUGAGAACAGAAUUUGAUCCACGUAUUUCAUUUCAUGUUUAUUUAUAUUUUUUUUUUCAUUUUUGGCUAGAAGAUUUUAUUUGUAGUUACACAUUACUUGCAUGCCACAACCAAGAAAACUCCGACACAUAAAUGAUACUGCUGAAACUGCAAUAUACCUGAAGCCAGUCCAUGAAUCGUCUACAUAAACUCUACCAAACACUUCUUGAUGUAGUCCUCGUGACAUUGUGGACAUAAUCCCCGCGCAGGGGAUUACCACAGUCCAAAACUGGAGUUUUGAGUAUCAUAGAUUGUCAAUCUGCAUGAUAGAAGAUAGUCUUAAGAGACUCAGCACAAUCACACAAUAAGUUACUUAGAGGAACUCCACCACUCGUUUCUCCAAACUUAUCUCAGCCUCUGAAGCACCUCUAAUCUAGAACCUCUGCCGCCGAUGAACAGAUGGGCUUGAAACAUUUUGAGAACCCAUGCUUGCAGUUCUAAGAAGUCUCCGAAACUCUGGUAGGCUUAUUUUUCCAUCUUUGUCAAUAUCAGCUUCCUCUAGCAAAGGAUCAACGGAGCCUCUCAAGCAUGUAUGCUGAAAAGCCAAAAAGGAAUAUUAGCUGCAGCAACUAUGUAUGUAAAUUAUUUUUAACUUUUAUUUUUACAGAUAUGCACGGCUCAAACUAAGCAGAUCUUCUAACUGUUCCCCCAAAUGGUAAACUUAUACGGAUGCUAAUAUAGGUAAGUAAACUACAAGAGAACAAUUUCUAAUCUUUUAGAGAAUUUUUCAUAAUGUGUUUAGAGCUUGACAAAUGAUGUGAGACCAACCAUUCUAAGUUCUUCCGGAGUAAUAUAGCCAUCUUUAUCUAGGUCAAAUUUCUCAAAAGCAGCCUGUGACAGUUGCUGCCACUUGUCAGAGUCUUCCUCCAAUUGAUGCACGUGUAAUGUAGCCGCUACAAACUCCCGGAAAUCCACUAGACCAUCAGUGUUGUUGUCUAUCUGCAAAUAAAUACUCAAGAUUAUUUUUGCAAGCCAAAUAGUAGAACAAAGCAACAUUAGUGGAAAAGAGUGAUUUUGGGAGGCCACAUAAAUUGUCGUAGAAGUGAAAGUAAUAUUAAUCACCAAAUUUCAUGCCUAACAAAUUUUAGACAUGCUGAGAAGCAGCAAACAAAACAAUGUGUGUUUCUUGUAAAAGAUCAAACAUACUAACCGCUUGCAAUAUCUCUAGUACACGUGAUUCUUUCAAUUUCCAAGGAAGAUCUUUGGCAAGAGCCUGCACAAAAUCUUCCCUUUAGACUAAAGUAGGGAAAAGAUAUUUAAGGGAAUAAUUUGCUCGCAAACAAGUUAGUCACAAAGCCAGUAAAUUAAAUGCUACCUGUCUCAUCUCUUCCAGGCUAAUCGAACCAUUUUUGUCUACAUCUAUAGCAUCAAAUUGAUCUUUUAUAUCAGCCAACUCUUCUUCAUUAAGUGUGCUAGCCAAUGCCUGCAGGGUAAUUGUUGACAUUAUAUGUUUGAUAUGUUCAUAAAACUUGUAUUGUAGCAAUAACCUUAAUUACACUAAGAUGAAGAAAUAUGGUAACUAAUCCCAAGAGAUAAAGAAGAAAUAGGGAAAUUAAUUCUAAAGGAUAAUAUAAGGAUAUGGCAAGAUAUUUCCAUAUAUUCCAACAGUAAUCAAUUAUAAAAAAAGCUGGACAUCAAACAGGUUCCAUGCCUUCUGACCUGAAAAGGCUAGAAUUAAUUUCUCUUACCCUCAGUGCAAAUUGUUUGAAUCGACUAUAUUUCACAAACUGCCGCAUGUUGCUCAGGACAGAUAUAUCAAUAGGAAUCUCCAAUGCUUCUCCUCCUUCUCUAACCCAUGGAUGUGCUGAAAUAUUAGGUUUAAUCAAAACACUCAACAUAAUGCAACACAAUUACACAUAAAAGCACUUUUAGUUACAUAUAAAAGAAGACAAUAAGUGUAACUUAAAUUAUUACAAAUAAUUGAGUAAUUACUUGCCAUUAAAAGACAAAUUGAUCUCAGCAAGAAAAGGUUAAAAGCAAAAUUUUAAAUGUAGUCACAUGAUAGAACUGAAAAAUGAGGCUAUAGCAAUGUCUCUGACUUCAAUAUUUGGAAUCAUUAAAACUUUAUAUAAUUGCAUAAAUACAAAGUUAAAAAAUAUUCUUAGUUCUAACAACAAAUUUAGCAUUUAAACUGGGAUGUAUGUCGAAUUCAAUAAAUUCAAUGCCUAAAAUUUAGGUGCCAUAUAGCACAAGCCUAAAUUUGAUUCGAUGACAACAACCUUAAAUUAUUUUAUUAUAAUUACUAUUAUUUAUUAAUAUUAUUAUCAACAUCAUCAUCGUUAUUAUUAUCAUCAUCAUUACUAUUUUUAUUAACAGUCAAAUAUCACUUAAAGGCUCAAAUAACAUAAACGGUUUUUUCAAUGUAAGAAGACAUGAUACAUACAUAAAGCUUGAGCAGCAGUUAAUCUCGCCCGAGGAUCCUUUACUAGUAAUUUUUUCACAAAAUCUUUUGCAGCAUUACUAAUAGUUGGCCAUGGUUUCCGACGAAAAUCGGGCUUCUUACGUAAGACCUGCAUAUAUCAGAUCAGAUCAUUAAUUAUACACAACAACAAAAAACAUUACAAAUUCCUUAGUAAAAACUCAAAAUCAAGUGGACAAUUAAAGUAAAGGUCAUAGACUUAUCAUGUCAUUAAGAUACAAGAAUGGAUAACGAAUACCAUAUAAAUUAGAAAAUCAGAAAAUUACACAAUAAAGUACUGUACCUCCUUGAAGAUACCAUCCUCAGUCUUAUCCCAAAAUGGGCGUCUUCCGCACAACAAUAUGUAUGUAAUAACACCAAUACUCCACACAUCUGAUUGAGGACCAGACUUACGUUUUAACACUUCAGGUGCAACAUAGUAAGCACUGCCAACAAUAUCAUGAAACUUUUUUCCUGCAUUUUUUUUCAAAGAUAGAGAAAAACAAAUCUCAAAUAAAAAUGGCAAGAGCAUGCCUGAUAACUCAACUGAAGAAAUAGGAGAACAAGCCUGAAACAAAAAAUGGAAGAAAAGAAAAAGAAAGAAAUUGACCACAAAAAUCAAGACUUUCCCUCACCAGGUUUUAUGAAAUCUGACAAACCAAAAUCAGUGGCCUUUAAAGGUGAAUCUUCUUUGGUUGAUUUAAAAAGAAAAUUCUGCAAGAAUAGGUAAAAAUAUUAAUAUAUUAUGUAUAGCAUCUAGUAGUAUAGAUCUCAUUUCACACAAAUUUGGCAGAUAUGCAAAUGUGCUUGAUCAUACCUCUGGUUUCAUGUCCCGGUGUACCAAACCAUGUAAAUGACACUCAGCUGCAACCUUGAGCAUCUGCCUUACAACCACCGCUGCGUCUCUUUCAGUAUAACGACUGUCCUUCCUGAUUAAAGCAAAUGAAGAGGAAAUUAGUUCUGGUACACAAAAACAGCUUUCUGCCAAACACAUAAACAUAUAACCAAAAAUCAUUGACCCUGGUUCUGCAAUUUCAACAUAGAAAUUCUGACACAUAACCAUAAUGAGUAAACCUCCACUCUAGUCCUUGAACCCUUUAAGUGUUAGUCACUAUAGUCCCUGACUUUACAAAACUUUCAUUAUUGUCCCCAACUUCAUAAAAUGUUUAAUGCAUUCCACUACAUUUUUUCACUAGUAUUAAUGACUAAACUGAAUAAUAUUUUGUAACAUUAAGGCUUAAGCAAAGUUAGGACUGUAGUAAAAGUUGUAUAACGCAAAGGACUAAAGUAACCAACACUUUCAAUCUCAGGGACUAACAGCCUGUUAGGAUUUCAGUUAGAAACCCUCAAAGGAAUUUCCAACUCAAAAUCCUUCCUCUCACAGAUUUUUCCAAUCAACUAAAUUGUAAUGCGUGCAAACAAUAAACCAAACACACACUUCCAUUCAACUAAAUUGUUGUGAUUUACUCCAAAAAUAGCAAUCACAUCCAAAAUCAAACCAUACUUACUUGGCCAAUAUCCGAUCUAGCAGUUCUCCACCCUCGCACAACCUAGGAAACACAUAUAUACACACACAAACCAAAAUUUGAUAGAAUUGAGCUCCCAAAGAUAAAUCCAAAGCUAAAAAUCAGAGCAACACAAACACAAAACAGAAUCAACUAGCAGAGCAACUUACUCCAUAACUAUGUACACAUAAGAACCAUCUUCAAAAGCAUUAUAGAACUGAACCACAUUCUCAUGGCCAGUAAGUGCUUUCAAUAUCUUGACCUCUCGCUUAACAUCCUCAACGGCAAUAGGCAGAACCAUCUGCCACCAAAUUUAAAGCAUAACUAAUUAAUUCCUAAAAACUACAAACAAAAACACGAUGAAUUGAAUUAUAAGAUUUAGGAGCAAAACGACGAUGGCAUUAACGGAAAUACCUUACUCUUCUCAAGCCUCUUAACGGCGACGCGAUCGCCAUUGGCUUUGUCGAUUCCAACGUAAGUGUAACCAAAUUGGCCGUGCCCGAGCAAUUUUCCGAGCGAGUAACGCUGAUCGAAAUCCUUCUCGUAACCGAAAUCGGUGCGCUUCCCGCACGGCACGUGGCGCGAACUUGCCUUGUGCCGUAGGGGAUUCGCCGUUGCCGUCUCUGAUUUCGGCUUCGCGGCCCCCUUGCGGUUCUUGUUGACGGUGACGGCGUUGCCGUGGGAGCCGCUGACUUUGGUGGCGGAAAAGCAGGUUCCCAUGGUCGGAGAGGGUCGAAAACGCUUAAAAGAUGGAAAAGAAAAACACGAGGAGCAUCAAAUCAUCAAACUUGGAAUAAUAAUAUUACUAUGUAGUUGGAGUUGUUGUCAUUCAAUUGGGAAAAGAAAGAGAGAAAAAGGUUGGAAAUUGAAUAAAAGUAGGAAGGAAGAAGGGAAGAAAAAAGACCUUUGAAUGAGACAGUGAGAACGGGACGGGGUUCGGAUGAUACCCCUCCCUCUCCAAUCAAUCCCUUCUUCGAUGUGAACUCAAUUAAUUAAGCUUUUAAAUUCUGUCACAGGCCAGGCUGAACCAUUGAAUUAAGUGGUCCAUUCUAAAUCAUCUUUUAACGUCCGUCCGAUUUAUUCGUAUAAUAUUGAAUGAUCAAGAUUUAUUUCCUGCUACAAUUUGUAACCGUUUAAAGUAAAUUCUUUUUAGAUGGCAUCGAUUGAUAUUACUCCUUUGCCCUUUAGUAAAAGUUGACAUUGUUGAUACUAUUACUCCUUUACACACACCGACAUGGAGCGUUCAAAACAAGUCCAUGAUGAUUUGUUGAAUCCUAAGCCAAAUCAAAACUGAAAAUGGGAUUUUUCGUACUGUCGUUUCUGUUUUCUCCGCCGUUGCGGCGUCAAGUUCGGGGCAUAACCAGGUUUUUUGAUUAAGCGGUAGUAGGAUCAGUAGGGGGUGGUGAUGAAACCGGAGGUGCUAAAAGGAAGCAAAAACAAAAGUAGCAGGCGACGCGACCAGAACCCGAGGUCAUGGUUCUUGAAGACAUUGUCGAUCAAACUUGGCACGGUUAACCGUGAGGAAGUUCCAUCUUCAGAAAUCGAUUGCGAAAAAGUGCAUAUUAUUGUCAUUUGUUGUUGUUGCAUUGGUUGCAGGUUUUGCUUCGAUCAUUGCAUAGAGAGAUAUGCUGUGUGUUGGGAGAUCCAUGUUGGUGCCUUAGCGGCGGUGCCGUGGAGGUGGUUUCGUGAGGCACACACUCUCCCGAUCAAACCUUUCCCUUUUUAUUCCUACCUUACUGUUUAGCUUUUAUUAACGAAGGAUAAAAGAUCAUUUCCCACUUAUUAAAAUAUUCAUUUUAUCUAUAAUAUUUUCUAUUGUUAUACACAUUUACCGCAUUACCUCUAAAUUAUACUUCUCCCUUUGAAUUGCAUUAUAUUUGUUCUUAUUUAUAAGAGUUAAUUAUUUAAUUCAUUAAAUUUAAAAAAAAUAAUUAAUUUAAUUGAUAGUGAUAAAUUUUUGUCAUAAAUUUAUAUUUUUUAAAAGUAUCAUUGUAACAAAUAUUUUUCUCUCUUCUCAAUGUAUAUUAAUAUAAUUUCUCUCUUAUUUAAUUAGGGAUACUUUUAGUAUAAAAAUAAUUAAAACAUGAGACAAUAUGAAUUAGAUCUUAUAUAAAGGAACAAACAAUUUUAAAAAGUUGAGUCUUAUAAAUAAGAUGUUGUAACUAGAAUAUAUUUGUCAAUUAAAGGAUAAAAUGGUAACUGCAUGCUUUCUAUUUUGGUAUAGACUUUGCCCUUCAUUUUUUAUAGUAACUAUGUAGUGUUCAUAUUGUAUGUGUAGUUUAUUUUAAAUUUUAAAUAAAUUCAUUAUAUUUUGAAAAUGCUCUAAUAGUAAUUGAACACUAUGAAACGUUCUUAAACCAUUCAAUGCUUUUCACUCUUAGGUUUUAUUUUUAGCUUUCUCUCUCUUUCAAAUUCUCCAUUACCGGGUUUUUCUUUUCUCUCUUGCCCCUAUUCCAUUUAGUGUUGGAUUUGAUGAGUGAGUAUUCACACGAGAGUGUUUCCUAGAUUGUUAUCCUUCCAUGGAUUAACAAAAUUAUCCAUCCUUAAUUUCUUGAAGGUUCCUUUAAAUUCCAUAUGACAAACUCAUUCUUUGUUAUUUACUUUUUACCAUUAAUCAAACAUCAUGCAUAUUUUCAUCUUGCAAAUCAUCCAAUGUUAUGUUUUUUCAACAUUUGCAACUAACAAAAAUGGAAAAUCCCUUAAAGUUAUGAUCCUCUUACUCAAGUCAAGAAGUAUAGCCAAUGGAAAUUUUUCAUACCCCGAAAAAAGUUAUUACUUAUUAUUGUGGGAUGAUCAAAAGAUAAGACAAGAAAAUUUGAUAGAGUAGUAUGCGGCCAAAAUUGCAAAAAAGAAACUGGUGGUGAUGGUUGGGUCUAGUGGAAACAUCCCUACCACUUACCAAUUCUUGGAAGCAAGAAUUGGGAUAGAUGAAACGCCUAGAUGAAGGUGAUGUUUGGUUUUCAAGAUGCUUUAAAGUUGACAAAUGGGUAUACGGUACCAAGUGAAGAUGUUAGUAAAGCCAAGAGAGCAGCAUAUAAAGAAUCACAAAAAAAAAAAGAUUGAAAGGCCAUGUUUCUUCUACAUCAAAGUGUUUAUGAUGCCCACUUUGAAAAGAUCUUUGUAGUAACCACAACCAAGGAGGUUUGGGACAUACUGCAAAAAUGUCACGCUGGUAAUGGGAAAGUCAAGAAAGUGCAACUUCAAUCUUUACGUAGGCAAUAUAAGAUACUAAAAAUGAAGGAUCUUGAAAAGGUAGCAGACUAUUUUACAAGAGUCAUAACUAUCACAAUCAAAUGAAAGCAUAUGGAGAAAAUAUGACCAAUGAAAUGAUUCUUGACAAGAUUCUUUGUAAAAUGAUCCCCAGAUUUGAUCACAUAGUAGUCGCAAUUAAGGAGUCCAAAAAUGUUGAGUCCAUGAAGAUUGAGGAGCUACAUGGAUCUCUUGAAGCUCAUGAAAUGAGACUGGAGGAAAGGAGUAGUGAAAAAAGUGUUGAUCAAUCAUUGUGAUCUCAGGCAACAAAGAAAGAGAGUGGACAUAAAAGAAAAUGGAAGAAAGGAAAAAGGCAAAUUCAGCAAUGGAAGUUGAUCCUCUAAUCUAGAACAUUCGAAGGCUGAUGGUGACAAACUUGAAUCUUCAAAUAAAAGAGGAAGGUCAGCAAAAGGCAAAAGAGGAUAGAAAUUUGAUAAAAGAAAUUUUAGUGAUUCAAGUUUGCUAAUGACUAUUGGUCUGGAAAAGGCAAGCAGAAAAGAACAAGUGAUAAUGAAGCACAUGUGUCCAAGAAGAUUCAGACUCAAAUCCUAUUCUAUUGAUGACAACCAAUAAUGAUGAUGUUGUACAAAAUGAGUAAUGGUAUCUUGAUUCAGGUUGCUCGAAUCACAUUACCAGUCAUAAGGAGUUGUUGAGUGAUCUUGAUAGAUCCAAAAAGAGCAAGGUUUGAUUUGCUUAUGACAAAACCUUGAAUGUUGAUGGUGUUGGCAACAUUGUAAUUGAGAAAAGAGAUGGAAAACCUGCAAUUGUGGAGAACAUACUAUAUGUACUUGGGAUGAAGUGCAAUAUGUUAAGCAUUGAGUAACUAAGUCAAAGAGGAUUCUUAGUCACCAUGGAGCAAGAUUUUCUUGAGCUAUUUUAAUCUAGUAGAGGUUGAUUUUGCAAGCCUCUCUCUCAAGGAACAGAACCUUUCAAAUAAACUUACACACUAGUAUAGUUCAAUGCUUAAAGGCCACUAAAUUUGAGGAGGAGUUUUGGCUUUAGCACUCAAGGUAUGAUCACUUCAAUUUCACGAGCUUACACCAGCUUGGAACUAAACAAUUGGUUGAUGAAAUUCCUUCAAUCACAAUACUAGAGAAGGUGUGUAAGGUAUGUCUAAUUGUUAAGCAAUCAAGGAACUCUUUUAAAUCAAGUCUUCCUAUGAGAGACACAUGCUUGUUAGAUGUAGUGUAUUAUGAUAUAUGUGGGCAAUUUGAAGUACCUUCAGUGGAAGGUAACAAGUAUUUCAUUUCAUUUGUUAAUGAGUUUAGUAUAAUGAUGUCGAUAUACUUAAUCAAGGCUAAGUAUGAAGCCUUUGAUAUAUUUCAAAGGUUUAAAGUAAUAGCUAAGAAGCAAUGUGGAAAAUCCAUCAAAGUAUUAUGAACUAAUAGAGGAAGAGAAUAUAAAUCUAAGGAGUUUGAUGAAUUAUGCACAAGGAAUGGAAUUCAGGUAACAACUCCCUACACACCCCAACACAAUGGACUUGCAAAAAGAAGAAAUAGAAAAAUGUUGAAUGUGGUAAGAAGUAUGUUGAAGGAGAAAGCCUUACCAUAAUCAUUGUGGGGUGAAUAUGUCUCAAUAGCUGCCUACUUGUUGAACAAGUGCCCAACUAAGAAAUUGAAGGAGAAAGUUCCUGAGGAAAUCUAGACUGGAAGAAAGCCAACUAUGAGCCAUCUUAGAAUAUUUGGCUCAUUUUGCUUCAAGCAUGUCCCUGAUGAAAAAAAAAAGUUGGAAGACAAGAGUCAACAUAUGUUCCUAGUAAGCAUUGGGCUUUGAAUGAGUCCUCGGGGCUUGAAUUUCAACCCAAACUUAGAUAGUUCUACUGACCACGCGCCCAUUCUUCCAACGAGUUCUAGCUUUCAGAGGACCUGUCUAAUGGGAUGAUCAGUCUUGACUUUGAUUUGAUGGCUUUAGAAAUACAGGCACAAACUCCUUGUUGAGUUUACUAGUGAUAAUGCUAGUUUUCUUUAUCAUCUAGUAUCUCUGUUUAGCCCCAUGUAAAACUCUACUAGUGAAAUAGAUCAACAAUUUUAUUUUGUCGUCUCCCUGCAUCAAUAUUGAACUAAUAGUUGUAUUAGAAACAAAUAAGUAAAAUAGGAGUUCAACACCUAAUGUAUGUCGAGUUAGAAUUGAAGGAGCCGCUAAGAAAUUCUUGAGUUUUGCAAACAUUUUCUCACACUUUUCAUCUCAAACACAAUCAUUAUGUGAUUUCUUCAACAACUUGAAGAAUGGUAUUUCCUUCUUUGCCAUCUUGGGCAAGAAUUGAGAUAGAGAGGCUAGCUUUCUUGUUAGUUUUUGGACUUUAUUUACAUUUUUUGGACUCCUAAUUGUUAUGACAGCUUCACACUUGUUUAGAUUUGCUUAUAUUCCCCUUUAGGUUAACAUAAAACCUAAAAAUUUACCUUCACCAACCCCAAAAAGUGCACUUUUCAGGGUUUAGUCUCAUGUUGUGUUUUAUGAGUUGUGCAAAGAUUUUAGUCAAAUCACGAGCGUGCUGAUCAGGAGAUAAUGACUUCCCUACCAUGUCAUCUACGUACACUUCAAAGUUCUUUUUUAUCAGCUCCUUAGAAACUUUGUCCAUAAGCCUUUGAUACAUGGCACUUGCAUUUUUUAGGCCAAAGGGCAUUACUUUGUAGCAGAAAUUGGCUCCAUUAGCGAUCAAGUUUGUCUUUUCUUGGUCAAGUGGAUACAUCUUGAUCUGAUUAUAGCUCGAGUAAGCAUCCAAGAAGCUAAGCAAUUUGAACACAUAUGCCCCAUUGACUAGUCUGUCAAUGUUAGGCAAAAGGGAAGCAUUUUUGGGACAUGCCUUAUUGAGGUUGGUAUAAUCCAUACACAUGCUUCAUUUUCCAGUUGCUUUCUUCACCAUAACCAUGUUGGCUAACCAAGUGGUCUAAUUUACUUCAUAGACGUAGUCAACCCUCAAUAAUUUGUCAAUUUAUGCUUCUACAACUAUUCUCUUUUCUUCUCUGAGCUUGCAUUUUCUUUGAGCUAUGGGUUUGGCUUUGGGAAAAAUAGAAAGUUUGUGGAAAAUAAAAUUUGGAUCAAUCCCUGGCCUAUCGGACGCGCUCCAAGCAAACAAGUCAGCAUUGCCAAAGAGCAAUUGUUCUACUUCAUUUUGUACUAAAUCCUCCAUUCGCUUGUCGAUUUUAGUUCACAUAUGUGACUCCCUGCAAAUUUGGAAAGUCUCAAUGUCUUCAUUUAGGUUUGGUCUUCAAUCUUCGAAAUCUGAUCGAGGAUAAAGAUCCUCCAAUGUCGUGACGACAACUUUGAUAAUGGAGAUUGGUGCCUUGUUUUUUUUCUCUUCCACCAUAUUGUAAGGUUCAAUCUUGCAACUUUUUAUAUAACAUUCACGAGCAUCCAUUUAAUCAACUUUGAUAGUGACAAUUUCCCAUUUGGAUUAGGGAAAUUUCAUUGCCAAAUGAGGUGUAAAAACAAUGGCUCCAAUCUUGUUCAAAGUAGGUAUGUUGAGCAGGACAUUGUAUAAGGUGUCUGCAUCCACCAAAACAUAUGGAACUAUUAAUGAUUAAGAAAGUUUGCCUAAGCCAAAAGUAGUCAACAUAUCCACUUUUCCUCUAGCAUGCACUUGUUUUCCUACAAAACCUAUUACAUGUUUCUCAUGAGGUUAUAUAAGAUCAUGAGAAACAUCUAAUUUUUCAUAGAUAGACCAGUAUAAAAUGUUAGCAAAACUUCCCUGACCAAUUAGAGUUUUUCGAAUUGCCUAACCGACUAUUACAAUUGUAACCACCAUAGGGUCAUCUUGUGUUGGAUCAUUUUUUAUGAAGUCAACAUCUAUGAAUGUAAUUGCUAGUAGAGAUUGGCGUGGAGUUUCAUUUGUUCUUGCUACAUUAACACUUUUUAGAGCUUGGAGAUGUCAUUUUCUGGUGGAGUUUGUGCAACCUCCUUUAGCAAACCACCAACAAGAUUGUUGAUUACACCUCAGACGAUGCCUUGAGGAAUUUCUUGUUGCCUUUGUUCUCCUUUGUUGAUUGUUGUUGCCUUAUCCACCAAUAUAUCUUCCUUUAAAAUCGUCUCUAUGGCCACCUCUUCCUUCUCCUCUAUAACUGCCAUAAUUAUAAUUAUUUCCUCUAACAAAAUCAUUCAAACAUCCUUUUGAAAAAAUUCUCUCAGGAUUAUGCAUUCCUCUCUAGAAUGGUCGUAGUUUCAAUGAUAUCUACAUUGCUUGGUGCGGUAGGCUUAGCUAUGGAAACCUGUUGGCAGAGGUAAUGCAAGUAUUUUCGAGUUGAAUGCCUUCUCCAAGAUACAUGCUUGACUUUCAGUAAGAGGGAUAUAUGUUGCAUACUUUGGCUGUCAUGGUUGCCUUUUGAAAUCUUUCUCUUUGACAGGCUUUAGUUUUUCUUUAUGAGAAUCAAGCUUCUUCUGGUCUCCUUUAACUUUGUCAUAGAACUCAGACAACUCUUCCAUUUGGAUAAAACUGACCGCAUGACGUCUCAAUUCAUCCAUGUUAGCCGACCUCUUUUUACACAGACUAUCUGUGAACGCUUCUGGCUUGUGUGUUCCUAUCAUGGCAUGAAGGGCUACUCUGAGUUCGAGAUCUCAGAUUCUGAUUGCAAUUUAUGAAAAUCAGCCCAUGAAAUCAUGUAGUGACUCAUUAUUGGUUGCCACAUAUUGGUCAUUGCUACCAACAUUGUAUGGUGAGGUCGACAUGUGGCAUAUUAAGCAUCAAAACAUUUAAUAAGCAUGUCAAACAAGUUGAUCUUCCGAGGAAAGAGUUGAUGGCACCAUGUCAGGGCAAGUUCUUUCAAAGAACUUGGAAUAACCCUGCAUAAAAUAACAUUGUUGUUAGUGUAUAAGUUUACAUGUGUAAUGUACUUUAAGGUGUUCAUUUGGGUCCAUAGUUUUGUCAUAUCGAUCUAUACUUAAAGGCUUCCAUCUUAGAGGAAGGGGACCAUAAAAAAUAUCAUUGACAAAGGGAUGUCGACGACAUAACUCAACUGGUUGACUUUAAGAUCUUUGAUGUGAUCGUCCAAUUGUGUUUGUUUGACAGUUAGUGUCAUGUGAAGAGUGUUCUCCCUUUGUUGCUACAUGAUGGGUUAGAACUCUAUGUUGCGUGUUUUCCUGUGAUUGUUGUAAGUGUGCUCGGAUAGCUUUGUUUUCCUAGCACAGUUCUUGUAGGUCUGGUUCUUGCUUUUGUUGUAAUACAAUCAUCUCUUCCGCGUUCUUCUUUUGUAGAGCCUCCCACUGCUCUCUAAAUCCUUGAGUCACUGAACUCUCUUCCAUGGCAAUUGACCAUAACAUUGAAAUCCUAGUCAUUACCAUAUAAUAUUAUGAUCAAAGGUAAUUUCACUUUGACCCCAUAGUGGUCGCCAAAUGGUCUUACCAGGUUCUUCUUAUACCAAUCUGUGAAACUGCUUUUUUCUCCGAUGAGCUGUAUCUGGUGAGUAGAAUGUACCUAACAUGUUCAUAUGUUGUUUAUUGUCUUAUAGAGGAUGACAACGACUGAGUUGGUAACUACCCAUGAUGCCCACUAAGAUAUCGUGUGUGGAGUGGUAGUCAGUUGGUUGGUGCCAACUACCCAUAAGCCUCGUACAAUACAAAAGUGUUGUUCCAAUUCAAUCAAGCUAUAAUUGCUGUGAAAUUUUAUUUAUUUUAAAGAAAAAGUCAUACUCACAUAAUAGAGCCAUGAGCUUUAUUGCUUGGACAACGAGCAAAUUAAAUUUCAAUUUUACUUAGAGAGUGUUUAUUUCAACAUUUUAAACUCUUGAUAAACUAGAAGGAUAAUCCUUCUAGGACCUUUCAUUUCAGGUUGGUCUUCCCUCUCACUUUCAAGUUUCUUUUGAAGUUGGAAAAUACAAGACCAGUAGUGAAGCUGUGCAUAACUUCUAUUUUCAUUCUUGUUCUUCUUUAUGAACCUUUUGCCUUCAGCUCACCAUUCUUACUCCUUUUUGUUGCAAAUUCUUGGCUCACAUUCUUCUUAUUCUCAGCAAAAACUUUUGAGAUUUUUCUUAUGAAAACAUUGUCUUUUCACAAAACCAAUCAAACCACUCAAAUUGUCAGGUUGCAUUAGUUCACCACCGAUUAUAAGGAACAUCCAGAUUGGUUCUCAGUUGAAUCGACUAGUCCGAUCCAGUUUUGAAAACCUUAAUAGUAAGUAUACAAGGGUAGGAUUAUGGAGGGGGUAGGGCGGCUGAGGACCACACUCGCCCCCCCUUACCAUCCAAAAUUAGACAAAAAAUAUUGAUGAGUUGCGAUUGAUAGUAUAUGUGAUCUUUUAAAAAAUAAUAGUAUAUGUGACAAUCUUAUUUACAUAUAAAAUUAAUAAUUUUUGAAAAUAAAGAAUACAUUUUUCUUUAAUGCAUUUUAAAAAAUAAAAAAACAAUUAUUUGAAAAUUUUAUUUGAAAUAAAUAAUUUUUAAAAUGCAAUGAAGUAAAUUUUAUAUUUUAUUUUUAAUAUUAUUGAUUUCUCAUUUAAAUAUGUUUGUUACAAAUGUUAUCAAGCACGACUAUGUCAUUAUUUAUGGUUUAAUUUUGGAUAAAUCCAUUUUAUUCUAAAAAUACUCUUAUAGUAACUACACACUAUGAAACUGGGGGCAUUGCUUCACUCGUUAUCUCCCUUUACGUAUUAUUCUCCUCUACCACAAUCAUGCUUAGGAUAAGUUUGGCAAAAGUAAUUGUAAAAUUAGUCAGAAGUUAAAAACUUAAUUGAUGGUUGAAAAUUGGAUAAAUAUCUUAUUAAAUUAUAAGUAUUUGACAAAAUUAUUGGCUAAAAUAAUUAAAAAUAUAAAAUUAUAUAAAUGGACAUAUUUAUGUAAUAUUUGUAUACAAAUUUUAAUAUGAUUUUCUUGAUAAAAAUAUAUUUUGUAAUAUUUAUAAUUUUAGUAUUAAAUUAAUUUUUUUUGUUACAAGUAUUAAAUUAAAUUUUAAACACUUGUAAAUUUUUAUUUAUAAAAUAUAAAAAAUACAUAAACUUAUUAUAUAUCAUUAUCAAUAUCAUAUAUAAUAAAAAGAUAAAAAUGAGAAAAUCCUAUCAUAUAUAAAAAAAGAUUUUAAGCAAUGUCUACAAAAUGUUAAAAAUUAUUAAAAAAAAAACUUAUUUAUUUAACAAUUAAAAAAGUUUUUUAAAUAAUAGUUAAAAUAUCUUAUCAAACACACUUAAUCAUCCAAUAUCUCUCCACUCUUUGUCCCAAAAUUUAAUCAUAAUAAAAUAAUAUUUAUAAAAAUAGUAAUAAUAAUAAAUUAUUUUUAUUCAAUAUCAAUAUCUAUUAUUUUAUUUUUAUUCAUUAAAUAAAUUUAAUUUAUUUAAUUCAAAUAUUUCUAUUUUAUUUCUCUUUUUACAAAAACAACUUUUACUUCUUAUAUCUAUUUUUUCACUUACCUACUUUCUUUUCGAAAUACCAAAGAGGAGAGAUGAAGAGCACGGAAAUGUUGAUUCCCAAGGAAGGAUUAAAACUUCGCCUCAAAGAAGGAAGGAUUAGCGUGGAAAUGAGGUGUUGCUGCCUUGAUAAGUGGGGCAAUUUCAUAGUUCCCUUCAUACGUGGGCCCUGAUUCCUCCUAAAUAAUAAUAAGAAUAUUAAAAAUGAUAUUAAUAAUAAAAAAAAUAAUAAUUAGUAAUAAUAAAUAUAAUUAUUAUUAUAUUAAUAAUAAAAAUAAUACUUUUAUGAUUAUAAUAAGAAUAACAAAAAAAUAUGCUUACAUUUAAGGAUAAAAUGGUACUUCUAGCAACAAUUCAAUUAUUUUUUUACUUAUUAAAUAACUAUAAUUUAAUUUUUUUAUUUCUGACACUCUAUUUUUAUAAAUAAUUUUUAUUUUUAUUUUAUUUUUCAUCUAUUUCUCGUCUUUUUUUUUUCUCAUCUUACUUUUUCGUUUUUAAGCUUGUGAACAUGUUACACCCGCGGUUGGCGCAAUACUCCUUCCUCCCAACUCUCCUUCGCUUAUAAAAACACAUGCAUGCUCCUUCACUUGCAAGAAACACCCCCCUCUUCCAAUAGCUUCCUUCUUCCCAAUCAGUAUUUUGUUGCUCCCUUCUCUCCCAACUUGCUCUCUCUCUCUUCUCGUUUGCUCUCUCUCUCAUAAUAUUUUUAUUUCAUGUUCUUUAUUGUUGCUAAUUACAUUAAAUGACACUUACAUGUUUUAAAAUAUGUGAUAUUGUGUUUAUAUUUAAAAUAUUUAAUGAGUACAUUUAAUGACAUUAAAUGACACUUACAUGUUUUAAAAUAAUUAUGAUUUUGGUUUAGAAUUUUUUUUGGAAUAUUAGCUUUUUACAAUUUUUUGUAAUAUAUGAUAUUGUGAUUUUUUAAACCUGUCAUGUAACUUAAUUAUUACAUGUGAGAUUGUAAAUUGAAUUUUUAAAAUGUUUGUGAUAUAUGUUGUUAUUAAUAUGGUUUUAAAUAAAUUUAACUAUGUUUGUAAUAUGCAGUAUAUUUGAUAUGGCAAGUUCAUCAUCCUCCUCAUCCAGUUUUGAUGUGGUAUCUCGACCACGUGAAAAUGAUGUGUUGUGGAUGCAAAAUCAACAUGUGUCCCAACAUAUUUGGAACGGGGAUACAGAUAGAAAAUUAAGAAUGAGACGAGCGAUUCCAACUUAUUAAGGUAUAGAAUAACCACCGGCAUAAAUUAUUCCUCUGUUACAGCAGUUUGGAUUAUACACAACAAUAAAAUUGUGUAGAAUCAAAAUCAAUGGAGGUAUUGUAAAUGCUUUUGUUGAAAGGUGAAGGCCAGAGACACACACAUUUCAUUUGACAUGUGGGGAGGCCACCAUCACAUUACAAGAUGUGUCUGUGUUGCUAGGUCUUCCUGAGGAUGGCAAUCCUUUAAAUCUACCUUCUCUUGGUUGCAUGAUCGUAAGGGGUUGGAUCAUGCGGGUAGCUUCUUCAUCUCUGUGUUACAUAUAUCAUCGAUAUCUUCCUCCACAUCCAACGAGUCCUCAACAUAUGAAUUAGAUAUCAUAUAAUCAUCAUCGUCAGAAUCUUCAUCUAAAUUUGUUGCAAAUCUUAGAACUUUUUAUUCAUUAGCAACUACAUUAUUCCCACAUGAUAAUAGCGAAUUUGUCACAUUCAACGCAAAAGCACCGACAACAUCUACUUCAACACACAAUUUAAUGACACUCAUUUCUUGUUGUUGUUGAAAACUUUCAAUCAUUGUUUCAACAUUUUCAUCGUCACAAAUUUGCAAUGCAAUAUAUUUACCUGCAACUAAAAAUCGGCAAGUCAUAGUAGAUAUAAUUUCAUUUUUAUCUAAUUUUACCUUAUCACGAAUUCUUUUUUUUAACCCAUCAAAAGUUACACCACGUUAAUUUGAAUAGCCUUUUUAGGGCCUUCAAAAGUGAUGUCGUCGUCACUUUGAAAUAUUCUUCCAUUCAAAUAAACCAGAACAAUAAUCAAAGAAUUUAUUUUUAUAAUAAAACCUACAACAUAAAACAAUAAUGUCAUCAAUUUUCAUUAAUAAUAAUAACAUCAAAAAAUAAUACAAAUUAAUAAAUAUAAAUUAAUAAAAAUAAAUUAAUAAAUAUAUUACUGAUUUUCAUCCCACAAAAGAAAUAUCAACAAAGUUGUCACAAUGUAAUAUAGAGAGAAAGAAAUUUGGAGAGAUGCGGAAACAAUGUACCAGAAAGUUUGUGUGGAUGGAAGGGGGAUGGGGGGUUUAUAUAGGCAUGUAUUGUGCGGUAGUAAUGACACAAUAUGUUAUACCUAGGGCAUUUGAGCAAAGGGUUGCUCCAAUUGACAUGACACAAUACAUUUCCAGCUGGUCAACACUGCACACGCUGUCAAAAGCCUGUCCAAAAGUGGUUGCGCCACUUACAUUAGAACAACCCAUUGCGCAAUUCUGUUGGUGCAACAACUCAAUGCCACAUGUCAGCUCCCUGAUGUAUUGUGCCCCUGCCUUUAGCACAAUGCAAAUAAAAACAGACCCCCUCGAAAAAAUGUUUGAAAAUAGACCCCUAUUGGUAAAUUGUUUGCACAAGGAGCCUAAACUGGUACUUUUGCCCAGAUUCAAGUGCGGCAGAAUAGUAACGAUAAAAAGAUGAAGAAAUUCAAGAAAACAUCAAAUCAAGCUCGACAAACGAAUGUUGGUUUUGGUCUUUUCAUACGUGUCAAUUCAAAUAUAGCUUCUUGUCCUUUCUCUUCUAGGAUUUGAGAGCUGCAUUGCAUUAAUUAGAGCUUUCCUGAUAAAUCUCUAACAAGAUCUUAGACUUUUUUUUAAUCUUAUAUUAUCACGUAGGAUUGAAGAUUUUUGUCAUUUUUUUCUUUUCUUUAUCGGUAGAUUUCAUCUUUAAAUCUUAAAUAAUUUAUUAAAUUAAAUAUUUAUUAAAAAAAUAAAUAAUUUUUUCUCCUCUUCCUUUCCUUUCAUGUUGCAUCUUCUUUUCUUUUUCCUCUUCCCUCUCUUCUCAUUUGCUUCUUUCUUCUUCCUUCACUGUGGCCUCCUUUCCCACCAUUAUGGCAUGUUUCUUCUUCCUUCCCCUUAGCCACGACAUUGACCUCCUUCCCCCUCCCUCUUCACCACGACCUCCUGCCCCUACACUAGUAUGUGUAUUUUGUUUUUAUGUUUUGUUGUUACUGGUUUCUUCUUCUUCAUCAUUUCAUAUCCUCUACUGUUAGUCUCUCUUGCAUGUUUUGAUGUUGCUGUUAGGGAGAGAGUAAAAAAAAAUUGUUUUUUUAAAGAUUAUGCGGAUCUUAAGGGUUCUUGUGUAAAAAUUCAUUCUCCAUGCUCAAGAUUUGUCCAACUUCUUUAUUGGGAGAUAUAGUGAAGAUCAAAUCUUAUGUUUAGAAUCCUUGUUCAAGAUCUGACACUAAAGUUGUUCUUAAAACACGAUGGGAGAGCUAGGUAUAGUGAACAGUUAAGAUUAGACUAAUAUAGACAUGUAUAAUUUCCCUUAUAUAUUUUUCUAAGAAUUACAUAUUUUUUAAAUUAACAUUUUCAUUAGUAAUAAAAUUCAUAGUGCAUUUUUACACUAAAAAUGAAUUGGUCUCUCUCUUUCCAUUAAAAAUAAUUAUCGUCCUAAAUCAUUUUACACAAAUAAUAAUAAUAAAUAAAUGAAAAAUAAUAAUUUUAUAAAAUUAAUAUUAUACAAUCAUUAAUUCAUUUAUAAAUUUAAUAGUUUAUCAUUAUAAGAGAUAUCAAUAAAAAAUAAUAAUUAAUAUUCUAUUAAAAAACUAAAAUAAUAAUAAUUUUAAAAUAAUUUAUACAACAAUUAUAAUGGGAUGGAAUAACUACAUCAUAAGUUUACUGGCGAGUUUGAAAAACUAGUAAUUGGCAUCUGCCAGAAUAAUCAAAUAUCAAAUAAAACUGUUUUAAAGAUCAUGGUACUGUAUUUUUUUUUUUUUAAAAAAAAGCAUGGUACUAAUUUACCAAAUGGUGAAUGUCUCCAUGCAGAUGAUAAUAUUUUCUUUUCGUUAUAUUUCUUGUUUAAGUGAGACUAUUUCUAGUUACAAUAAUAUUGAUUCCCUGACUGAACUGUAGUGAUAUCCCAGACCUUUUAAGCCAUGACCUAAUAGGCAUAGAAAUUAUUUUAAGUAAAAUAAGUAAACAUUUAACUCAAAGUUAAUAUUAACUUGAAAUCAGUACAUUUAAAAACAAUAUAAAAAUUAUUUUAAGGACAUUAUAGGAGUUUAAUACUUAAUUUAAAAAAAAAAUUCUCUCUCCACUUUUUAUGACAAUUUUUGUUGGGAUAUGAUAAUUGGUUGUUACCCGACCGCGAUAAGAGAAAUUAGUGUAAAAAAUAAAUCUGAAAUGAGAAAAAAUGAGUAAUAUUAAGUUGUGAUAAGAGAAAAAAAUGAUUUAUUUUUCAAUAAAUAUUAAUUAAUUAAAAUACUCUUAUAAUAAAUAAACAAAAACAAAAGACAUGAGUGAUAUUUUUGUUUAAAUAUUUUGGUGUUGGGUGUGAAUGCACUCCCAUAUAUAUAUAUAUAUAUAUAUAUAUAUAUAUAUAUAUAUAUAUAUAUAUAUAUAUCAGCAAUGCUCACGAAAUGCAACUAGCUAGGAAGAAACACACAAAAGCAUUUUUAAAAAUAAAUAUUAAUUAAAAGUCUAAAAAAUAUAUCAAAUAUCUUCUAACAGAAUACACUGCUUCGUGUGCGUAUUUGACAAAAUAUAGUUUUCGUACCAAAUAUCAUUUUCCUAUAUAUAUAUAGAGGCAUAGAAAUUAUUUUAAGUACAUUUAAGUCAAAUUUAAUGUUAACUUAGAAUUAGUACAUUUAAAAAUAAUAUUAAAAUCAUAAAAUAUAACUUACAGAAUAGUAGGUAAAGUAGUACGUAUACACAAACAUUAAUAAUGAUAUUUUCAGACUAUAUAUAUAUAUAUAUAUAUAUAUAUAUAUAUAUAUAUAUAUAUAUAUAUAUAUAUAUAUGGUCUGGUUUGUUUGGGAGGAAGAAAAGAGAAUGAAUAGGUGAAAAAAGAAGAAGGGAAAUAGGUAAAAUAAAAAUUGAAAAUAUAUGCUAAAGAAAACUUAACUAACAAUGUCGUUUAUCACAAAAGUUAGGUGCAAAUAUAAGAAAUCGUAUUUUUUGAAAUCCUUUAAACGUAAGCACUUUUGAUCGUAAUGGUAGGACCAUGCAUGCAGCCAAUAAGCCAGUCCCACUUAUUUUCAUUUAUAUGUAUAUAGAGGCAAAUAUAAGGUAUACAUAGAUCAGGUUGAAUCCUAAGACAUAGGCAUGAACACAACACAUGAUAUCCCCACAGAGUAAGAUUAUUAUUAAUUCGUGGCCCUUCAAAAAUACUAAAAACACCAAGGGAGCAAUACUGAUAUUAUUAGGCAAGAAUCUCCUUCAAAGGCUUGGCCUCAACUUUUGCCUUCUCAAGUUCUUGGAAAUGCUUUUCAUUCUCAAAGUCCUUUUUCUUAGCCAGCUUCUUCAUCCCUGCAAUCUCAAGGUCCUUGCUCAUCUUCCUCCUGUACAUUUCAGCAAAAGUGAUUGGUUCCUCCAUCACAGGCUUCUCUCCCUCUCUAACCUUGAGAGGGUACACAGUUGCAUUUGGUACAGGGUUUUGAAACGUGGCUAUGGACAAACGGCUAUGGUUUGAGUUCACCACCGCUUGAUGAUCAGCACUCUUGAACCUUCCAUUGCUCAGAUACUGCAUGGAUGCACCCACACCCAAAAUUUGAAUAAAUUAUUAUGGAAAACAAAGUACACGGUCAAAAGCCCUUGCUUGAUAAAAAUAAAAUAAAAUUAAUCAAUCACUAAUUAAGCUAGUCUUUCUAAAAGCUUCUUGAACUUCCUUCACAUCUCAAUAUUUUUAUUUUAAUUAACUAAUAAAAGCAUAUCAUUAGCUGAUACUAUAUAGUUACUAUUUGUUUUCUUCUUAAAUAGUUUGUAUUAAAAAUAUGUAAAUGAAAUUAAUAUAAAAAUAAUGUAAGGAUUUUGAUUAAGCUGUUCACAUGCAUAUAUAAUAAAAUGACUCCCGGUUAAAUAUAUAAAUACUGAUAACUUUAAUCUUUAAUUCAAAUUAAAAAUAUUGAAAUAUAACUAUAUUAAGAAAAAUCAUCUAAUUUUAGCACAGUUUUUGUGCAUUCUAAUUUAUCACUUUAAACAUAUAUCUUAUAUCUAGUUACUCUUUUAAAAAAAAUUAACGACUAAAUUAAUUCUUUAUUUAUAAAUUUUAAAAAUUAUUGUUAUAUACAUCAACGCUUUAAAAAUUCAAUUUAAUAUUAUAAAAUAAGAUUUUUAAAACCAAAGAUCAUGAAUAAUCUAAUAUAUAUAUAUAUAUAUAUAUAUAUAUAUAUAUAUAUAAAAGAAAAUUUGAUCCUAUAAUAUAAUAUCACCUGUUAAUUUCAUAUUUAUUAUUUAUUUCUUUGAAAAGUAUUAAAUAAUAUUAUUAAUUCAAUUAUUAAUUCAAUUUAAUAUUAUUUUAUUAUGUAAAUAGAUUCUAUUUGAGACUUAAAUAUAUUUUUAUUCUUUGUAAUUUUUUUUAUUUUUUAUUCCUAUAAUACAUAAUAUAUUUUUUUACUGUUUAAAACGUAUCUUACAUGUUUUAAAGACGAAUAACAGUAUAAUCCUAUGAUUAAAUGAAAGAGAGAAAGAGAGAAGUAAUUGACAACGUGUUGAUUUAAUGUGAAAACGCAUUGAUUUUAGCCAGUUGGUUUUCGUUGUCAAUAAUAGUCAUUAAUCUUGUAUAAUUUACACCCUUUGGCUAUCUAAAUUACUUCUAGUUUUGGAUAACUAUUUUGGGAACCAAAGCCCAUAUAAUCAUUGCAGAGUAUACUCACAUGACAAUGGUCUCCAAGAUUGACAACGAAGGCACCCUCCACAGGCUGAACGGUGAUCCACGUUUUCCCAUUGUCCCUGGUGGCUUGGAGUCCACCCACUUGGUCCUGAAGCAGCAAUGUGAUGGUGCCAGGAUCAGUGUGGCGCUUGAGGCCAAGAGUGAGGUCAGGUUGUGGGCACUUAGGGUAGUAAUUCACCACAAUCUUCUGGUCCAUGUCAACACAUGCUUUGGUUAAAGCCUCUUUCUCCAACCCCAUUGCCUCUGACAACACCUCCAAGAGAUUGCAAGCUAGAGCCAUUAGCUUCUCGCUGUAUGAUUCGGUCACUGAUCUCCACCCUUUUGGAGUGUCUGGCCACCUUGUAUAGUCCCUCUCUCUCAUUGGGUAGGAAAAGUAUAUCACUAUCUCUCUCCAGUCCUGCACGGACUCACCCUGUCAUGUCCCAAAAAUCAUCCACGGAGUUAGUUACUUGAAUGAUAAAUCCAAAUCGAUUCAACAUAAAAAUUGAAAACUGCUAAAAAAAUAUGUGAAAUUUUGCAAAGAAAAAUAAACAUGUGAUGAAAAAUAUUUACUCGGAGAUGACUAGAGACGUUGAAUCCUCCCCUUUUGCCACCGGACAUAUCAAAGCGAAUCUUUUCGUCCAGUGGCAAGAUAAAGAACUCUUUGGCAAGACGGGUCAUCUCGGCCAUGAGUUGUUGAUCCACACCGUGAUCAACAACUUGGAAGAUACCCCAAUUCUUGCAAGCCUCCACAAUCUUCUUGCAAAUCUCUUCUCUACGACCACCCACCUCGUGGAUUCCGGCCAGAGAAAUCACCGGGACCUCAUUGCUGAAUUCAUUGUACGCAACCUUUGGACGCUCGUCUUCAUCCCGAACGAAGCUCAAUUCCAGGGUCUUCUCCUGAGCCAGGUAAGCCAGAUCAGUCUUGGCCGUUGGUGCCAUUCUUGUCUUUGGGUUAACUUGCUUACGGUGUGGGGAUUGAGGAGAGUGUGCGUGUGUGUAGUGGAAUUAAACAGUAGUAUGCAAUGUUUGAUUUUUUGAAGUUUGAAGGAUGGUAAGAGAAUGCAAGAUUGGUUGGUGUUUUAUAGCGUGGCAUGGAGUGGUAGGAGCUCCUACUUACUAACCACGUGUUCCCAAGCAUUCCUCUCAACUCUACAUACAUGUUCCUUUCACGUUGGUACCUAACUUUAUUCAAUUCGUCUCUUUUUUUUCUCCCUACAAGUCAUUAAAUAAACAAAAUUAAAUAUGUUUUAUAUUUUAUGAUAUUAAUUAUUUAUAUUGUUUUUUUAGAAUUUAACUAAAAUGCACUAAAAGUGUAAUCAAAUUUACUUCUCCAAACAAUCGUGGAAUAUUAAAUAAUGAAUUAUCACAAUACGAUUAUUAAAUUUCAUAAUAACGUAUUUUAAAAACUAUGAAGCCGUUUAUUUAAGCCUUUUCACCACACAAUUACUUCUUCAUAAAAGAUAAUCACUUUUUUUAAUAUUUUAUGUACUUGUUAGGGCUUCUUAAAAUAACAAGAAUCAAGGUUAUCAAACUCAGUUUACGCAAACUCACGAGAGUUUCAUAGAUUCAACUUGUAGAUUCGUAAAAGUCCAUUUCAUAUAAAAAUAAUAACAAAAUAUCUAUAAAUAACAUACUAAUUAAACAUUUUAACGAUAUAAUAAAGCAAAAUAAUAAAUCAUAAAGUUCAGAAUAUUUAAUUAACCAAGUCUAGUAAUAAUACAUCACUACUAAAUAAUAACUUACAGAUUAUAGUAGUGGUAGAUCAUUCUCAUCAAGGGUUAAAUAUUAUUAGAGAACAAAUGUUUGAUAUUAUUAAAGGUAAAAAUUUUGUAUUUGAGAAUAACACACUAAAUCAAAGUAUGUUGAAUGUUAUACAAAGAGAAAACAAUAAAAAAAAUGACUUACAUUUUGGUCUAAUUUUUUUAACUUAACUCGUUGACUUGAUGGUAAGCUCGAGAGUCUACCGAGUUUACUUAGAGUUUGACUAGAGUUUACUAAAAAAAAGAGUUUACUCAAAAGUUAACUCUCGCAGAGAGUCCAAAUAGACUCGUAAACCCGUAAGAGUUAACAAGUUAAUUCGAGAGUUUGAUAACCAUAACAAGAAUCACAAUUAAUUAUUAUUAUUUUGAAAUGAUUUUUCUAAUUGUAAACAAACAUGAAUUCACUUCUUCCUUUUUUUAAAAUAAAAACUUCUGAAAAGUAGUCACUAAAUUAUUUUAUACCAAAAUCACUUUUUUUUUAAUCUUGAACAAACUGCUCUGUAUCUAAAUUGAUAUCCAAAUAGUUAAAGGAAUGUGUCAUAGUUAAAAUCAUUUUUGAAUGUCAAUUUUUUUUAAAAAAAUAUUAUUUUUUAUCUAGAGAUUUAAAAGCUCAAGAUAUAAUAUUAAAUUUUACUAUAUUAAUUCGCAAUAUUUAAUUAUGUUGCAUAUUUACUAUUAAAUUGAAGAGAAAGAAAUAAUAAUUAUAAAAUACAGAAUAUUAGCAAUAAAAUAUAAUAAUAAAAAGUAAUGCUAAUUUUAUAUUCAUUUUAGCUUUGAGAAUUAAUUAUUUGUCUGAAUCUAACUAUAUAUAUCCCAACAAUGUUAAUAAUCCAGUUGCAAAGACCGUGGAUGCCAAACUGUACGGUUGCGUAACACAAAAUUAUGCAGUCCAGUAGUUUAGUUUUAAGAUCUAUUCUUUUAUGUUGUUAAAUCACCAGCGUGCUCUACAAUUUGCAUGUUUUCUUGUUCAAAACUUUCUACCAUGUUAGAUUUUUCUUAUUUUACUCCACUCCAUACAAAAAUCUUCAUCUUUAGUCGGCUAAAUAUGACGUACGUAGCAAAUGCUAUCUCCGGUACGUAGAACUUGUGCAUGCCCACCCCUACGGGAGAACAAGGGUUUGUUUGGUUUAAAAGAAUAAAAGUGAUAUGAAAGUGAAUUGAAGUAAAAAUAGAUGAAAUAUUUAAAUUAAAUUAAAAUAUAAAGGUGUGAGACUCACAACAAUUUUUAAAUUUUUUUUAUCUCAAAUACAACCAAAUAUAAUUAAGCCAAACAAUACCCAGGCAAACUAUUAUAAGUCGAUUUAUAAGUUUGGCAAAUUUAAGUUGAAAAAAUUGGACUAUAGGUAGGCCAAGAACCUACUGGUUAGUUUCACUUUCACAAUUUCACUACAAAGGUGAAUGAUGAUGAAGAAAAUUUCUUAUUAUUUUGUUAUAACUAUCUUCAAUGAUUUUCAUAUAAACAACUAAAUUUAUGUCAAAUCAAUCUUAAUCAAUUUAAUUAAUUUUUUCUUCAACGAGAAAUGAUAUUAAUAAGUUUUUUUACUCAUAAAUAUUUUAUCUCUCUUCAAUGUUUAAUACAAAGUUAUGCAACUCAUAAACAAUUGUUGUUUAUCCAAACAAUUCUUUUUAAUUUUAAAUAACUCAAAAUUACAUACCAGGCAUCAAAAUAUUUUUUUUAUAAUUGGUCUAUGUGUACGCGUUUAUAUUUAUUUUGAAAACAUUUUCUCUCAUCUCGAUUAUAAAAAAAAAUUAUUUCAUACUCUCUCUUUACAAGAUCGUUCUUUUGAAUGAAUUUUAUAAGAAUAAAAUUAACAGAUGCGUUAACAAUUCAGUAGUAGGAGAAUUUAUUUUUUCAAGAAAUUUAAAAUUAUUCAUGAUAAAAUAAUUUUAUUUGGAUAGAAUAUUUGAAAAGAAAUUUAAUUUUUGUUAUUUUUAUUAAUAAUUUUGAUUAACUAAAACAGUGAGAUUUCAAAUUCUCUAAAAAAUUAAUUAUAGAAUUUGAAUUUUUUUUUCGGAGAUGCUCAAUCUAAUUCACGAUGUUCUUGCUCACGACUUAUUCUCGGUCAGCACUCGCAGCUAUGGGUGACCAAAGUUUUUAAGACCGACAUCGACAUAAGUUAUUUUUCACUGAUGUUGGUUGAGGUUUUUUCGGUCAAAUUUUUUUUGUAUGAUGUCAACCAAAGCUAUUUUUUGCUGAUAUCAGCUAAAUUUUUUUUAGAUGAUGUUGGUUAGGGUUGUUUUCUCGCUAACGUUAGUCAUGAGAAUUUUUUGCUGACGUCGGUUAAGAACUUUUUUUCCAGUAGAAUGUUGACCAAUGAUUUUUUGGGUCGACGUUGACUAGAUUUUUUUACUGACAUCGGUCAUGACUACUUUCAAUCGACGCAGCUAGGUUUUUCAGUCACAUCAGUCAAAGCUAUUUUUUAACCAAUAUCAGCCAUGAUGUUUUCAACCGAUGUAGCUAGGGUGAUUUGGUUGAUGCCAACUAGAUUUUCUUAGUCAACAUUGUUUAGGAUUUUUUUUGCCGAGAUCGACUAGGAUUUUCUGGCUGACAUCCGCCAAAGUUAUUUCCUGAUUAUAUUAGCUAGGUUUUUUUGGUUGAUGUUGACUAGGAUAUUUUCUGCUAACACCAGCUAGAUAUUUUUUAUAGACAUUGGACAUGACUAAUUUUAGUCGACAUCGACAAGGUUUUUACAGUCGACAUCCACUGGAAUUUUUUCAGUCGACAUCAGUCAGAGCUAUUUUUUAGCCAACAUCGGCCAAGACUAUUUUAUAGACGAUGUUGGGUAGAUUUUUUGUCCGACAUUGGUCAAGACUAUUUUUUAGCCUACUUCGACUAGGGAUUUUUCAGUCAAUGUUGACCAAUGAUGUUUUUCGGCUGACAUCGAGUAGGUUCUAUAGGCCGGCAUCAACCAAGCUAUUUUUAAGUCGAUAUUGGGUAAAUUUUUUUGUCAACGCCUACUAGAAUUUUUUAGACCGACGUUGGCUAAAAACAACCUUGGUCAAUGUCGUUCGAAAAGACCCUAACCGGUGUCAGUUAAACAAACCCUAGCCGACGUUGGUAAGAAAACCUAGUCAACAUCGGCUGAAAAAUAGACUCAACCAAUGUUAGUUGAAAAAUAGUAUCGGCUGAUGUCAGCUGACAAAUAUUUUCGGCAUACUUUGACAAAAAAACUCUACCGAAAAAUAGCCUUUGUUGAUGUCGGUUUUAAAACAUUAGUGGUUGUGGUAAGACAAAAUAACCCUAGUUAAAAUUAUCAAUAUUUAGUAUUUUUAAAUUAUUAAAAAUUGAAAAAUAUUUUUUAAUUAAUAUUUCAAAAUUAGAUUGUGUUUGUUUUCUAUAAAGUUUAAUAUUAAAAUUUCAUCUAUUUAAAAUAUAAAAUUGAAAAUUUGCAUAUGGAGAAAAUUGAAUUGCCUUAUCCAAACAAAGAAUUUAAAAUUGAUGAAAUUUGAAUUGAUUUAUCCAAACAAAGCAUUUGAAAAAUGAAAGAAAUUAAAAUCAAAACAAUUUAAAUUCUAGGCAUUUUAAAUUCCCUUAAAUUUUAAAAUUUCUAAUCCAAACACAAGAUAAGGGUACAAUCAUCAUUUACAAGAUAAGCUUUUUACCAAUUAAUUCCUAGAAAUUGAAAAUUUCAAAUAAUUUAGUUUUAUAUUGGAUCUUUUGUAUUCUCUCUUGUUUGGAUGAGAGAAAAUGAAUAGCAAUUAGGUAAGAAACACUUAAGUAGAGAGAGAGAUAUGAUUAAUUUCAAAAAUAUUAAGAUAUUUUUGAAAGAAUAUUAUAAAUUAUUGAUAAAUUUAAUAAUAUUAACUAAAUUUAUUAAUUUUUUAAAAGAUAUAAAUCAGUUGAAAGAAUCUUAUAAAAAGUGAUGAAAGGGGUAUUAAUUAAAAAAUUAGUUAAACUAAUUUAAUUUUGUUCCACUUAGAAAAUAAGUUUCCUUAAAUUAUUCUUCAUUUAAAUUUGAUAUCAAAUAUAAAAGAAAUUAUUGGAAAUAAAAUUUUCAUUAAAUAAAAAAUAUUUUGGAGAUGAUCCGAUUAAAUAUAGGAAAAUUAGAUUUAAGAUCAAAAUAUAUGAAUUUUUUAUUGCAUAAAAUGUUUAAAGUAUACGAUUUGCUUAAAAAAUUUCUUUAAUAUACAUUAACAAAUCUUAAUAAUAUACUAUUAUUUAUUAUUUUAUAUAUUAAAAAUAUAAUAAAAGGAAUAGCAUUACUGUUAUUACAGAGACACAUAGCAACACGUCCUUAACUCUUUGUGAUAGUUUUGAAAGUGAUCAACUUUGUACUCUUUCUCUUUGCAUACUUGUAGGGAAACAAACCAAUAUCGGAUCAUCUUUCUCUUUUUUUUUUCAACCUCAAAUGUCCCUUUUUCUUAGUUCCUCGUGUUUGACUGCUCCUUAUUUCUUCUGAAACGACGUGUUAGUCUUAUCAAUAAUUUAAUGCCAACUAACUUUAUGUGCAAUAGGUCAGCACCAAUCUGUCCCACCGAAUAAAUUUCUGCCCAGCGGUACUAUUUAUUUUGUCACUGCUUUGUGUGUUUGUUGCCUCGUGGUAAAGAAAAGGUAAAAUUACAUUUUUUUUUUGUCUUUCUAAUUAUUUUAAAUUUUUUUAUGAAAUUAAUUUUUUAAUUAUAUUCAAUCUCAAAAAUAUAAUUUCCAAGUUUAGAUUUAUACGUUGACUAUUACAUUAAAAUAUUGACUAUCACGUUUUACGUUAGACGAUAAUUGUCACGUGUUAGUGUGUUACAUUCUCAUUAGACGAUAACGUUACGUGUCACAUUUUAAUUGGAUGUUGACUUUACAAACGAUGAAAAUAUAUUAUUGUUGUUAUCGUCCAAUCAAAAUGUUACAUACAUGUUAUCGUCUAAUCAAAACUUGACACGACAGUUAAUGUUUUCUUUAUAACCAUCUUAAGGAUCAUCUUUAUAGAAUUGAACAUAAUUGAAUGAUUAAAUUUAUGAAUAAAUUUAAAAAAAGAUUAAAAUCAAAAUUAAAAAUAACUAAAAGUUCCAAAAAUAUAAUUUUAUCUAAAGAAAAUGGAAGAUUUUAUUAGCAGCAAAGUCAAUUAUAAAACCUGGAUUUUAUUUAUGAAUUAAAUUUGACGAAUUUCAGGUGGAAAAAUUAGACUUAUUUCGCACAGUAGGCAAAGUCAACUAUAAACGUGAUUGGUUUUACAAGAAGUAGGCUAUGUAUGAAAAGCUUUUUUUUUUUUUGUUUAUUUUGGAAACAAUAAUAAUAAUACUUGUCUUUAUUUAAUACAAGUUAAAAAAAGAGACACUUGAUAUCUCUAUCAUUAUUUUAAAAAAAAGUAAUUAAAUAAAAUAAUAAUAAUAAUAAUUUCUUUUAAGAAAAACGAUAGCAAGUUACAUUUCGAAGGUUUAUAAAAAAUAUAUAUAUCAAAAGAGAUAAUUGUCUUUAUUAAUAGUUAUAAAUUAACAAAAUUAUAUAUAUUAAAAGAUAAUUUAAAAAUAAAAAAUAUAUAUAUCAAAAGAGAUAAUUAUCUUUAUUAAUAGUUAUAGAUUAACAAAAUUAUUAUAAAUAAAUUACUCAAGAAUAACGGAAGAAACUAUUUUCGAGGAUUCCAUCAUGUAUUUAGAAUUUAAGAACCGGUGUUAGAUGCAUAUGCAGGAGAUAGAGACGGUUGGUGAAUCAGGUUUAUCUCUGUUGGUCAACCUUCUGUUUUUCCUCAUGACCUCAAUUGCACGAUUAAUUAGCAGUAUAGUUUAACAUAACUGAUAAGUAAUUAAAUCUUUCAAAUAUAUAUAGUACUAUUGAUUAGUAUUUAAUUCAUAAGCGUGUAUAUAAAAGUAAAUUAUGUUUUGGUAAUCUAUAUGCAUUAAUUGAAUUAGCGUGCAAUUGUACUAAUCAAUACUAAAUACAAAACUUGUUCAUAAAGAAAACUUCUUUUAAUUAUUAAGUAAAUUAGAUUAAGACAUUCAUCCGGUUUAUAAUUAUUAUAAACAGAAUUAACUAUAUUAUUUAUAAUUAUUAUUAAGAGUGUUAUUUUAUUUGGUCUCCACAUUUAUUAUUUAGAUAUUUUUGUCUCUUAACUAAUUCUAUGAAUUACCCCCAUCACAUUCAAUUUUAACUUUUCACAUCAAUCAUACUUCUAUUUAUUCUCUAUAUUUCUGUCUUAUUUUAUUUUAAAAAUAUAGUUACUUUCUGUAUAGAAGAAAUUGUUUUGUUAAUGUUGUUAUUUGAAUUUUGACUCUAAUGUGUAAACAAAUAAAAAUAUCAUUUGAGAAUAGUUGAAAAAAUAAAUUAAAUUAGUUGAAAAAAUAAAAAUAAAAAUUAAUUAUCAUUAAUUAAAGAUAAUCACUUCACAUAUACACAUUAUAGUUAUUUAUUAAAGAUCAUAAUUUUAUAUUAAUAUCACUACUAGAAAAAAAUACUUUUCACGUCCAUUUUAUUUUAUAAUAUAUUUUAGGAUGGUUCGAAAUUUGUUUUUGAAGUCGUUAUCGUCAAAAAAUCAUGAUUUUUAAAUCAUCUUAGAUUCAUUCUUUCUAUAUCGGGUUAUUCACAAAACCGUCUUAAAAUUUACUUUUUUUCAAAAAAAUUAUUAGAAAAUUAAUAUUUUUAAAACGAUUUUUCCUUUUUAACAAAACUGUCUUAAAAAAAACAUUUUUUUCACCAUACCGCUCCCUCUCAACCCGGUUUGCACUGAAAGGUUCAAUCCAACUGUACCUUAAGGAUCUUAAUAAUAGCAUUAAUGAAAUUUGCAAUUCAAAUCAUAAAUCCUUAGUCUAUUUACAAGUUCUUUUUCCCAUAGUAUUGUCAGUAAGCAUUGGUUUUGAAAGCUGAUUAUAUAUAAAAUCCUAAAACUCUUGUAUACAUUAAUUUCUCCACAUAAUACAUAGAUCUCAUUCAACAUAAUUCAAUGUGAAAAAUAGAGAACCUUGUACAUAAACCAGAUCUAGAAUGAUGAUCAAUUAAUUACCUGUAAGCAAAAAGGGAAAAAAGGAAACCAUUUUUAUAAAUAUAAGGAUUGCAGUCUGGUGGCAUUAAACAAUGAGCAACAUCGACCGCCAUAAAAUAAAGAGCGCUCCAGUUUCACUUGCAAGAAUUCACUCUCCCAGUUGGGUUUGGAAGUAAGGAGGCCCAAUGGAGAUAAGAGGUUAUUUACUUUGACUCUUGAAACAGAUUUUUUAAAUUGUUGCUAGUUUUUGUAGGAUAUGCUGUUAUGUUGCGAUAUGUUGUUAGGCUCUUAUGCUGUUUUUAAAUUUAUCUUCUAUUUUUUAGGCAAUAACCCAUAGGAGUUUUAUCUAUAUAUUUUAGCAUCUCUUUGUAAAAGGCACUUUGCUUUUCAGAUCAAUAAAACAACCUUCUUCUGCAGUAAUAUCCUGAGUUUCUUUAUCUUUUAAUCCUUCGUAUCUUUCUAAAAAUAACAAAUUGGUAUCCUGAGCCUUAUUCUGAGGGAUCUGAGAGAUUGAGAGAACCCAUACACAUUCAAAACACAAACACAUAUAACCUGGUCAGAAUGAAUCCAGAAGGUUCAUCCAUUCCACUUACACUUCCAUUGUUUGAUGGUAAAAGUUAUCAUCUAUGGGCUUUUAGAAUGGAAGCCUAUCUCGAAGCAGGUGAUUUGUGGGAAGCUGUUGAUGAUGUGUACGAAGUCGAACCCUUGCCGGACAAUCCAACGGUUGCUCAAAUAAAAAAUCACAAAGAAAGGAAGCAGAGAAAGUCAAAAGCAAAAGCAACUUUGCUUGCAGCAGUUUCAUCCACCAUUCUAGCCAGAAUAAUGACACUUAAAACAGCCAAUCAGAUUUGGGACUUUUUGAAACAAGAGUAUGAAGGAAAUGAAAAGGUUAAAGGCAUGCAGGUGCUGAAUUUUAUCCGAGAAUUUGAGAUGCAGAGAAUGAAGGAAUCAGAAACGAUUAAGGAAUACUCUAAUAGGCUUCUUGGCAUAGUCUAUAAUGUAAGGCUCCUAGGUACUGAAUUUUCAAACGCUAGAAUUGUUCAAAAAAUUCUAGUCACAAUACCUGAAAAGUUUGAAGCCACAAUUGCAUCUCUGGAGAAUUCAAGGAAUUUGUCAAGCAUUACAUUGGCAGAAUUGUUGAAUGCACUACAAGCACAAGAACAAAGGAGGCUUAUUGAGGGUGUUUUUCAGGCCAGAUCACAGAAUUACAAAGGAGGCAAAAAUAACAAGAAGAAGCAGAGCAACAACAAAAAUGGCCAAAGCAGCAAGACACGUGUCUUUUCACCUUGUCCUUAUUGCAAAAAAAAUAAUCACCCACACAACAAGUGUUGGUGGAGACCAGACAUAAAAUGCCACAAGUGUGGUCAAUUAGGACAUGUGGAAAGAAUAUGCAAGACUCAACAACAACAACAAGGAGAAGCCAAGGUUGCUGAAGAUCAGCCUAUGGAGGAGCAGUUGUUUGUAGCAUCAUGCUUUGCAACCAACACCACUAUGGAGAACUGGCUUAUAGACAGUGGUUGCACAAACCACAUGACUUAUGAUCGUGAACUUUUCAAAGAAUUGGACGAGACAACUAUUUCUAAAGUCAGAAUUGGAAAUGGAGCACUCAUUGUAGUAAAAGGCAAGGGAACAGUUGCAAUUGAAGGCCACUCAGGUUUGAAAUUAAUUUCUGAUGUAUUAUAUGUCCCUGAAAUUAAUCAAAACCUUUUAAGUGUUACUCAACUGCUGGAGAAAGGAUAUAAGGUGUUGUUUGAGGACAAAAACUGUGAGAUUAAAGAUGCAAGCAACAUAGAAAUGAUCAAAGUUCAAAUGAAAGGCAAGAGUUUUGUCUUGGACUUGAUGAAUGAGGAGCAGCAAGCAACUGUACACAAAGAGGAUGAUAAUACAAUGCUUUGGCAUAAGAGAUUGGGGCACUUUCAUUAUGCUGCACUACUUUUCAUGAAAAAGAACAACAUAGUGAAAGAUAUGCCAAAAUUAGACGAUUUACCUCCAAAAUGUGUUGCUUGCCAAUAUGGAAAGCAAACCAGACUUCCUUUUCAACAAAACAAGACUUGGAGGGCUUCACAAAAGUUGCAGUUAGUACACACAGAUGUGGGAGGACCCAUGAAAACACCAUCAUUGAAUGGCAGUAAGUAUUAUAUUGCAUUCAUUGAUGAUUAUUCAAGAAUGUGUUGGAUUUAUUCUAUGAAGUUUAAAUCUGAUGUUGCUGACAUCUUUGUGAAGUUUAAAGCUUGGGUUAAAACUCAAAGUGGAUGCAAGAUGCAGGUGAUCAGGUCCGAUAAUGGAAUUGAAUAUACCUCUGAAAAAUUUAACAAGUUUUGUGUAGAUGCAAGCAUUGAACAUCAAUUGACAGCACCAUACACUCCGCAACAGAAUGGUGUUGUCGAGAGGAAAAACCGAACAAUUAUGGAGAUGACAAGGUGCUUACUUCAUGACAAAGGGCUACCAAAGGAAUUUUGGGCAGAGGCUGCACACACAACAGUUUUUUUGCUGAAUAGGUUACCAACAAAAGCUUUGCAGAAAAAGACUCCAUUUGAAGCAUGGCAUGACUACAAACCAAAGCUAACAAAUCUGAAGACAUUUGGCUGCCUAUGUUUCUCUUACAUACCUCAAGUAAAGAGAGACAAGCUUGAAAAGAAAGCAGAACCUGGAAUUUUUGUAGGUUAUAGCUCAACUUCAAAGGCCUACAGAAUCUACCUACCAUAGAGCAACAAAGUAAUCGUCAGCAGGGAUGUCAAAUUUCUGGAGUCAGAUAGUUGGGACUGGAAAAAUGAUAAGAGGUCUGAGUUUCAGGAGGAGAAUGAAGAUGUUGAUGAAGAACCCAUCAGAGGAACCAGAUCACUUUCAGACAUCUACCAAAGGUGUAAUGUUGCUGUGAUGGAGCCUGAGGGAUAUCAAGAAGCUACAGCUGAUCAGAAAUGGAGAAAUGCAAUGAAAAAGGAGCUUAUAAUGAUUGAAAAAAAUAAAACAUGGGAGCUGGUGGACAGACCUAACCACAAGAAAGCGAUUGGUGUCAAGUGGGUUUAUAGAACCAAGCUUAAUUCAGAUGGUUCUGUAAACAAAUACAAGGCAAGACUUAUUGUUAAAGGAUAUGCUCAAGUGUUUGGUGUUGAUUUUUCAAAGACUUUUGCCCCAGUUGCCAGACUUGAAACCAUAAGAAUGUUGAUGUCUCUUGCUGCACAAAAAGGUUGGGUUAUACAUCAAAUGGAUGUGAAAUCAACCUUCUUAAGUGGAUACUUGGAGGAAGAAAUUAUUGUUGAGCAACCUGAAGGGUUCGUUGUUCAAGGACAGGAGGAGAAAGUAUAUCGAUUAAGGAAAGCUUUGUAUGGUUUAAAGCAGGCACCGCGGUCAUGGUAUAGCAGAAUUGAUGCACACUUGGUGAACUUAGGCUUCAAAAAAAGUUUAAGUGAAUCUACUUUAUAUGUGAAGAAGAUUGAUGGUGAAAUGCUUGUAGUAUCUCUAUAUGUUGAUGAUCUACUGGUUUCGAGAAGUAGCGGGGAGCAUAUUGACAAGUUCAAGGAAGAAAUGAAAGAUGCUUUUGAAACGAUAGACCUUGGAAGGAUGACAUUCUUUCUCGGUAUGCAGGUGUAUCAAAAACAGAAUGAAAUAUUUCUUUGCUAGGAAAAAUAUGCAAAUGAAAUUCUCAAGAAGUUCAACAUGGAAAGGUGCAAACCAACUGCAACUCCAAUGAAUCAAAAGGAGAAGUUUUGCAAAGAAGAUGGAGCUGAAAAAGUGGAUGAAAAGUUGUAUAGGAGCCUUAUAGGCUGCCUAAUGUAUUUAAGUGCAUCAAGGCCUGACAUCUUGCAUGCAGUAAGCUUGUUAUCAAGGUACAUGAACUGUGCUAGUAGAAUUCAUUUUCAGGCAGCAAAAAGAGUUCUUAGAUAUGUUAAAGGCACAAUUGAUUUUGGAAUAAGAUACCAUUAUGUUAAAAACUUCAGACUUCAUGGUUAUUCUGAUAGUGAUUGGGCUGGAUGUGCUGAUGAUAUGAGAAGUACUUCAGGUUAUCUUUUUAGCUUUGGUUCUAGAAUUUUCUCAUGGUAUUCAAAGAAACAGGAAGUAAUAGCUCAAUCCACAGUAGAAGCAAAAUAUGUUGCUGCAACUGCUGCUGUAAAUCAAGCUCUUUGGAUCAGAAAGCUUAUGACAGAUUUGCAUAUGGAACAACAGGACAGUACGCAAAUAUUUGUGGAUAAUCAAGCUGCAAUUUCAAUUUUAAAUAAUCCAGUGUUUCAUGGAAAAACAAAACACUUCAAGAUAAAGUUUUAUUUUUUCAAGGAGGCACAAAAGGAAGGAGAAGUGAAAUUAAUUUACUGCACAACAAAGGAACAAAGUGCUAAUAUCCUAACAAAGGCGCUUCCUAAAGCUAGAUAUGAAUUCUUGAGGCAGAGGCUUGGUGUAUGCUGUUCCAGAGUCAAGGAGGAGUGUUAACUGUUUGACUCUUGAAACAUAUUUUUUAAAUUGUUGCUAGUUUUUUUAGGAUAUGCUGUUAUGCUGCAGAUAUGUUGUUAGGCUGUUAUGUUGUUAUGUUGUUUUUAAAUUUAUCUUCUAUUUUUUAGGCAACAACCCAUAGGAGUUUUAUCUAUAUAUUUUAACAUCUCUUUGUAAAAGGCACCCUGCUUUCUAGAUCAAUAAAACAACCUUCUUCUGCAGUAAUAUCCUGAGUUUCUUUAUCUUUUAAUCAUUCGUAUCUUUCUAAAAACAACAUUUACAUAUAAACCAUUUUUAACAGGUUCUUUCUAUUAUUCUUGGUCUUCCUCUACCUGAUUCAUCUGAAUAUGCAUAAAAUUAAACCCUGACCUAAAAAGAAUAGAUUAUUAUGUAUGGAUUGAAUCAAUCAGAUUCCAUAAUUGAAUCAAUUACAUACUGGAUUCAAACUAAAGGAAUGUUAUGGUAAAACUUCGUUUGAAACGAUGUGGUAAAAAGUAAUGUUCGACUUGAAAGACAUGAUUAGAUUAGUUGUGGAUUCUUACAUCCGCCAUUUUUUCUUGUAUAUAGAAAAGAACAUGCUCUUGACUCGACAUCGUUUGUUCUGUUCCACUAGAACUUAUUGUUUUGGGAACGGAAAAGCAGUUGAUGAUGUAAAUAUUACUGAAUAGUUCCAAGCGAGUAAACACAUUUGGAAGGAUCUCUAUGGAAGCUACAUUAUUUAUAUAGGAAGAGAGGGAAUUAUCAUACCUGGAAUGAAUUACCAAGUGACUUGUAUCUGUCAGUCCUACUUAUUCCACCUCCUCUGGUGUGGUUCCUUGGGAAGCCCAACAAUGUUUCUACUUCAUCAGGCUCGAAUGGAGCAACCUUAUUCCUUCCCACCCAAACCAAAUUCCAUUUCCUACACCGAUGAAGAACAUACUUCUAUACACUUUCAGGUGGAUCUUCAUCAUAGAUUUCUACAACUUUCCUAAUUCUUUGGAUUAGUUUUGAACUGCCAAUACAUGUUUGCAUACAACUAAGCUUGGUCCUAGUAUCCUAUGAGGGCCACCACUUCUUUGUUAGGGGAAAACCCUCAUGUAUUGUGCGCGGUGGAAGUGAUAGAAGUGAGAACCUAUUUUGGAUGGGGGAGAUUAUGAAUAUAUCCCUUUUUCCUGGUUGCAGCAUAGAAAAACUUCGAAUCUACAAACCAGGGUUCAACAUCAUACAAGAAUCUUGAAAUUGUUUUCCAAACACCUUUAGCAUAGUCAUUGUAUUGUAACAUUAAGAAAAAACAUUAAAAUAACUUAAACAUGUGAUAGAUAAAGGAAAGGGGGGAGGGGGAACAACAAAUGGAUUAUACUAGAUAAUUUGAAGGAAAAAUUUACAGAAAAUUAAAUGCAAUAAAUUUCUAUUUUGUUCAUCCAAAGAUUACUAAUAUGGUUACAUUGCUACCUUUUCUUCAGGAGGCAGAAGAGCAUCUUCAGCCUUUGCCAUUUGAGCAACACCUAUAAAAUCUACCAAUUCUUCAAGUGAGGCGUUUGGGCCUGCAGUGUUUCAUUAGAACAAUGAGCCAAGAAAAUAGAGUAAAAAGCUCAUAAACAACACUAUGUAAACUUGUGAACACAAACAAACAAGAGGCCGUGUGAGGUUAUUAUUGCAGUUGACCAUGCUAAUUUGAUUAAAAUGAUAUUAGGAAAAGCACCACAAUUUAGGACCUAUUAAUUUAUUAUACAAGCUUGACAAAUGUGUUAAACAAUAUCAUUCUUUAGAGAUAAUUAUAUAAUACAUGAUCUGAUCUAUAGCCAUUAUAUCUGCAUGUAACCCUGAUUAUAGUGUUAGCAAUUAAAUCAUUAUUCGCUAGAAGUAAUUACAGUAUAUUCAUAAGGUGAUUGUGUAUUAGAAGUUUUUCAUCAUCUAUUAUCCACAAUAGUGGUGGUUCCAAACUGAAAUGAAUUUGUCUCUUCUCUGGACAUUAUUGAAGCAGGUAAUCUUCUCUUCAGGCAAGGGAAAAAACUAAUAGGCAUAUAUGCUUUGUCCAUUAUCUUGAGUAUACAAUAGUAUAACAUGCAAAUUCAUAUGCAUUCUGCAGGUAGGAAUCAACCGAGACAUUCAAAAAGUUAGUACUGUGGCAGAGUUGAAUCAUGUCGUAGUAGUAUGCAUGAUGUUAAUGGAUCAUACAAAAAAUUGACUAACGAGUGAGGUUUUAUUCAAUUAGUUGAGUGCGUGCUUAAGUUAGUAAUCUAGUUCGAUUCUUAGUGAUAAAAAACUUGAGCAGCUAAUUAAUCAGAUUGUUAAAUUAAAUUGCCUAGAGAAAAGGGUACCACAGUCGCAUUUAUACUCUCUUGUGCCACAGAUUUUGGAGUGGGCUUUCCAAUCUUAUUGAACCACAUAGCAUUUGGAGCACUUGUCACACUUCCAUUUCUUCUCUUCGUGUUUCUUGAAGAAGUGUUUCUUGAUUCCAGUGAGGUCCCCAAGUGCUCUUGAAGGGUCAUGGUGAUCGCAUGUUGCCUCUGGGCACACAUACACUUUCUUUCUCAUGUCUUUGCUGCUCUUUUUCUUUAGCUUCCAUGACAAAUUGUGCCUUCUUCUGUGAAGCUGCAAAUUCUGGCCUCUUUGGAACCCUUUCUGGCAAAUCUCUAAAAAGAACCUGUUUGUUGCCAAAAGGGUCUGCGGAGUCAAUGCUAUCACUUCUACCUCAGGGUCUGAAGUACAUACCAAAUUAAACUAGCAAUUAAUUAGUGAAUAAAAUUAAGACUGACACAGUUAUGAGGUUCGAAUCUAUAACAUCAUGCAUACUACUACAACAUGAUUCAAUUCUAAAAAUCAAUUGAAGAUAAUGAAUCAUAGUAUCAUACAACAAUCAACAAUAAUAGAAUAAAUUUCUAUCAUUUUUGUAAAAAUAACGAGCUAACAACUCAAGCCAUACAUAUGAAUGGGUCAUACAAAACACAGCUAAUCUUUGUACAACAAUUAAAGCCUCCACCUGCUUGUAUCCCAUUUUCACCAAAGACUGUAAGGUAUCAUCAUUCUCAGACAUAGUUUUUGAAAUUUCCUACAAAAAAUAUCAAAUAACAUAAGCAAGUUGUUUCUUAUAAUACAUAGGAAUUGAAGUCCUUUUCUUCCGCACCUCGCUCCAGAAGGUAUUAUGUAGCAGGACUAUCCUUGUUAAUGUUUCCAACAGGAGAAAUGUGAUCGGUUGUUAUACUAACACCAAAAUUCAGUAGACAAUAGGCAUCUUUCACACCAUGAGCUCCAGGAGGAUCCAUGAUCAUGCCAUUGAAGUAUGAAGGUUCAUGAAUAUAUGUUGACUUGGGGUCCCAUGAGUACACGGUCUGAGCAAGUACUUGUAGUCAGUUCCACAUAGUGUUACCUUUGCUAAUAGCUUCAUAUGUACUUCAGAACAUGUCAGGCAACACACUGGAUUGGACAACCUAUGAAUCAAGUAAACCUAAGUUAAUCUUGUUGUACACACUGUCAAAUUUGUAGAGUAAUUUCACAUACAUUAUUUGCCUCUACAAUUUCUUGAGUGGAUGGCCAGAUAUCUCUUACGUAAACAUUAUUUCCAUCUUUCCCUAUUCCUAUUGGUUCCUUUUCAAAGUCAAUGUCAACCUGGAAAUUGAACCAAAAGGUAAGGGAUGAAGGUUAAUGUUUGUAGUAGAAAAAAAAUGAUGUAUUCUAAACUCUAAGGACAUGUUUGGCUUGAUAGGAAAAACAAAUAAACAAAGAAUACAAAUUCCAGGGAGGAAUGUUUGUAUGUUAUCUGAGAGGGACUUCUAUUAUACAUUAGCUCAUACAAUGAGUAUGACAAAUUUAGCUCAAGUGAAAAAUGCUUAUGAUCAAACUUCAUUACAACAAUGAUCAUAUGAAAAAAAUAAAAAACUUACAACAGAAGUUCAGGUAAAAAAGUUGUUUGCUUAUGUACCUGAUAUUUUGGGGUUAGAAUACCAUCUCCAAUAACCAUGGAAGCUCCCAGAAUAACCAACUCCAAUAAUAGGUUCCUCAAAAACGAUGUCCUUUCCAAAGUGUCCUUUAUUUUUAAAGCCCUUUCCAUUUCUGGAGUAGGCAGUUUGACCUUAAAACUAGAGAUAUGUUCAUCAGCUUGUUGAAGAUUUGGAAGCAGACCCACAUUUGCAUACCUGCAAAUCAGCGAGUAUAGUGCAAACAUUCCUCCUACAGUUGAGCCAUUAAUGUAUGGAAAUGAACCAAAGCAAAAUAAUUCUGAGGGGGAAAGUGAAUCUCUUACCUUCUCCACUGUCAUUUGCUUUGAGGACUAUAAAAACAUAUUUUGCUAAUGGAAUAAGUGCUAUUGUAUACAUUACUAAUGAU
RNAcentral lists this long non-coding RNA (89034 nucleotides) under Glycine max (soybean). Its description in RNAcentral is "long non-coding RNA (GMAX_LNC003710)". The stretch from base 78137 to 78254 matches the Rfam family "MIR1520 microRNA precursor family". The record is from RNAcentral. Lineage: Eukaryota; Viridiplantae; Streptophyta; Magnoliopsida; Fabales; Fabaceae.